Molecule: long non-coding RNA, 112203 nt
Filed under: Vitis vinifera (wine grape)
Lineage: Eukaryota; Viridiplantae; Streptophyta; Magnoliopsida; Vitales; Vitaceae
Description: long non-coding RNA (VVIN_LNC003054)
Source: RNAcentral
GGUGGCAUGUAAAAAUUACCUUGUCCCGGCAAGAAAUAUAGCUCUCUCCCCAACCACCAUCAUCUCUUUGUGAUUUGAGUAGAAACUCAACAGCUCUACCAAUAGCAAGACAGUUGUGGUAAGUCUUGCCAGCAGCUGCUAGGCCUCCAAGUGCCCACCAUGAGCUAUAGAUGAAACAUACUCCCCACUUGCCAUACCUGGUGAAAUGCUUCUUUGUUUAAAUGGAUCUGCACUGCAUAUAUAAAAAAAUAAUUCCCCAGUGAAAUAGUAAUAGUGGAUUUGAGAAACAAACCAUGAGCCAUCAGGCAUUUGUUGGUCUUCAAUGUACUUGGUAGCAUUUGUGAUGAAAUUGUCUAUCUCCUCCGUCCUGUGUUCGGGGUAUAACUUCUUAAACAAAACUAGAGCCUGAAUUGCUGAUGCAGUGCACUCAACAUACCUGGAUCAUCGUUUUGUUAGUCUCCAAGGAAGUUAAAUCUAGUAGAGUUAGAAAAGAAGGUCUAUUAUCAAGAAUCUUACUCAUGCUCGAUGACAAGGUCUUCAAACAUUUCACUGGGGUUGAGCAGCUGAAAAGAGAAGGGAUUGGCAUUGAUUUAGAUUCAAAGGAUACAGAGAGAGAGAGAGAGAGAGAGAGAGAAAACGGAAACAUUGAAGUUAUUUAAACAUGUUGAAGUAAUUUACCUCCAACCAUUCUGAAGCUCCUGCAGGCUCCCAGCCUACUAUACCACCAUUUUCACUCUACAGUGGUUUCGAAAAGAGGGGUUAUUGCUACUAAGAAGUUAUGACUUGUUUUGUGAUGGGGGAAACCAUGCAAAUGGCCCAAGGAAGAUGGUUCUCACCUGUAGGGAAAGCAGGAUGUUGACAGAAUCAAAUAGCCGUCCAGGUUCGAUCUUCAUACCAACAAUUUCUGGUGCCAUCAUUGAAAAGAGGAGACAACACUGUAACAGAGAGGGGACUUUAGUGAGAAACCAAGUGACUUUAGUUAAUUUGCAAGCCCUGACUCAAUUGAAGUGUUUGAGCAGAAAGAGUUACCUUCAAACCUUCUGCAGUGCAAUCAGAAACUUGCCAACCAUGAUCCUUAUCUGAGAAUGUCCACGAUCCUUUGGAAAUGUGGCGGUACAUGCUUUUAAAGUCACCGGAAGGAUUGUCCUUGACCUUCAAGAUUUCAAGCAAUACGAAGUAAAUGGACCAUGAGAAACCAAAGUAGAUUCUGGUUAAAGUAAAGCCAUAAACAAUGGAAUUCAAGAUCAAACCUGAGAUUCCUUUAGGAAUUCAUGGCCUUUCUUUAGCGUAGGUCCAAUUUCAUUGGUCAUAUUGCAAGCUAGCAGUGCUUGAAGGGCAAGACUAGUGUCCCACUCUUGACUACCAAAGGUCUGCAACAAUCGACAAUUUCAAAACCAAUUAGGCAGGAAAGGGACAAAAGCAUAGCUUCAAACCAAUUGCGUACUUGAAAAAUUUUAAGAAAAAGAUGACUGGAUAUUAUCUAUUUUUUCUACAACUGUUUGGGAGAUUAGUGAUUGAACUUGUUUUCUGACCUGCAUCUUUAUUCCAUCUUCUCCAACCCAUAUAUAAUCUGGAAUCCUAGCAAGGUGCUUCUUGAAAUAAUCCCCGUUUGGAUCUUCAACCCAACAUGAAAGCAUACACAACACCUAUUCAAUUUAAGCCAUAUUAGCACCCCAAAGAAGAGAUAUACUGUCUGAAUAGACAUUAUCCAUUGCAGAAAAAUUACCUUCUCCACACAUCCAAUGGUAAUGUAUCGACUGUUUUCAUCUUCAUAAUGGAUGUGUUUCAUUGUUACUUCAAGAGCCUUCUUUCUCAACUUGUUGAAGGGCCAACGAGUAAGAAGAGGCUCGGUACAUAUGUACAAACUAUCCCACAUCAUAUCUUGUAUUAGGGGGUGGGGGUAGUAGAGAUCCUCCUGCAAUAAACAAUUUUGAAAGUGUGUUUCAUGCAUGCGUAGCAUAUUCAUCGGAAAAGGAAAAGUGUUCCAUACAAAAUCAAAACUUACUUUUGCACAAAGAUGCCGUACUUUCUUCCAGUUGAUUUCAUUAUAUGGUUGAAGGAAGAGCUCUUCUCUCAGUUCUAGAACAAGAGGCGUGAUUGGGCCAACGAAUCGUUUACCAUAUAGGUAUGACAUGGGCAUGAAAAUCAACCGACUGUAGCACCAAAUUUUUGCUGCAUUGAUCGUCUCAAAUUAUAAGAAGCUAGACCAAAGAUAGGAAAGUGUAAGCUAAACCAAAGUAGACAUGGGAAUGGCAUUUCUUAAGACUAAUAAACCAUCCCCAGGUUGAAUUUGUAAGUAUUCAUGCGUGAUUUUAUAUUUGUAUAAGGCUGAAGUUACACAACUUUGGGCUUAGCAUUUUGAGUCAGUGUGACCAAUUCCAAGUUUUAUGCAAGAUGGCCUUAGGAUGUAAAAUGCAUUAAGUGCAGAAGUAGAUGUUAAAUUCAAGCACUUGAGUAGAUUGCUACACCACAAACCUGGAUUCAUAGGAAGAUGAGAGGGGAAGAGUGAAAACUCUGGGGGCAUUGGGUUGCUUCCUGACCAGUCAAACAAGCCAAAAAUCUACACGGAAGAAACAAUAUCAUAUAAGAUUCAGUCCAUCACACAAGAAUGCAUUGUAUAGGAUGAAUGUGAACUUGUGUUUGAAAUGGCCAUACUGAAAGCCAAAUCUUUCCCCAAGUGGGAAUGGAUGUCACUCCACCACGAUUGAGGAUCCAUUUACGCCCUCUUGCACAAGCAUUGUCUCUACCACCAUCGCGCCCUUCUCCAAGGAUACGCAUACAAACGUAGCUGAGUGUUGUACAAAACAUGAUGCUGUGUUCCUCAAUAUGCAAUCCCCACCCACCAUCUUCAUUCUGCAAUGUACAUAAGCCAUUUUCAUACUUCAAAGCUCCAAGCUCAUUUAUGAUGUUAGGAUGAUGACUAGGUUCAAAAUAUAUAUACCUGAUGACAGUAUAGGUAGCGAAGAAUUUCUUUACGAUAUUCUCCAGGGAAUACAGUGUCAAGAUGCCCUGUAAUGUAUAGACACAUGACCUGCAUUUUCCAUGAAAUUAUUCCAUUGAGAAUGGCUAUUAAAAUGGUCUAUAUACAUGAUUUUAAGGAGGGUGAGAAGAUGUUAAGUAGACUCACCAGGGGAGGAAGGAAAAACAAGGGGCCGGAAUGUUCAGCAGGCCAAUGGCCAUCACUUGCCUGCAAGGCUGAAAAGAAAUGUGCACCCCUUCUCACUGCUGUUGUGGCUGUCUCUUCUGCAAUUUCUUCACCAUCCCCAACCUUCACUUGUGGUAUUGUUUGUUUGAAAUUUUUCUCUCUCAAAAACUGUAGUUUUUUUUUUGCCCAAAUGAAAUGCGAGUUAGUGAAGAACAAGUUUAAAAGAAAAGGUAAAUUAACCUCAAAAGUAAGCAUCUAUUUAUACAAUUGUUCCAAGCUAAGAGAACCAAGAUAGAGUUACAAUUGUUAAAACACAUAAUAUAUAUUUUGGGUCCAAAUACUACAAACUUAACCUUUUAGGAAAUUAGUUGUUCAACAUGGUAUCAAAACUCGAUUUUGGAAUGGGUCUUACCCUCUCCUUGUCCAACAAUCUGGUUGAUGGUGUCUCAACAAGCUCAAAAGAAAAGAAAAGAAAAGGCAAAUUAACCUCAAUAGUAAGCAUCUAUUUAUAUAAUUGUCCCAAGCUAAGAGAAUCAAGAUAGAGUUAACAAUUGUUAAAGCACAUAAUAUAUAUUUUGGGUUCAAAUCCUACAAACUCAACCUUUUAGGAAAUUAGUUGUUCAAUAUAGUAUCAAAACUCGGUUUUGGAAUUGGUCUCACUUCUCAUUAUCCGACAAUUUGGUCGAUGGUCUCUUAACCUAGGGCAUGGUGUAUGAGGGGAAUAUUGUUGGGUUUUCCAUAUCUUUUAUAGAAGGAAUUGGGUGACUCCUUAUCAGUACUGUGAGGGGAAAAUCUCACCCUUUAAGUUAAUUUUUGGGGUGGGAAGGCCCAAAAUCAUCCAAUGGUAGUAUCCCCAAUAUAUUUUUUCUUUUUUACUUCAUGAUAUCAUAAUUAACCUCAUUUAGUGGGAGGUGAACGUCAUAUGGUGGCCUGAAAAUACAUGUUUGAAGUCAAGUGGUUUCAAUACAUGUUUCUUUUCCCAAUACAUCAAGUUCGCAUGCAAGCCUGGAAAUAGAAGCUGCACAUGUAAGAGGGAGAGAGAGUGAGAGAUUAUGGUUGUUUGGUGGUGAAAACAUGAUUCUAAAGAGGGCCCCAUAUCUUGCGAUUUUUUGGGUUCCUUUUUUCAUAGAAAUCAUCACCCAUAAUCAAAUAAAUGGAAACAAAACAAGAAAAGCUAUGUAGCUAGACUACGUAAAACAACAAGUAUGUAUGCAUGGAAGACACGUAUAGUCAGUGAAAAACUGCAAUCUAGGACGCAGAUGACAGAUCAAUAUCUGUUGUGAUAUCAAGACUUGAGAUAGAUGGGAUCAAAUCACCUGCAUCCGCCAAAGGAGGUCGCUGCUGGGCUUAACCUGAAACCGGUUUUUCCAGAAAUUUUCACGAGCUGCUUCGACCUCAGCUCGCUCUUCUGGGGUUCCAUAAUCAGGAUCAAACUCCCAUAUCUGUCUUCCCACGAAGUUGUUGGUGCUGUAGAUGUAGGGAUCAUUGCCUCCAUCUGCAACCUUGAGCCUCCACAUUUUCAAACUCACCAAACUGACGAGAUAUAUCUCUAUAUAUAUCUAAGUUUACAAAUAUGUGUGUCUCCCUUCCGAAAACACCUGCUGAUCAUGCAAUCACCAGAAAGGUAAAACAAGCUUUUCUUUGCAGUAAAAUUAAGUUAAAAUGAUACAGACCAAGGACAGAAAGAUAGGUGCUGGGUGGGCAGAGAAGAGAGAAACUUCAGAAACUUGGAAUGGCGAGUUCCAGGAGGGAAUCGCUCAUUCAUAUAGAAGCACAGCAGCAAGUCAAUCACCAACCCCCAUGACUUGUAUUUAUGAAUGAGAAUACUAACAUUUAAUUUAUGCUUAUCUAUGUAUAUGCAUUGAUGUUACAUAAAUUUGUACAUUUUUAGAAAUUUAUUUUGGGAGUCCAGGGACAGUCCCUGAUAGAUAUCAGUCGUUCAAUCCUAAAAUUAAUAUACUUUAAGGUUAUGUUUGGUUCUCGGAAAAUACUAAGGAAAGAAAAAAAAUACAAAGAAAAAUGAUUUUUUCAUGUUUGGUUGUUCUAUAAAAAGUAUAAAAGAAAAUGAAAUAUAAUUAAAAUUAAUUAAAAACUUAUGUAUUUUUAAAUUAUUUAAUCUUUAUAUUGAUGAGUUAUAAUAAAUAAAAUGAGUUUGAAAUAACAAAAAAAAUAAUUUAUCAACUUUUAAUCCAUUGUUUAUUUUCCUUCACUUUUUCUUUCCUUUUAUUUUUCCUUUGUAUUUUCUUUCCCUUGCAUUUUCCCUCAAAUUUUCUGGAAACCAAACAUAGUCUAAAACAUACAUGAAGAAAUGACACAUCAAUUAGGUAUUGUAUCAACUAACAUUCAAAUGGAAAGUCUCAAUCAACUAACAUGUGAAAGAUUCCAUUUUUGCAAACCCCCAAAAAUGGAAAGGAAAUAAAUGACCUUCUGUGUUGUUGCCAUCAGUUAUAAUUAUGGUUCUUGUGGCUGUUCUUAGGAGAAAUGGCCACCAGUAUUUGAACAUAGAGUAGAUGUACUAUAACUUCAGAAACUUCAGAAUCUUGGAAUGGCGAGUUCCAGGAGGGAAUCGCUCAUUAAUAUAGAAGCACAACACCAAGUCAAUCACCAACCCCAUGACUUGUAUUAUUUUGGGACAGUCCCUGAUACAUCAAUUAGUCAUGUUUAAGUGACGUUUCACCAAUUUUUCCCCAACACGUCCAAUUAAAGUCGCAAUCAAAGCAAAAAAAUUUAAUUUAGAUGGUGGACAUGUGAAAAAUUCCAGUUUUGCAAAGGAAAAGGAAAUAAUUGACCUCUGUGUUGUUGCCACCUGUUAUGAUGGGUGUUCAUUUUUCUAUGGUUGUUGUUCUAAGGAGAUAUGGCUACCGACAUUUGAACAUGGAUUAGACGGCAAUGCUAGAUUUUUUUGGGGGGAGAAUUGUGCUUAAGGGAGUCCACUUGUUCAUAAUGGGUCAAUUAUCCUUCAAAAUCAUAUAAUUGACAAUUGAUAAGAAGGAUAUAAACUUUAGAGAGACCAACGUACCUUUCAAAGUUGUUAUGUCCCUUAACACCCAUACUUUCACCUAUCGUUGAAUUAGAAAAGUUAUCAAUUCAUAGUUUAUUCAUCAGACUGACAGUUAAACUAUAGUCGAAUUGAUGAUGUCAUAAUUAUAUAACUAAUAUAUUAUUAAAAUUAAAAAUAGUUACAAAAAUUAAAAUAAUAAUUUAUAUAUUAUUUUAAAAUCAAAAUUUUAUUUUAAAAUCAUAAAAUUAUUUAAAAAACAGAAAAUUAGUUUCAAAUCAUAAAUUUUAAUUAAAAUCAUAAUCUUAAUUUAAAAUUAGAAAUUUUAAAAUUUAUUUUUAAAUCAUAAACUUAUUUUAAAAUCGGAAAUUUAUUUAAAAUCUAAGGGACACAAAGUUUUUAGAUAUUUAUUUAAAAUCAUAAUGUUUUCAUUAAUUUAAAUUAAAAUCACAAAUUUUAAAAUAUGAAAAUGGGGAGAAGAGCUGCUAAAGAAAGGAGGAAGAGGGGGCAGCAGCAGGGGUUGGGAAGAGUAGUGGUGGUCGGAUCGGCUAGUCCGAUUGGGUUUUUAAAACACAACUUAACACAUAAAAUGGAGAAUGGUUCUAAGGAGAAUUUUAUGGUCCGGUGUACCAAAGUUAGAUUUUUGACUCUUGGAUUUAUAUAUUUAAUUGACUUUUGAUUUGCAGUGUACAAACGAAGAAGAAAAAAACUUGUUGUCAAUUUCUUGUUGGGGGCUUUUUUUUGCCAUCAGUUAUAAUUAUGGUUCUUGUGGUUGUUCUUAGGAUAAAUGGGCACCAGUAUUUGAACAUAGAGUAGAUGUGAAUCAUGUGAUAGCCUACUUACAUAACUCCACACCCAACCAAAUCAACAACUCACUAUUUAAGACAAAUAUAACAAUGUGUAUCUGAGUUUACAAAUAUGUGUGUCUCCCUUCCGAAAACACCUGCUGAUCAUGAAAUCACCAGGAAGGUAAGACAAGCUUUUCUUUGCAGUAAAAUUAAGUUAAAAUGAUACAGACCAAGGACAGAGAGAUAGGUGCUGGGUGGGCAGAGAGGAGAGAAACUUCAGAAACUUGGAAUGGCGAGUUCCAGGUGGGAAUCGCUCAUUAAUAUAGAAGCACAACAGCAAGUCAAUCACCAACCCCCAUGACUUGUAUUUAUGAAUGAGACUAUUAACACUUAAUUUAUGCUUAUCUGUAUAUAUGUAGUGAUGUCAGCCAUAGUAACUUGAUUUCUAAAUUCAUGAAUCUUGUAACAUAAAUUUAUAGAUUUUUAGAAAAUUAUUUUGGGAGUCCAGGGACAGUCCCUGAUAGGUAUCAGUCAUUCAAUCAUACAAUUAAUAUGGUUUAAGACAUACAGUCCCUGAUACAUCAAUUAGUUAUGUUUAAGUGACGUUUCACCAAUUUUCCCCCAACACGUCCAAUUAAAGUCGCAAUCGAAGCAAAAAAAAUUAAUUUAAUUUAAAUCAAAGCAAAAAACUGGACAUGUGAAAAAAUCCAGUUUUGCAAAGAAGAAAAAACAAAAAAAAAAAGAAGAAAAAAAGAAAAGGAAAUAAUUGAUGGGUGUUCAUUUUUCUAUGGUUGUUGUUCUAAGGAGAAUUGUGCUUAAGGGAGUCCACUUGUUCAUAAUGAGUUAUUGUGAAUUGACAAUUGAUAAGAAGGAUAUGAACUUGGGUUAUUUGAUUAAAAGGGUCUCUCAAAACCUAAUUUUUGAAAUUUAACCUCCCACCCUUUUUUGGUAUCAUUUGGACAAAAAUAUCCUUAUUAUUUUCUUGUAAAAAUAAUUAUUUCUUUAAAACCUACAUGUAAAUACUUGAAAUAGAAAAGGGCAUUUAUGUUAAAAAUGGAUUACUUUUUCAGAAAAAACAUGGGAAGGGUUUGAUUUUCAAUUUUGGGGAUUAUUUCAUCCCUUUUAACCAAAUAUUUCUAUAAACUUUAGAGAGACCAAUGUACCCUUCAAAGUUGUUAUGUCCCUUAACACCAAUACUUUCACCAAUAGUUGAAUUAAAAAAGUUAUCAAUUCAUAGUUUAUUCAUCAAAUUGACAAUCAAACUAUAGUGGAAUUGAUGAUGUCAUAAUUAUAUAACUAAUAUAUUAUUAAAAUUUAAAAUAGUUACAAAAAUUAAAAUAAUAAUUUAUAUAUUAUUUUAAAAUCAAAAUUUUAUUUUAAAAUCACAAAAUUAUUUACAAAACAAAAAAUUAGUUUCAAAUCAUAAAUUUUAAUUAAAAUCAUAAUCUUAAUUUAAAAUUAGAAAUUUUAAAUUUUAUUUUUAAAUCAUAAACUUAUUUUAAAAUCGGAAAUUUAUUUAAAAUCUAAGGGACACAAAGUUUUUAGAUAUUUAUUUAAAAUCAUAAUGUUUUCAUUAGUUUAAAUUAAAAUCACAAAUUUCAAAAUAUGAAAAUGGGGAGAAGAGCUGCUAAGGAAAGGGGGAAGAAGGGGUGGCGGCAGGAGUUGGGAAUAACAGUGGUGGUUGGAUCAGUGUGGACCCCGCAUUUUCGGCUCAAUGCGUUUUCCACUCGAAUGGCGAGCUCGAUUUUUAUUUGAAAAAUUGAUUUUUAUUGAUUAUUUGAAAAUGACUUGGAGUCGCCACUUAUUUUUGUUUUAUUUUUAAAGGGUAAACAAAAUAAGAAAGAAAAACCCUAAGUGUGACUCCUUAUUUUGGAAAAGGUGAUCUACGAAAACCGGAUCGGGUUCGGGGGUCAGGUUACUUAUCGAGAAGGUACGGUAAAGACCGUAGCACCCCUCUAAGUCCCUAAGUUGGGUCUCUACUAAUGAGAUGAAGCUGAUAUGACAAUCAAUGAGAAAAUCAAUAAAUACUUGAAUCAAUCAUGCACACAUGAGAGUCAGAAAAUGCAUAUAAACUAACCAGAGUGGGAAUGAGUGCAUACCUGUGCAGCGAGCCACUAUGCGCUAUCAAGAGAGAGGGUUAGUGCAAAAUAAAGAGCAUAAACAUAGCUCACAUGUCACUAAAUUGAGUACAAAAUCAUCAAAGGCACGCAUGACACUUCACUCAAAAUUCAUUUUUAUUUUAAAGAAAAUUUAUUUGAUGUUGGGCCCUCACCAAAGCCCAUUUAUUUUGCACGAAUCAAUUCCAUAAAUCCCAUCACCUGAGAAUUACAAAAUUUGAUUUUUGGCUUAUUUUAAAACAUUUUAAAAUCAGAGAAGUUAUGAAAGUUGCAUGCCGAAGAGAGAUGACAACAAAUUUUAUUAAAAAUAGAAUUUUGGAACCUAAAGAAAACCUAAGGAUGAAAGAUGGAAAAUAUUGAAAUUAUUUGAAAACCGAUGUUUAAAAAGUUAUUUGCAAGAAAGGAGUCAGAAAAUUAUUUUCUAAGCCAAAAGAUCGUUGGAAUGGGAGGUGACACGUGGCAUAGGGGUGACUAAGCAAGCCAUGCAGACUAGAAAUGCGAACUUGGGGCACCUUGAGCACUGACUGCAUAUUAUUCCAUCUCUGCAUUAAUGUUUCGGCCAUGUAGACUUGAACCCCAACACACUGAAUGCUCAAAACUGGUGCAAACUUUUGCUGUUUCCACUUUGCAGGCCCUUAGCUACAGGCUCAGAUCACUCGUGAACCAUUUAAUUCCAAUACCAUUGGGCCAGAUAAAUGGACAGGUGAAGAAAUAGCAGAAGCUCCCCAAGCAGAAAGCAUACUACCUACUUCUAAAUCCCGAUGUUCAAUUCCAACCUUGUAGUCUUCCAUGGAAAUUGCAAAACUCCGUAUCUCCGAGUGUUCGGUUGACAAGAAUAAUGACUGCAUGGCUCGUGAAAUCAUGCCAAUAGAGUGCCCAAGUUAUAUGUAAAUUGACAUUGAAAUCCCUAGACACAGAAACUGGGGAACGAUUCUCAUGUCAAGAGCAUGAAAAUCAUCAUGAUUGCAAACACCUGCUGCUUCUAGCAUUGCACGCCAAUGUCAGAGCAUAUGGCGAUCCCAUGGGUCUUGUAUUGACAAGAAGGCACUGAACAUUAUCCUUCCUCUAGUCCAAUUCGCUACUUCCAUCGGCAUGGCAUAAUGGGAUAAGCUAGGUCACAACGUUUCCCCACACUACGCUCCAAGAUGCAGCCAGUUUUCAGAUCUUUCAUCAAUGCAAAUUGGAACAGGAGGUGGAGCUCGUCUACCGACGAGAAGCUGCUGAUUCAACAAACAAGCCAGAUUCAUAUCUUCUUUAGGAGCAACUAGUUCCGCAACUACAUCUAAUUGCCACCCCGUCAACAAUAAUAAUAUCUAUCCUAAAACACUGGAUUCAUUUUAGGAGCUUACUUCACCCUGUACCAGACAGCAAACAUUCUCCUGCUUCAUCUUCAUGACGAGUCUCAAAAUUCAAAUUGGAGAGAAACGGCAGUCUGCUUGUUUGGUGACUUCAAUGUCCAUGCUGUCUCCCUUCCCGAAACCGCUUCUUGCCAUGCACCCAAAAUAUAGAAGAAGCAACACAGGCCCAAUGCAACAAAGAUGGAAGUAGCCCAAUACAUCUACCUUUCCAAAUGUGAGAGAUAAGGGAAACAACUUCCAGACCCGUGACACUGCAGCGAUGAAAGGCUGCCCAAGAACAUGGACCAACAGCCUCCAGAUGACCAGUGUUGACAAUGAGGGGGAGAGAUUGAUGUAGGCGAGUAAGGGUAGCAACACGCAGGGGAUUUAAAGAAAAUGGGUUUGCAUGGAAGAAAAUUUGACGUGAAUAUGGUUGUGGGGUUAGCUAUGGUACAUGGAUAUGAUGAGUAGAUGAGGAAUGGCAUGGUGCAUGGUGGUGUAGAGAGAGAAUGGUGAUAAUAGAAAUGGGUAUGAAAGGUGUAUUGGGUAAGGGUGUGAGAGAGAUGACCAGAUUUGCAUGUUCUCAUGAGCGUGGGUGGAUGGAUCUGAGGAGUUUUGGACAGCCAUGCAUGGGCGGAAACAGGUAAUGGAUUGGUGGAAUGAGUAGAGAGGUCUAAUGAGAAAAUGGGUAUAUGAAGAAUAACCAGGUUAGCAUGGUUCUCAUCCUGGAUCAUUUCUAAAAAUGAGGAUGACUCGUGAGAAGUAGUGGCAGCCAUUUUAAGAAGGAUAUCUUCUAUGUACUUGUAAGACUCAAAUGAACCUCCAAUCAUCAAAGAUUGGCUCAUGACGAGCACCCUUGUCACCACUUGAAACUCUCAUGCCAAGAUAGGGCGAACCCAAUUCAGCCAUGGCUUUCUCCUUUCUCUCAGUGUUCUCAUACUACUCAUUAUCAUCAUCAAUGAUACAAUCAGUGUCUUCGACGUCCAAAGGUGUGCAGUCAUUGAAGCUAUUGAUGGCUUCUUCACCCACUACAUCCUCAUCCAAACAGAGAUGGUUAGGGUAAGGAUUCCCUCUAUUUUCAUCCUCGUCUCUAUCAUCAUGAUUGUGCAUUGCAUGGAAUGGCACGAGACCAUAAUUUCCCGAGUCUUCUCUGCAUGAAGCAUAAUGAGACGCCUCAUCACGAAAUCCAUACCCAUAGGAAACGUUCUCAUAUAAGCAGAAUCCCAGAAACCCCAUGGAUCAGCUUCUUCAUUAUCAAACUGCCACCGCGUGUCACCAUUGAAGGCGCACCCUUGGCUGCUGAUUUUACAAUGCUUUUGGCAUCCUCUGAAAAGAAGAAGAAUUGGCUGAAUAAUUAUUAUUGAUGUUGAAGUGUGUAUUUAUACAAGGAGGUUUGAGAUAUUUCUCUACAAGUCAGGAAUCAGCUUACCAUAUUCUAGACUAUCCAUCUAUAAGUCAAGAAUUACAAUAGGAAAACUAACAUAUACAAAUCAUCUAUUCUUAAUAUGGAAGAUUUAGAAAGAUUGACUUUCCAACACUCCCCCUCAAGUUGGAGAGUGGAUAUCCUGCACUCCCAACUUGCGAAUCAUAGGAGCAAAAAACUCCUUUCCCAAUGGUUUAGUCAAAAUGUCUGCAAGUUGGUGCGCUGAGCUCACAUGUCUUGUAAUAAUGGAACCAUCUUGGAUCUUGUCCCUAAUAUAGUGACAAUCCAUCUCAAUGUGUCUAGUACGCUCAUGGAAAACAGGGUUGGCUGCAAUGUGCAAUGCUGCCUUGUUGUCACAAUACAGCAAGGCAGGUUCCUUAUGUAAAACACCCAAAUCUUUCAAAAGGUACCGAAGCCAUGUCAACUCACAACAAGCUCCUGUCAUUGCACGAUACUCUGCUUCGGCUGAAGAGAGUGACACUGUUUUCUGUCGCUUUGAUCUCCAAGAAAUCAGUGAAGGUCCAAGGAAUACACAGUAGCCUGUAGUGGACCUUCUAGUAAGUGGACAACCUGCCCAAUCAGAAUCACAAUAGGCUCUCAAUCUGAAAUCAUUAUUCGAAGAGAAGAACAGACCCUGACCAGGUGCAUUCUUGAGAUAACGUACAACUCUGAACGCUGCUUCCAUAUGAGUCUUUCUCGGUUGAUGCAUAAACCGGCUUAACACAUGAACUGCAUAAGUGAUAUCUGGCCUCGACACAGUUAGAUAUAUUAACCUUCCAACCAAUCUCUUAUAACGACCUUGAUCCUUGAGCAAAUCGCUCUUAUCAGACAAUUUCAAUCCUCGUUCCAUAGGUGUAUCAAUAGGGGCAGCGCCCAACAAUCCUGCAUCCUCAAUAAUCUCUAAUGCAUACUUACGUUGGGAAAUAAAAAUCCCAUUUUUAGAAGCAGAAACCUCAAUGCCAAGAAAGUAUUUUAAAUCGCCCAGAUCUUUGAGAUGAAAAUGACUAUGCAGAAAUUUUUUUGUUGUAGCAAUGCUCACAGGAUCAUUUCCAGUAAUCAGAAUAUCAUCAACAUAUAUCAAGAGGGCAGUAAAGGACUUGCCUUGUUUUUUGGUGAACAAAGAAUAAUCGGCUCGAGAUUGUGCAUAACCGGCGGAUUGAAUAGCUUCUGAGAACUUGGCGAACCACUGGCGAGAAGCUUGUUUCAGACCGUAGAGUGAUUUAUGAAGGCGACAUACCAAGUUUUCCUCCCUCUGUCGCCGAAGCCCUAGCGGCGGAGACAUAUAUAUUUCCUCAUGUAAGUCGCCAUGAAGAAAAGCGUUGUUAACAUCCAUUUGAUGAAUAGACCAGCCACGGGCUGUGGCCAAUGCAAGCAAGCAGCGGACAGAUAUGAUCUUGGCGGUGGGGGAAAAGGUAUCCUGAUAAUCGACACCUUCUAAUUGAGUAAAGCCUUUCGCUACCAAUCGUGCUUUGUAACGCUCAAUAGACCCAUCUGAACGGUGUUUAAUUUUAUACACCCAUCGACAGCCAAUCGGUGUCUUGCCAGCCGGAAGUGGAGUUAGAGACCAAGUGCCAUUAGCUUGGAGAGCUUGCAAUUCAGAACGCAUUGCCUUCUGCCACUCAGGAUGAGCGGCUGCUUCCGAAUAAGACCUGGGUUCUGUGACAGCACUAUGUUGAGCAACAAAAGAUCUAUAUGCAGGCUUAUAUCUGUGAUAAGAAACAUAAUUGGCCAGUGGAUAUCGUGUACCUUUAGUUGGACCUGGAAUCAAGGAAGACGAUUGAUUGGAGGAAACGUGGGAGCAAACAUAAUCGUGGAGCUUGAUUGGCGGGGCGAUAUGGCGGCUGGAGCGACGGAGCGGAGUGGCUGGUUUGGGUGAGUGUGUUUCUGGUGAAAAGAUGGGUGUCUCAGUUGGAGGAGCGGACGGGAUGGAUGCAAACGGUGGCCCCGGAGAAGGCGAUACUAGAGUUGUAGAAGGCGAUGGUGAAGGGUUUGGAUCAAUCUGAGAAGAAGGUUCGAUAAUGAGUUCGGAAGGUCGAGAAGGAGAGGAAAAGUCAUCAUUUUCUGUGGUGGGAGACGGUGUGCUUGUGUGGUUGGAAAGAAGAGGGGAAAGUGUGUGAGAAGUAGAGUCAAAGGAGGAAGAGAUGUCGUGGGCCACUAAGGGGAUUGGACCAGAAUUAUGGGUCAACGAAGGGAGAGUAGAGUUGGGCUUGAGAGAGACAUAAGGAAAAAUAUCUUCAUAAAAUUUGACAUCUCGGCUAGUAAAGACCUUUUUGGUUGAUAAAUCAAAUAAUUUGUAUGCUUUCUGACCAACAGGAUAACCGAUGAAGAUGGAUGGCAUGGCACGGUAAUCAAAUUUGUGAGAGGUGUGAACAUUGGUGGCAUAGGCUAAACAUCCGAAAACACGGAGAUGGGAGUAAGAAGGUGGUUUUGAGUAAAGCAAUUCAAAAGAGUUUUGAAAGACAAUAUUGGUGAAAGUAACCGAUUGAUGAUAUGUACGCAGUGAGAGCACACUCCCCCAAAAUUGAGUGGGAACUUGAGCAUGGAAUUUCAAAGCUCGGGCUACUUGUAAAAUUNUGACGAUGUUUGCGUUCCNNNNNNNNNNNNNNNNNNNNNNNNNNNNNNNNNNNNNNNNNNNNNNNNNNNNNNNNNNNNNNNNNNNNNNNNNNNNNNNNNNNNNNNNNNNNNNNNNNNNAUCGACAAUAGUGAGAAAGUAAUGGGCACCAAACAGAGAAGGGUGUCGAUAACGUCCCCAAAUGUCACAAUGAAUAAUCUCAAAAGGUUUUGUAGAAGAAAUAGCACUAGUACCAAAAGGUAAACGACUUUGCUUAGCCAAAGGACAUAUAGGGCAAGCAUUAUUGGACUGAACAGAAAAAUUCAAAAAAUUCUUGGCAAUGAAACUCAAACGAGAAGGUGAUACAUGGCCUAAGCGACUGUGCCAGAGAUCAGUGGAAGAGAUGGCGAGAUUGCAGGCUGGUUGGUUUGUGGAUGAGGAAUGGUUGGUUAAAGAUUUCUCCGUCGCUAGUGCCACCAAAUAGUAUAGUCCGUCACGUUGUUUACCCAAACCAAUCGUCCUCCUCGUAGCCAGAUCCUGCAAAAUACACAAAUAAGGGAAAAACGUCACUGAACAAUUUAGACCUCUUGUCAAACGACUAACUGAUAUUAAAUCAACUUUGAAUGUAGGCACAGAUAAGACAUCAUGCAGAUAAUAGACGGAAUUCAGAGGCAAAGUCCCUUUCGUAACGAUAUUCGCUUUUUCUCCACUAGGCAAUAAUACGGGCGGUAACGAGCAAUUUUUAUCUUUAUGCAAUAACUUAGAGGAUGAAGUAAUAUGAUCUGUCGCCCCACUAUCAAUAAUCCAAUUGCGGGAAGCGACUUUGGACAAACCUGGCUUUGUUACCGCAUUCACUUUGGAACUAGAGUUUUCAUCUUGGUUAUUAAGAAGUGACAAAAGUUGCUUGAGUUGGGCUUCUGACAAUGCAACUGCAGGUUUCCCUUCAUCUGCCUUAGAAACUUGGUUAGCCGCAGAAAAACUUUUAUUCCGAUUUGAGUUUGAGCCUAAGUUCAUUCUUGCUUUAGGAUGGUCUGGUAGGUAUCCAUGUAGUUGAAAACACUUUUGGACCCAAUGACCCAUAUCUCCACAAUACGAGCACUGGGGACGUCCUCUACCAGAACCCAUGCGGCGCCGAUCUUGAUCAAAAAAUGGUCUGCCAUCUUGUCCUUGAGAAGACCGAUUCUCCCGGAAAUUUUGAGAACCAGAGGGGCGAUUAGUCGGUUCCAUCCUUCUUGUGUUCGAUCGAUCUAUUCCGUCCUUCCAAGUUGUCGAAGACUUGCCGUUGCUGCGCACAGCCAUAGCAGCACUUGCGGCAGAUUCCGCUGCUGCGUUCGUCGAAGUGAGGAGGCGUUGCUUUUCUUCUUGAGAGAUAGAGGAGUAUGCUUGGCGGACAGAAGGAAGAGGAUUCAUCAGGAGGAUUUGCCCGCGAAUAGCACUGUAAGAUUCAUUCAAACCCAUCAGAAAUUGCAUCAAUUUUUGUUGAUCUUGUUGUGCCCCAUGUGCUGCAGCGUUGUAGGAAGCCAGUUCAUCCCACAGGCCUUUCAAUUUUGUGUAAUAGGCAGAGACAGAGAGUUGCUCUUGUCGAAGACAAGCAAUAUCUCGCUGAAUUUCAAAGAUGCGAGGCGCAUUGCUCUGAGAGAAUCGCUCACAGAGAUCUUCCCAAACUUCAUGAGCAGUAGAAUAAUAAAUUACACUGUCCGCAAUUUCUGGAUUGAGAGUAUUGACGAUCCAAGAGUGAACCAUGUCGUUACACCGUGACCAAGUCGCAUAACCUUCAGGAUCAAUUUCUUCUGAAGGAGCCUUGAUCGAGCCAUUAACAAAACCCAAUUUGUUCUUGGAGUUUAAAGCUAGAAUCAUAGCCCUUUUCCAAGCCGAAUAAUUGUCUCCAUUCAAAGAUUUGGAAAUCAAAACCAAACCUGGGUGAUCUGAAUGGUGAGUGAAAUAGGGAUUGGAGAGAUCUGCCUUUGAGAAAUUCGUAGGAAUUUCUGAUUUUGCCAUGAUGAUUGAAGAAAAGAGAUGCUACACGAGAGAGAUUAGAGUGCAGCAAUGAAUCAGGAUUUUAGUCCUGCUCUGAUACCAUGAAAAGAAGAAGAAUUGGCUGAAUAAUUAUUAUUGAUGUUGAAGUGUGUAUUUAUACAAGGAGGUUUGAGAUCUUUCUCUACAAGUCAGGAAUCAGCUUACCAUAUUCUAGACUAUCCAUCUAUAAGUCAAGAAUUACAAUAGGAAAACUAACAUAUACAAAUCAUCUAUUCUUAAUAUGGAAGAUUUAGAAAGAUUGACUUUCCAACAUCCUCUGCUCUUCGAUAGGAUUAUGGGACCUCAGGCAUGUGAGAAAAUGGGCAACAAAUGGGUAAUGCCAGGAAGGAGAGGUGGAUAUGAACAUGAAGGACAAGCGAUGUCAUGGAUGAAGUGUGGCAACGGGUGGAGAGAGAAAAGGUGGUGAGUAAAGCGGUGUGUUUGAAUGGGGUAUGAGACAUGAAUUUAAGAGUGAAGAUGUGAGUGUGUGGAGUGAAAGCAUGAGCGUGAGUGGUGAUGAGUUUGAAUGGGUUUGGGGUGGCGGUGUAGAGAGAGAAUGCAAGAUGAUGAGUGCAUGUGUAGAUAUGGGUGUGAAAUGAUGUAAAUCUGAAAAAGAUGACGAGCUAAAUAUGUGAAUGGAGAUCCGAGAAAGAGUACAGUGAUAGGUAUGAACAAACGAAGUGGUGAUAGAAUGAAUAAGAAAGCAUGCAUGUGGUUAGUAUGGGACAUGGGUAAUGAAAGGCAGAGUAGAGAGAGAAAAAAGUGGUGAGGGAAUAAUGGGCAAGAAAUGGUGGGUUGGAUACAUGGCAUACGGGUUGGAUGGACAUGAGGCAUGGCAGCCAAUAGAUUUAACAUCUCCAACUCCGUGAAUCACUCAUGAUUAUCUUCUCAGCAAACCCACCAUACUUCACUUCAGGAAUGUCUAUUGGACUGCUACAUGCUGCAACAAUAUUAUCCCCAUCCAAUAUAAGAACAUUCCAUGAAAAUCCUGAACCGUUAGGGCUGACAUGUGACACAUUCUCACUCAACACAUCCACAGAAAGAAUUACUUGAGUGCUAAGCCAGGUGGAAGGCAAAAUCAUAGUACAUCUAUCAGAAAACCAUGAGUUACCAAGGAUGCUUGAACCAUACAGCCCAGGGAAGUAGUUAUCCUCAGCACACAUCGCAACAGGAACCACAGAACAAGGAUGAAGCAUCCACGGAUGAUUUCAAGGUGUCAUUGACAAGGCUGAAGUUGCUGAAUCACUUGAACUCUGACCCAUUCCUUUAUUCAGUAUCAUCUUAACUUUGAGAGCGCGCAUCUUUGUAGGACUUCACAGCUGGGUUUGGAUCCACUCUCAUGACCCAUUCAAUUAAGAACAGAGGAAAACGUGAAAGGAUCAUUUACAAAAAACAGAGUAUAAAGACAGAAAAUCAAUGAGUGAAGCCCUAUUUCAUUUUUCUAUCCAUGGGCUUGCAAGAGGGUUGACUGUUGAGAGACUACGGGCUCAUAUAAAAACAGGGGGAUUAGAUUCUGAAAUAUCUCACAAUGAAGCUAAAAACAAAUUCAAGUUACUCUUCAACAAAGCUAAGAAGAAGAGAAAGAUAAAACAAUGACAACAAACCCACAAUCGUACCAGAGAUUAGUGAAAACUAAACAUUCAAUCUGAUGCACAUACCCAAGACAAACAAUAAUCCAGAAACAAGAUGGAGAAGAGUAUGCAAAGGGUUCAUACCUGAAAAGCUUCUUGCUGGAACCUUACUGCCUCUCUAGAAAAAUCUCAACUCAAACGUCUCUCUGCCUCGAAAAUAUCUCCAGCCGAGCCUCAAAAGGCACCUCCUCUCUCAAGCUAAACUAUCCUCCCUUAAAGCUCUCAUGUCUCUCCCUCUUACUCUCUCCCUUUUCUCCUUAGUUAACCUCCCCAGAAAACCAGUCUCCUUCUCUCUCAAGCUUUCUCUCUCUCUCAAAAAAAAAACCAAACAAAAGCUCCCUCUCUAAAGAUUUCUGCCACCUUCCUCUUCUAGGCCGAUAUCCCUUUUCUCUCCCGGAUUUGCCCCUCUAACCAUCUCUGUAGCGACAGCCACGCCCUGCACCACUACUCUGCAGCUGGCAGAAAGAAAAAGCCUCCUCCAACGGCCAGACAACCUUUUUCAUGCAGCUGGCUUUUCUCCCUCAAAUAACAACCAAAAUGAUUUUUGUCUGAUUCCAUGAUGACACGUGUCGACCCUAGAUUGGCCUUCAAAAGCGAUUCCAUGAUGGCCAGUCAGGGAUUGACACGUGGGUGCUUAGGAGCGCGACACCUGGCCAAAAGAGCUGCAAAAAAUGCAUGAAAGUGAGGUUCCCAAAAUGGGGUCUACAAUCGGCUAGUCUGAUUGGGCUUUUAAAACACAACUUAACACAUAAAAUGGAGAAUGGUUCUAAGGAGAAUUUUAUGGUCCAGUGUACCAAAGUUAGAUUUUUGACUCUUGGAUUUAUAUAUUUAAUUGUGACCUUUGAUUUGCAGUGUACAAACGAAGAAGAAAAAAACUUGUUGUCAAUUUCUUAUUGGUGGCUUUUUUUUCCAUCAAUAACUAAGUAAAAUUGCAUUUAUAUUGAAUUUUGGAGGUUAAUAAUUUAGUAAUGGAAGUUAAGUAAUAAUAUUUUAUAUUAUUAAAAUAUAUAAUAUAUAAUAAAAAAAUAAUGUAUUAUUUAAUAUCAUCUUCAUUUUUAUUUUAUAUCAAUGUUAUUUAAAAAUACAGAAUAAUAAUUUUUAGUUUUUUUAUCAAUCAUUUAAUAAAAAAAAUCAAUUCUCAUAAACUAAGGAAGUUGAGUUCAUUUUGAAUUCUAAUUUUAUUAUAUUAGAUAACUAAAAAAAUUAAUUUCAAUAUAAGUUAAUUAAAACAGCAUUUUGCUUUAGUGUAAUUCUCAUAAAUAAAUUAAAAUAUAUAUUUUAUUUAAAAUAUUUAUUUAUUACAUGAAAGAACUAAGGAUAAAAAAUUAAUUUAAAAAAGAUAAAUUUCAUAAUAAAAUUGUUUAAUAACAAAAAUCUUUAUUUUAUAAAAUGGAUAAAUAUGAAAUAAAAAAGUUAUAAAAUUAUUAAAAUAAAUUUAAUAAAUGUGAAUUUUAUAAAUCAAUUAAAAUAGAUAUUUUAUAAUUUUGACAUACCAAUCCAAAAAGGACCUAAGUGACUUAAGCAAGUCUAUCCAAAUUAUAGCAGAUUCCGGAGUAUGACAUACCACUUAAUGGUUCCAAUCCCACACAUAUUAUCAAGUAACGAUGGAGCUGCUGUAUGUAAUAUGACCUUCCUCAAUCAAUAAGCAAAUCAAGGUGUUCUUUCAAGUGCAACUUUGCCUUCAAGAAAAGAAGAAAGAAAGGAAAAAAGAUUGGAAAAAGAGGGAAAGAAAAUAAAAUUCCUAUUCCAUCUAUCUUUGGAUUUCAAUAACAAGCGCAUCUCACCUUCCUUUCAAUAAUAAAACUAGAUGACAACUCAUUUUAUUUAGAGAAUCAACUGUGGAGAAGGCUUCUCCAUGAGAACUAAGGUCACAAUAGUUUACAUAAUGUUGGUCCAUAGUUUGUGAAAUUUUUUCUACCCUGGUUCAAUAAUCAUCAGUAAGAUGGAAAAGCACAAGGAUUCAUUGCUAAAAGGAAGAAUGAUUGAGAAUGAGCAAAAAACAGAAUUUAUAGAACACUGAAUUCAUUACCAGAAAUCACAAAAAGAGAGACAUAAUUCUAGCAUACUCAGUGAAACGUUUCACAUGGAUGCUUUUAAUGUGGACAUUCAUUUUGGAAUUCCUACUUAUCGGGAGGGAAUGUUUCAUGGACUGUAUAUGCCACAUUCAUGGGACAACUUCAGGUGAAAAUAAUAAAAUGGCAUCGGUAUUUAUCAAAGUUACCUUCACCUAUCGGUAAGAUCUUGUCAUUUCGUAUGUUGCAAAACCACCAUCUGCAUUCUGUUGAGAUUCCAAGGGAAAAUCUAUAAAAUGAGUACAACACUCGCCUGAAGUCAGACAGUAGAGAAUCUUAAAUAUUGAUAAUCAGAAAAGACGGGAGAACAGGCUGAACAAGGAAUUAUAACUGGUUCCCAAAGCACACACUUGUAAAAAUCUUCAACACAAAACUUGAGUUGAGAAUCCCAUUCUAGGUAUGCUUGAAAGAUUCAAAAACAAGUUUCAGCCAACAAACAUAAAUUUGCAAUAUACAAGUAUUAUAAAAUCUGAUAUAGAGUUAUAUACUUUUCGGAAUAAUUUUGUGGCCUAGAAUUUUUAAGGCAAUAAUAAAUUUUUUAAAACUGCACAAAGAAGAACAGGUCAAAAUAAUACCUUUUGUAGUUCGGGAUAGAUUGGAUGAUCCCCUCUUCAAUAACACCGAUGCUGUUAAUUAAGUUGGAAUGGACUCUAUGUCAGAAAGGGACGAAAGAGAGUGUGUUGGCUGCCCUUUUGCAUCUUUUUUUGACAAUCUGCAGAAGUGAAAUUGGAAGGUAGUUGAAAAUCGCUCAAAUCCUUUUUUAUGUGCAGUUUUUCAGAAUUUGUAAGGCUUUGUAUAGAAGAGGCAUGAGGUAGGACAACCCUAGGAUGGUUGCCUACACUCAAGGGUAGGUGGGCUAGGGUUUUAUUUUUAGGGUAUAAGGAGAGGAACAAGGAAUAAAUUUUAUGAUAGAGAAAAUUAUAAGAUAAGAAAUAGAGAGAAAGAAGAAACAAUAAAGAAAAUAUGGAAAACCUUAGAGUCUCACUAAGGCCUUCUAGGAGUCUCACCUAGAAGAAAAUCAAUGGAAUCUCACCAUUGAGGGUUGCAACCUUGCAAUGAAAGAAAAUAUAAUAUUAUUCAUAUUAAUUCAUUCAUUUGAUUUACAUUGAUUAGCCUAUUUAUAGGCUUUUCUAUGAAAUCCAAAGUCUACUAGAAUUCUAAUAACCUAUUAUGAUUCUAAUUCUAAUUAUAACAUCCAAAGUCUACUAGGACUCUAAUAACCUAUCAUGACUCAAAUUCUAAUUAUAUUAUAACUCAACUAGCUAAUCCUAAUUAGACUCCAACAAAUACCAAUCCCAAUUCAAUUCUAAUUAAUAUUAAUCCUACUUAAAGUUUACUUAGGUCUUUACUUUCUUCCUUGAAUAAACUUUAAAAGGCUUUCCCCAUCAAGGCAUCUAUGUCUAUGAAGGAUUUUAUAGAUUGAGGGAAUGUUAAGUGCCUUUUUUUUUUUUUUUUUUUUUCUGAUAUUUUGCUUGGUGCCCUUUGCAUUCUCCCUGUCUACUCUGGUAUACCCUUGUUAUGGCUCGUUUGUAGCUUCUUUUUAUAUAUAUCGACCAUGUGCUUACCUAAAAAAAUAAAAAAUAAGAAAGAAAGAAACGCUUUUUGUUUGGACUGCUUGUCCUCUCGCUUCAACUUCAUUUCUUAUGGCAAAUAAAAGAAAGUUAGGUAUGAGAUUCUGAAUUCAGUAUGUUUAAAAUCUAGUUUUUAGAGUGCAUGCUAUACAUUGUGAGCCUAAAUCCUACAAACUUAAGCUUUUAGAAAUUUUUUUGAUAAGAGGUCAUGUAUUUGAACCUAACCACAUGUCUAUUUCCCCACUUUAUUAUUAAGCUUAAAGGAGGUUGUUUGUAGUUUGUUUAUCUAUGGACCUAUAUGGGCAUGUGUGUGCCUAUUUGUUUCUCUAGGUGCAGGUUUGGAGCUGCAUGUGAAGAAGGAUGUUGAAGGGCAUAAUAUACAUUAUAAGCUUUUAGAAUUGGUUGCUAAAACCAGUCGACUAGGAAGCAAAAACGUUUCUUAAAGAUCAAUACCAUUUCUAUUAUAACCAUUUUUUGUUUGCAAACAAAUGCAUAUAUAUGGGGUGAAGUCUAAAGAAUUUCAAAGCUAAACGUACAAGCCAGAUGCAUAAUCAACCAUGAGUUUUAUUAGAUUAUCAUUCAAUGGCAUCAAUCAUUUUUAGAGAGAUGGAAUAGGAGAAAACCAAUGAUUUCUCAGUAACUGAUACCCUACCCAAAAAUCCUUAAGGAAGGAUUUAUAACUAGUAAAGACUAUCAGUUUAUAAACUUUGUGCAUCAGCAAUUAAGUCUUCUACAUGAACUAUGUAUGAAUGUGUAACUGUUUAAAAUAUUCAAAUGAACAAGAAGGUUUAUAAAGUUUUUUCCAUAAUUAAAGGAUGCAAUUCAAUCAAUGGAUUGUUGCUUACUCCGAACUAUGCAUAUAUAUUUAUUUGUCCACUACCGUGAAUAUAGACCAUAUUCUGCACAUUCCAAAAAUCCUAAAUUUUAAAAUGCGAAAACACUCAUUGUUCAAGUCAGUUCUAACACCCAUACCUAUACCCACUCAGUAUGUCCACACCAUAACAUUUACAGCAUCAAACAAUUGCUCCAUAUCUAAUGGUUCCCCAAAUGUUUUCAAUGGAAGUUUAGAUAAUAAUAGAACAGCCUGCACAAGAGAAACAAACAAUAAAAAUGUCCGUAUAACAAGUAUUUUGAGUUAGUUCAGUUGUUACCUUCAAUCCUUCUACUGUACAACCAGAGAUCGGCCAUCCAUGAUCAACACCAUACUCUUCACCUAGGUUUGUUGAAAUAAUUGCUUGAACAACAAAAGAAGUAUCCCAUAAUUGACUUCCAUUAUAAUCCUGCAGUAAACUUAUUAUGUAUAACAGAUGGAUGAUAAAGUUCAAUAAUUUCCAAGGAAUAAAAUACAUAAUCUGCCUUUACAACACGCCACUAUGAAUGGAUAUAGACACUAUAAAUGGCUACAUCCACCAGAAAAAGUAAUAUCACAAUUCUCCAUAACAUAUAAAAUGGAAAUGGCACUUUGAGAUAAACUAGAAAGAGACCAAUACUACUUAUGGACCUGCAUUCUCAUGCCGUCUUCAGCAAUCCACAAAUAAUAAAAAAUUCUUGGAAUAUGCAACUUAAAGGCCUCCGAGUUUGGAUCUUCAAUCCAGCAGCAAAUCAUAUUUAACACCUGUACAAAUUAGAUAACAGGAAAUCAAGACCUUCAUGGAACAGACAAUUAGAUCAAGAGCACCUGAGUAGAGUGGUAGAACUAAAGAAGCUAACUGGUUUAGUUCUUAAUUAAUAGUAAUCGGUACAUUUAUUGAACUUAGUAAUCACUACAUUUAUUGCAGUUCAAAGGACCUUUCUAUACUUCACAUGUACCUUGUUCACAGGCCCUAUGCAUAUAUACCGUGUAUUCUCAUCUUCAUAGUGUACAUGCUGCAUUACAGUGCAUAAAGCCUUCUCUCUCAACUUGUUUCCGGGCCAAUGCCCCAGAAUAGGCUCAAGCACCUUAUGAAGAGAUGCCCAUAGAAUAUCCUGAACCAGUGGAUGUGGAUAGUAUAGAUCUUCCUGCCAAUAAUUGUAAAGACAAAUAUCAAAAUCAUCCGGGACCCUAAAGUAUAAGAAAGAUGCAAUUGAUCUUCUUCAUAAAUUUCCUUCUUAAAUGCUUAUUAAAAUGAUGUCAUUGAUUCGUCCUUCAUGCAGUCGUGCCAUUUGAUUAUGGCCCAGACCGGUGUUAUCAACAAAAUUUAUAAAACCUAAAUCACCUUAUACUAGGAUAGCAUAGCUAACAUAGUAUAGUGGCUCUAGGAUCGUCCACAGGGAUGAGUUUUUGUCAUACAGUUGACUUUAGUGAAGGAAAUAAAAUGGUGCUUUUCCUUAUGAAAAUUAGCUUUUAAAGAAAAUGGAAUUGUGGUUGCAAAGAUUGAUUUUAAGUCAAACAAAAAUAAUAAGUGAAGUUAACUACAAAGAAAAUGUCUCUUGGAGCUUUAGGUCACUAAGAUCAGGUUCCUUAGGAAAAAGGGGAGAUUCCGGAUCUUUUCCUUGCGUUAGGGACAAUAACAUAAAGGAUGGUUAUCUCCCGAACCGGUUUUGUAUUUAGCAAUUAAGAUUUGAUCCAAAGGGUUCAUGAAAAAUGGCAAUUGCUUUCCAUUAAUGGCUUCAAACACUAAAGACCCUCACCUUGAACCACCUUCCAAUGGCUCGUAAAUGAUAACUAAUAGACAUCCAUGGAUCUAGCAAUAAGCAUCCAUAAAAUCCGAAAAGCUUACCAAGUAUUGGGCAUCCAAGGUGAUUUUAAGGGAUUUAAAGCUAAACCUUGAAAUAAAAACCAUUAAUGGUUAACAACUACUUUCAUUUAAAGCAAGGACAACUCCCAUCUUUUCAUUUGGGUCUUUCACCUAGCUUCCCUCACUCCAAGAAACGUAAAACCUAGCCACUCAUCCCCUGAGAAAUCAUCCUCAGAGGUUGUUUGGCUAGAAAGAAAAGUGAAAACAAAAUGAGAAGGAAAGGUAGAGCAAAAGCUCUGUAUAUUUCUUUCUACGGGAAUUUACAAGUGUUCAAUCAUUUUUUCAUUCCCCCACGUCUCUCUCACUCUCUCCCAAAAAAUGUUACCAAAAAUAAAAAUAAAAAUAUAUAAAAGAAAAUAUCUAGGUUGAUUACAAGGGGAAAAUAGGAAAUUACACAAAAUAUCUGGAGAUAAAAAUCUAAUGGAGUCGGUGCACAGGAAGAUUUCGCAUAGUGUGCGAAAUUGCCUUUCACUCAGUCCUGCUCGCAGUCCUGCAGCUGCUCCUCCUCUUGAUUUCUCAUGCUAUGCGAAAUUUUCACAUAGCCAUGCGAAAUUUUCACAUAGCCAUGCGAAAAAUGCUGGUUGUUGGAUUUCUUCCUCUGGUUUUCUUCCUUGCAUCUCUAAUUGGCUUGACAACCUAUUGCCAAGCUUGGCAAAGGGCUAUGAAGUGCUCCAAAGCUCGGAUUCUUUAUGUAUUUGAGCUUCAACUUGUAUUGCCAUGGAUUUCACAAAAUUCUCCCUCAUUCUUGGCUUGUUUCAAUGAUCAAAUAGCUACCAAAAACACCAAAACUUGCCAAAAACUGAUUAGUAACCCUUGCUAGGUCCUUAAUGUGCCAAUUGAGUUAAAAAGUAUUAACUACCACUCAAUAGUGUUUAAAAUAGUUAGUUUCAAGCUAUAAAAGAGUACUUUUUGAGUAGUAAUCACUCCCCCUAACCGACAUAUUGCUAGUCCCUUAGCAAUGAAGGAGAGAUAAAGAAAAAUAGACAGUAAAAUAAUUUUCAAAAUCAUGCUAAUCAUUUCAAAAAAUUUUCAAGUGGCAUGAUGCUGAUUAUACUCUCUCAUGGAACAUCAAAGAGGUAAAACCUAACCUUCAACAAAAGUCAUCAAAUCUCUUGCCUAAUCACAAUUUAUAAAGAGUAGGCAUUAUGCAAAUUUAAGCAUCAAAAGAAUUUCUACUCCCAAAGGUCGAAUCCUUAUUUUUCCACAAAAAUCUAAGUGUUAAGCUUAUUAGUUUCCGAUUAUAGUAUGUCGAACUAUUCUCUCCCCCCCAACCUAGUUCUUUCUCAAACCUUAGGAAACUAACCAACUUCCAAUAGGCUAAGAAUGCACCUCUUUUAUUUCACAAUUUUUUUUUCAUUGUAGGAGUGCAAUGCUAAAGGUAUUGUUUUCUAAAGUGUCUAUGUAACAGGGAUCCAUCGAUGACUCCCAACCAAUCAACGUUUAGGGCAUCAAGCUUUAAGGAUCUUUCGACCAAUAACUCCUCAGAUUUUUCCCCGGGCUUUUGAGAUUGAAAUUCAAUAUCCAAGCACCUACAAUAUGUUAAACUCCACAUAUUCACCCUUGUAACGAGCAUUGAGGUCGGUGACUCCCAACCAAUAAAGGCUUAGGGCACCAGGUUUUAAAGACUUUCACCAUAUACCCCUUGGACCUUGCUGAAGUUUCAAGGCAAGUGAAACACUUUGUUCUUUCUUUAUAUAUAUAUAUAUAUAUUUAAAGGCUCAUUGGCAUUUUAUAAGGUAUCCUAACACUAUUAAAAUAAGGUCAAAGGUACCAAGUCGAAAUUUUCCUAAGUUCAGGGGGUGAAAUAGUUUUCCAUCUUAUAAUCGGAACCUAAUGUGCACAGUGUGUGGUAAGAUUAAAGUGGAAAAAAUAAGGUUGAAUUCAAUAGGAGUUUCAAUAAUUCAUCAACUUCAAUAAGCAUAAUACAAACUCUAAGAUUCAAGUAAAAAGACAAGAACUCAAUUUCUCCCAUUUCAUUUUGAGAAUUUUUCCUUAAUAACCAUGGAGAGUAGAGUAAAAACUUUUAAAAUUAAGCAAAAAGUAACUAAAUUAACAAAUUAACCUAGCAUUAUUAACAAUUCUUCCUUCCUCAACUCUCCCCCUAAUCAAGAUCAACAUUGCCCUCAAUGUGUCAAGAGCAAUUGAAAUAAAGGGAGGAAGUGGUAUCUCCUGAGUGAAAUGGAGUUUGAUUCAUAUAAGAGAAACCACAUGAGUAAAAAAAACAAAAGAGUAAUGAGUAGAGGAAAUAGAAAAAUGUUAAGUAUAAUAAAAAAAAUGAUGUCUAUAUAUUAAUAUGAGAAAGUACAAUAUAAGAUAUGAUCAAAUAAUAUAUCCAAUCCCAGAAUAUAAAACAUCAAAAUAAGAACAAAUCUCCACUAAUAUAAUAUGUAAAUACAAUAAGAUAAAGAGAUGUCCUAUGAUCAAGUAGUGGCAGCCUCAGGUGGAGAUGAUGCAUCCUCAGGUGUAGUUGUGACUGUGUCAACUAUCUGAGGCUCAUCAUGAGGAUCAUAUGAAGCAAUGGCAUCUGUGGUGGCCUCCUAAGGUGGUGGGAUAUGGACCUCUACUAUGGUAGUGUCCUCAGCUGGAAUAGUAUCCUCAGUUAGAGCUAAAGGCUCUGAUGAUGCAAGAAGGUCAGGCUAAGGUGGAGGCAGAAGUCCUAGGUGCUACUAAAUCUGGUGGAGUAUAAUAGUCUGUUGGUCCUAAUGGGCACGCAUCUCAACCAUCUGCUGGAAGAGAGCAGCAUGUGUGGUGGUCAGUGUUUGAAAGGUAUGUACAAGGCCGCGAAACUUCGAAGCAGAGAUGGUGAUGGAAGGCUUGGAUGUAGUAGGAGCAACUGGUGGAACAGUAGGAGUCAUAGGGGGAGCAGCAGAAGUAGCCUCAAGCAUAGGCACUGGUGGUGUUGAAGUAGGUGAUAUAGGGGCAGGUGGUAUAGUCUUUGUCAGAAGCUCGCCCUGCUCUGUCUGUGGGGGCACUAGAGGUGUUACCAUGGAAAGGGCUUCUAGAGGUGCAGAAUAGCCCGCCAACUGAUUCCAUUUUUCCAGAGUGAAUUGCUCUCGACAAAGCCAACGACGCUCGAGCCGAAGCUCAGUAGGAAAGCCCAUAUACUCUAAGAUCUGGCAAAGCAACCUCAGGAAUAGUAAUGGAAUGGUGUCCACCCUCUGAAGCUUCUUCCUAUGGACCUUCUCCUCAAAGUGGAGGAUGGAGGCCAUGAUUAAGUGGUGUGGGCCAAAGUAGAAGCCCUUUGAUAUAUGGAAUAAAGCGUCUAAAAUAGCUCAUCGCCACUGUACCGAAUGCUAUAGGGGAAAGAGGUUGGAGCGUAGCACCACAUCUACGAGGAGCAUCCCAAGUGGAAGCUCCUUCCGUAGAAGGAUCGAAUAUGUAGAGGUCCCCUUGGAUAAAAUGUGGACCAUGUCCCUCUGAGAUACUAGGGACCACUGGCCGAAAGCAGAUGGAUCAACUGGCUUGAAAGGAAUAUGUAGAGUCUCUGCAAUAUGUUUGGCCUCAAGGAUACCAUGACAUCCAUCAAUGGUGAAGUGAAUCGCGGUAGGACUCAGGAUGCCACGAGUAGUCAUAGACUGGUAAAAGUCUAAUGUUACUCUAGGAUAAAAGAACUCACAAUGAGUCAUAAGGUGCUCAAGAUAGUACCUCUGCAAUAGGUCAUAAGAGUCUCGGAGCUCAGGCUACUGUUGCAUGGCCUCUUGAUCAAAAUAUAACUCCGAGUAGGAAGGUCUCACUCUACAAUCUGAGUUACCCUCAAUGGGUGGUGCUGCAAACAUCGGGCGUUUGAUAAUAGACUCCAGUGACUGUCAGAAGGAAGCUCAGAAUCUACAGGAGCUUGAGCAUGUGUAGCUACAGGAGGCUCAGGUUGUGGAGCUCUAGAUAACUCGCCUAGGCCUGAAGUCCUGACCCUUUUGGCAGGAGGGCGCCGCACUGAAAUCUCAGGGCGUGAAGUAGUCGCCCCUGGUGUAGUAGGUGGUCUCCUUGUCUCAUAUCUGCGUUGAGGAGCAGGAUAUGAAGGACUUGUGGGCACUCCAUCCUCAAAAGGUGGAAUUUGUAGGGCCUCCGUGGCCUAAGAUGGAGAAUCACGAGGCACCCGAGCAGAUGAGGCUCUCUACCUCGAAGUGCGACUCGGUGAGAGGGCGGAAAGGGCUCCUUGGGUCCGUGCCAUGUCGAAAAUGGAAGGUGGGCCUUAGGUAUGUGCUCGAAGGGGGCUCGGAGUGCGACUCUUUGAAGUAAGAUGCGCGUGGCGGGGUGUUGAAUGGAAAGAGACGAGGUGACACUAUGAAGAGAUGAGGUCGCAAGGUGGCAAAGGAAAAUGAGGGGUUCGCAAUGAUAGGGGUGCUUGCGAAAUGAGAAAAUUAGGGCUCGGGGGUUUAAAAAGAGAUGGUAGAGUGUCUUUUGGUUUUCGUACAACGUCUUUUGAUUUUUGCAUAGAGUGCGAAAUGGGUUCGCAAACCCCUUAGGUUUUUGUAUAGUGUUUCGCACUGUGUUGGGUAUGCGAAAUGAGUUCGCAGGGUUAAUUUAUUUUCGCACAGUAUGCGAAAUUGGUUCGCAGGGUGUGCAAAAUUGGUUCGCAGGGUGUGCGAAAUUAGUUCGCAGGGUGUGCGAAAUUGGUUCGCAGGGUGUGCGAAAUUUUCACAGCCCAUGUGAAAUGAGCCAUGAAUUUCGCAUGUCUUGCGAAAAUUUCACAGGGUGUGUGAAUUGCCUUGGUUUUUCCUUUGCUAAGAAUCUUUAAGGACACACCCAACUGCUUUGAAGUCCCCCCUGCAAUUGAUCAUCAAAAACCUAAGUUAAAUCAAACCAAAAUAAAAUUAAAACAAGAAAUCAAAAUCAAAACAAGUAAUAAUACAAGAAAACUCUCAAAUAAAAAAUAAAACAAAAAGAUAUGGACUGAUAGUCUUUAGAAAGACUAAGUCCAUAAAAAAAAACUAGUCUUGUCAAGCUUGAUGUGGAUCAAGGAGGAUGAAUUCCUCUUUGUCAUGGGAAAAAUGCUCUACAAAGGGCUUGAGACGAUGGCCAUUCACUUUGAAGCUCCUAGUGCUGUUGGAGUUGAGUAGUUUCACUACUCCAUUUGAAUAACCUUGGUAAAUGGUAAAAGGACCUAUCCACCUUGAUUUCAGCUUGCCUGAAAAGAUGUGGAGCUUAGAGUCAUAGAGCAAGACUCUUUGUCCCUUUUGAAAAUCCUUAUGGGAAACCAACUGAUCAUGCCACCUUUUCAAUUUCUCUUUUGCAAUUUUUGAAUUGAUGUAGGCAUCAUUUCUCAAUUCUUCCAACUCAUUAAGGUCUAAGAACCUCUUCAACUUAGCUCUGCUCAAAUCCAUGUUGAGCUUCUUGAUUGCCUACUAAGCCUUGUAUUCCAAUUCCACAAGGAGAUGACAUGCUUUGCCAUAGACUAGGCAAUAAGGAGACAUCCCAAGAAUGGUCUUGUAAGCUGUUCUAUAUGCCCAUAGUGAAUCAAGGAGCUUGACUGACCAAUAUUUUCUGUUUGUGUUCACCACCUUCAUCAAUAUGUUUUUAAUCUCCCGGUUUCCUAACUCAACUUGCCCACUAGCUUGAGGGUGGUAAUGUGUAGCUACCUUAUGCUUCACCCCAUACUUGGCUAGGAGAGUUUCAAAAGGCUUGUUGCAAAAAUGAGUACCCCCAUCACUAAUUAUGGCUUUGGCGCUAUUUGAUGCGACUCAUGGUAGCUUAGCUUUAAAGGCGUAUCAACAAAAUUUAUACCUUAAAUACUAUUACUAAAGUAGCCAAGCUACUAUAGCAUAGUGGUUCUAGGAUCGUUCACUGGGAAGGGUUUUCGCAAACACUGGUGAAGUUCGGAGGAUGGAGUGAACUUUUCUUAAUAAAAAUUAGGUUAAGAUGAAAACAUAAAAAGAUGAAGGUGUUGUAAACUAAACUAACAUGAAAAUAGGUUAAAAGAUGGAAAAAGAAGUUUCUCAAAGCUUUGGAUAGCCAUGCUUAACUCACUAUGUAAAAAUGGAGAUUUUGGGACUUUUCACCUCGAGUUGGGGAAGCAACUAAGUGAUGCUUACUUCCCGAACCGGUAUGAGUUUAACAAUUGAGUUUUAGUCCUUGAAAACUUACAAAAAGGGUAGCUGACCUCAUAAAUGCUCUUUUAUUGGUAUAAGUCAUCUCCUCGACUUGCAAUACAAUUGCUCGUAGAGAUUACUAAUGAACGUCAGUGGAUCUACAUAAUGAAUCCCCUGANNNNNNNNNNNNNNNNNNNNNNNNNNNNNNNNNNNNNNNNNNNNNNNNNNNNNNNNNNNNNNNNNNNNNNNNNNNNNNNNNNNNNNNNNNNNNNNNNNNNAAGGUUUCAGCCUCUCAUCCUUGGGGAUUUCAUCCUCCAAGGAUGUUUGGCUACUAAGAAAAUGAGAAAGAAAAUAGAAAAGAAGCGUAUGAACAAAAGUGCUCUUAUAACUUAUAAAGUUACAGGUUACAAGAUAUCUUUGUCUGAGGCUCUUCACCUCUAUUUAAAGACAAUAACAAGCUAAAUUACAAGAGCUAUUACAAAAGCAACCUAUUCAUUGGUUGAUUACAAGGGUAAAAUAGGUAUUUACAAAGCUAAAAAUCAAGCAAAAUAUCUUGGAGAACCGGCAGUGGAAUAUCAUCAACAGCGUCUCAAAACAGGGGAUUUCAAAGGCAUUUUCGCAAAGGGGAAAGAUGAAGGGUCCAAAUUUCGCAAGGUGAAAAGGCACCUUGCGAAAUUUGGACCGGUCAUCUUGCACCUUGGCGAAAAUGCCUUGGAGAUCCUUCGUGUUGAGACGCGGUGUNNNNNNNNNNNNNNNNNNNNNNNNNNNNNNNNNNNNNNNNNNNNNNNNNNNNNNNNNNNNNNNNNNNNNNNNNNNNNNNNNNNNNNNNNNNNNNNNNNNNAUUUCGCAAGACGAAGGAGCUCCUUGCCAAAUUUCGCAAGGUGAAAAGGCACCUUGCGAAAUUUCGCAAGGUGGUUCUUCAUGGUGCGAAAUGGUGUUCCCAUGGCUUGAUGCAGUUGUCUUCCGAAGGCCAUAUCUUCCUCAUUUCAGCUCCAAAUCGUACACGGUUUGAAGCGUUAGAUUCUUGACUUCCUGAUCUUUGAAAUGGUAUAUAGCAUUUAGAAAAUGGACUUCAGGAAGUGCUCCAAAAGUGUGAAAGAAUACUGUAGCUUCUGUCCUCUAUUUUCUUCACUCUGUUUUCCUCUUCUCCAUUGUUCUUUCCUUGCAUACUUUGAACGACUUUGGCAAAGGGCUAUGGAGCUCCAAAGCUUGGUUCUUCAUGAAUUUGAGCUUCCAAAAUCUUUGCCAUGAACUAUAUACAGCUCUCCCUCAUUCUUGGAUUGCUUUGGUGUAGCUAAAAGCUAUCAAAAACACCAAAACUUAACACAAUUUGAUUAGAAACGAUUGCAAGGGUCCUUAACAUGUCAAUUGGGUUAAAUGAAUAUGAUUACUACUGAAAGGUGCUUAAAACCAUUAUAAUUAGGUCUACAAAAUAGCACUUUUUGGUAGUAAUCAGGCACCCCAAAUCUUGAGAAGAUGUUUUCCUUAAGAAACUUGGGAAUCACUCUAUGGUCAUUGUGUUUGCAUGAGAUUGCCUCAACCCACUUAGAAACAUAAUCUACUCCCACCAAGAUGUAAGAGUAGCCAGAAGACAUAGGGAAAGGUCCCAUGAAGUCAAUGCCCCAAACAUAAAAAAAAUCAACUAUCAAAAUAGGGUUCAAAGGCAUCAUGUUCCUGCUUGUCAACUUCCCAAGCCUCUGGCAUCGAUCACAACUCUUGCACAUGGUGUGAGUAUCUUUGAAAAGUGAUGGCCAAUAGAAACCUAUUGCAACACCCUCAUGGCUAUCUUCUAAGAAGCAAAGUGGCUUCCACAUGCAUUUUCAUGGCAAUGACUCAGGAUUCCCUUUUGUUGUUCUUCAGGAACCCACUUCCUUAUUAUCUGAUCCACACAAUACUUGAAUAGAAAUGGCUCCUCCCAAUAGUAGGCAUGAAUUUUUUCAACGAAGUGCUUCUUAUCUUGUGUUUUCUACUCACUUGGAACUUCUCCUAUGACUAGGUAGUUCGCAAUGUGAGCAUACCAAGGAGUAACUUCCACCAACAUAAGAGACUCUUUUGGAAAAUCAUCAUUAAUGGGCAAACCAUGGGAAUUAUGUGCGAUAGCUAGCCUUGAAAGGUGGUCUGCUACCACAUUCUCCACUCAUUUCUUGUCUUUGAUUUGGAGAUUGAACUCUUGAAGCAAGAGAAUCCAUCUAUUCAACCUUGCUUUAGCAUCUUGCUUAGUCAACAAAUACUUUAAAGCAGAGUGAUAAGUGAAAACCACAAUGAAAGACCUGACCAAGUAAGCACGAAACUUAUCCAAGGUAAAAACUACAACUAACAAUUCUUUCUAGGUGGUUGUGUAGUUUCUUUAAGCCUCAUUCAAUGUCUUGCUUGCAUAGUAGAUCACAUAGGGUUUUCCAUAUUCUUUUUGCCCAAGAAUAGCUCAUAUAGCAAAGUCACUGGCAUCACACAUUACCUCAAAGGGAAGUUGCCAGUUGGGAGCCCUCACUAUUGGUGCGGUUGUCAGAAAUAGCUUCAAUUCUUCAAAACUCCUUUGGCAUCUAUCAUCCUAUAUGAAUUUAGCAUCCUUCACCAAUAGUUCACAAAGAGGCCUUGCAAGCUUAGAUAAAUACUUGAUAAACUUCCUAUAGAACUCGGCAUAGCCAAGGAAUUGCCUUACUCCUUUGACAUUUAUUGGGGAUGGUAACUUAACAAUGAGUUCAACCUUUGCUUUGUCAACUUCAAUGCCUUGCUUGGAUAUGAUGUGCCUAAGGACAAUCCCUUGGUGUACCAUGAAAUGGCACUUCUCCUAAUUAAGCACUAAGUUUUUCUCAAUGCAUCGGUUUAGAACAGCUUCUAAGUUGACCAAGCAUUCAUCAAAUGCACUUCCAUAUAUAGUGAUAUCAUCCAUAAAGACUUCCAUAAUAUGCUCCACCAUAUCACUGAAAAUGCUUAACAUGCAUCUUUGGAAAGUUGCGGGUGCAUUGCAUAAGCCGAAAGGCAUUCUCCUGUAUGCAUAAGUUCCAAAUGGGCACGGGAAAGUGGUAUUCUCCUGGUCUUCAACAUCAAUUUCUAUAUGAAAGUACCCGAAGUAGCCAUCCAAGAAACAAUAAAAAGGAUGCUCAAAGACCCUCUCAAGCACCUGAUCAAUAAAGGGCAACGGGAAAUGGUCCUUCCUUGUCACCGCAUUCAGCCUCCUGUAAUUGAUACACACUUUCCAACCUGUAGUGAGGUGUGUAGAGACCUCUUCUCCCUUAUCAUUUUGCACCACCGUGAUCUCUGACUUCUUUGGCACAACUUGAGUAGGACUCACCCAUAGGCUAUCUGAUAUGGGGUAAAUAAUACCGGCCUGAAGUAGCUUAAGAACUUCAGCUUGCACCACCUCUUGCAUAUGAGGGUUCAACCUUCUCCGAGGUUGACAAACUGGCUUAGCUUCAUCCUCCAUGUAAAUAUGAUGGGUGCAGACUAAAGGGCCGAUCCCUUUCAAAUCAGCUAUUUGCCACUCUAUUGUUUUUUUACAUAUUCUAAGGACUUCAAGUAGACAAUCCUCCUGAUGGAUGGUAAGAGCUGAAGAUAUAACAAUAGGGCACUUCUUGUCUUCUUCCAAGUAUGCAUACUUCAAAUUUGUGGGUAGUGGCUUAAGAAUAAGCUUUGGGGGGUCCUCUUUAGCAGCUCUUUGUGUCUUCUCCUCAUUGAAUAAGGGUAGAAUUUCUUCUCUCCUCCUCCAAGGGGGUAGGGUAGCAAGCAAAUCUGAGGGUUCAGGUAACCCUUCAUUAAGAUCCCCAAAACUCUCAAUCAAAUCCUCCUGCAUUCUCUGAUCACAAUGCUCCUCCACUAAAGUGUCAAUCAUGCACAGUUCCUUUGGACCUUCUUCUUCUUCCAGAUGAAUAUGCUUCUAGCACAAAUGGAAGAUGUUGAGCUCUAAUGUCAUGUUGCCAAACGUGAGUUACAUGACUUUAUUCCUACAAUUGAUGAUUGCAUUUGAUGUAGCUAGGAAUGGUCUUCGAAGUAUGAUUGGAACAUAAUUAGUUCCUUUGACAACCGAAUCCGUAUCAAGAACAACAAAAUCCAAUGGAUAGUAGAAUUUGUCAACUUGAACCAAGACAUCUUCAAUCAUCCCUAUUGGAAUCUUCACUGAUCUAUCUGCCAGAGAUAGAGUGAUGGAUGUUGGCUUCAACUCUCCAAGUCCCAACUGCUUGUAGACAAAGUAGGGUAGCAAAUUCACACUUGCUCCCAAGUCCAACAAAGCUUUCUCCACACAAGUCCCUCCAAUACUCAUUGAGAUGGUAGGGCAGCCUAGAUCUUUGUACUUCACUGGAGACUUACACUAUAUGAUGGCACUCACUUGCUGAGUUAAGAAGGCUUUCUUGUUCACAUUCAACCCUCUUUUUACAGUGCAUAAGUCCUUCAAGAAUUUUGCAUAUGUCGACACUUGUUUGAUCAUGUCUAGCAAAGGGAUAUUGACCUUCACUUGCCUCAACACUUCAAAUUUUUUUGAUGCAUUAUUGGUUCCCUUUUUGCCAUGCAAAGCUUGGAGGAAAGGUGGAGGCAUGUGUUUCUUCAUCAUAUCUUCCUUGAUGACUAUCCUCUCGGGUUCUUCAUCCACACUAGAAUCAUGGUCAUCUUUCUUUGUACUUUUCCCUUUUCUCUUUCCUUUAAUUUCCUCACUCUUUUUUUUUUCUACUACACUCUCUUCAUCAUGCUUUGGCUUGGAUGUGGGCUGAUCAACCUCUUUACCACUCCUCAAGGUGAUAACUUCUUUGACUUCCCUCACUUUUGAAUAUUCUCCCUCUUGAGCCUCCAUUUCAUGGAUACCCUUGGGAUUUUGUUGAGGUUGAGAAGGAAACUUUCCUUUCUCUUGCACUGUGUUGAGGUUGGUAAGCCUUGAGAUUGCGUAUUGGACAUUGUCUAUCUUUUGAGACAGUCAUUUUGCAUCUCAUCCAUCAUUUUGUUCAAUGUACUCUCCAUACUAUCAAUUCUCUGAUUCAGUUGAGCAUUGAUGGAAUUCUAAUCUCCUACAAAGUCUCCCACAACCUUGCUAAGGUUCACAAUAACUUGUUCAAGAUUCGAGGCUUGCUAAGGUGCUUGAGCAGGUUGUGUGUACAGAGGUGGAUUUGGUUUCCAAGAGAAAUUUGGAUGGUUCCUCCAAUAUGAAUUGUAGGUGUUGCCAUAUGAAGCAUUGUUAUUGGGCUUGAAUUGACCAAUAACAUUUGCUUGAUCACCAAAAAUCUCUCUUACUACUGGAAUUGUAGGACACUCCUCCACCCUAUGCUCAUAAGAUUGACAAAUGGAACAAGGCAUAGCUUGCACUGGUAUCUCAGAAAUGGCUUGCACUUCUUGUACCUUCUUCAUUUCUAGCUCUUCCAAUCUCCUUGCCAUAGCUGCAACCUUUGCCUUCAUGUCAAUGUCUUCAUUCAAAACAUACAUCCCACCCUUAGCAUUAGGUUGAGACUUCAUUAUUCCCAACUCUCUAGCAUUUGGUUCAUCCCAUCCUCUUGAAACUUCAGCCACAUAACUCAAAAGGUCCAUGGCUUCCUCCGGAUUCUUAUUCAUGAAGUCUCCUCCACACAUAGUUUCUAGGAGUUGCUUCAUUGAAGAAGACAUACCAUCGUACAAAUAGCUCACUAAAAGCCAUGUGUCAAAGCCAUGGUGAGGACAAGCAUUAAUAGCUUUCAUGUACCUCUCCUAACACUCAUAGAAUUUCUUAUUCUCCUUAGUUGAGAAGUUCAAAAUUUGCCUUUUCAAACCAUUGGUCCUAUGAGUAGGGAAGAACAUCUUGAGAAACUCGGCUUGCAAAUCAAUCCAAGUUCGGAUACUCCUUGGCCUUAGAGAAUUAAGCUAAAUCUUGGCCUUAUCCUUCAAGGUGAAAGGAAAUAACUUGAGCCUCAUCAAGUCAAUUGAAGCUCCUCCUUCUUGGAAUGCAUUACAAACCUCCUCGAAUUACUUAAUAUGUGAGUAGGGAUUCUCACUUUCCAUCCCAUGGAAAGUAGGUAGGAGUGGCACGAUGUGAGGUCGGAUUACUAGUUGCUCAAUGGGAGGCACUAUGCAUGAUGGUGCACUCAUACGAGGUGGAUGCAUGUAGUCCCUCAUGGAUCGGUAUGCAUUGAAAUUAUCCUCUUGACCAUGUUGGCUAUUCUAGUCUUUAGGUAGAACAUCCAUGAUGUUCAAGCACACUUCCAACUCAGUUUCUCGAGGAGUUUCGAUUUUCACAAGUCUUCCCUCAAUAUCUCUUAUCUAAUAGGGCAUGCACAAUUAGAUACCACUGAAACAAAAAACAAAGAAAACAAAAGAAGUACAAUUCUAGGAAAAGUUAGGUUAGCUAAAAACUAAAUAAAAGAUAAGCUAAAAUAGAGACAAAGAAAAAUAAUUAGUAAAAGAAAAAUCACAAAACUUGUGAUGAAGAUCACAAGUGUUCACCAAAGGUCAUGUUAAUGCACUUUGGCACCAUCCCCGACAAUGACGCCAUUUGAUUCGUCCCUCAUGCAGUCAUGCCAUUUGAUUCUGGCCUAGACAGGUGUUAUCAACAAAAUUUAUAAAACCUAAAUCACCUUACACUAGGGUAGCAUAGCUAACAUAGUAUAGUGGCUUUAGGAUCGUCCACAGGGAUGGAUUUUCUUCGUACAGUUGACUUUAGUGAAGGAAAUAAAAUGGUGCUUUUCCUUAUGAAAAUUAGCUUUUAAAGAAAAUGGAAUUGUGGUUGCAAAGAUUGAUUUUAAGUUAAGCAAAAAUAAUAAGUGAAGUUAACUACAAAGAAAAGGUCUCUUGGAGCUUUAGGUCACUAGGAUCGGGUUCCUUAGGCAAAGGGAAAGAUUCCGGAUCUUCUCCUCGCGUUAGAGACAAUAACAUAAAGGAUGGUUAUCUCCUAAAUCGGUUUUGUAUUUAGCAAUUAAGAUUUGAUCUAAAGGGCUCAUGAAAAAUGGUAAUUGCUUCCCAUUAAUGGCUUCAAACACUAAAGACCCUCACCUUGAACCACCUUCUAAUGGCUCGUAAAUGAUAACUAAUAGACAUCCAUGGAUCUAGCAAUAAGCAUCCAUAGAAUCUGAAAAGCUUACAAAGUAUUGGCCAUUCAAGGUGAUUUUAAGGGAUUUAAAGCUAAACCUUGAAAUAAAAACCAUUAAUGGUUAACAACUACUUUCAUUUAAAGCAAGGACAACUCCCAUCUUUUCAUUCGGGUCUUUCACCUAGCUUCCCUUACUCCAAGAAACGUAAAACCUAGCCACUCAUCCCCUUAGAAAUCAUCCUCAGAGGUUGUUUGGCUAGAAAGAAAAGUGAAAACAAAAUGAGAAGGAAAGGUAGAGCAAAAGCUCUGUAUAUUUCUUUCUACGAGAAUUUACAAGUGUUCAAUCAUUUUUUCAUCCCCCUACGUCUCUUUCUCCCUCUUUCCCAAAAAAUGUUACCAAAAAAAAAUAUAAAAAGAUAUCAAAGAAAAUAUAUAGGUUGAUUACAAAGAGAAAAUAGAAAAUUACACAAAAUAUUUGGAGAUAAAAAUCUAACGAAGUCGGUGCAUAGGAAGAUUUCGCAUACCAUGCAAAAUUGUCUUUCACUCAGUCCUGCUUUCAGUCUUGUAGUUGCUCCUCCUCUUGAUUUCACAUGCUAUGUGAAAUUUUCACAUAACCAUGCGUAAAUGCUAGUUGUUGGAUUUCUUCCUCUGGUUUUCUUCCUUGCAUCUCUGAUUGGCUUGGCAGCCUAUUGCUAAGCUUGGAAAAGGGCCAUGAAGUGCUCCAAAGCUUGAAUUCUUCAUGUAUUUGAGCUUCAACUUGUAUUGCCGUGGAUUUCACAAAAUUCUCCCUCAUUCUUGGCUUGUUUCAAUGAUCAAAUAGCUACCAAAAACAACAAAACUUGCCAAAAACUGAUUAGUAACCCUUGUUAGGUUCCUUAAUGUGCCAAUUGAGUUAAAAGGUAUUAACUACUACUCAACAGUGUUUAAAACAGUUAGUUUCAAGCUAUAAAAGAGUACUUUUUGAAUAGUAAUCAGUGAUCAUCAUGAAACUGCAAAUUAAAUAAAUUUUGAGGAAAAAAAAUGAUUGAAAAUCUAAAUGCAUAUUGCUAGUUGACUUGAUUUAGAAUUUUAAGGAAAUAUAAUAGUUGAACCACAAUAAAAACCAGAAUUUAGUUGUAAAUUGUAUAUAAUAGACUCCCAUUCUUCAUUAGGUGAAUUACUUUCAAAAGAUUGGCUCAUUUUUGCAAGAGAACCUAUUUCUUUUCACAACAUCCAAAAAACUUCUCUUAGACCCUUGGCUACUCAACAAUAAGCUUAGAGAAAAGGAUGAACAACCCCUAAAGUUAUUAUUCAUAAAGUAUUAGUGUAAUUUACAACUCAAUAGGAAAUACAUGAAAUUUAUAUAUAAAAAGAUUCAUAUGUGCUGCAUUUUAAAUUUCCAUUAAAUUCCCAAAUGCAGGAACACAACCUUACUUUGGAGAUAUUUUUCAAUGACAAAUGAAAAUCAUGGUGUUAACAAUAUGUCAGAAAUCUUAAUUAAUAUCUAUAAAGUAUCGAUAUUAUUUUAACACUUACACUUAACUAACCAAAAUGCCAAUAAACACAUCGAAUUACAUACUGAUAAAAUGUUGAUAUUAUCAAAACAUUAUACAAACCAAAUUUAUGUUGUGAUUACCUUUUCUCUUUUUCCAUUUUUUUUCAUUUUGUAGAUCCUCCAAAAUGAGUUUUAAUUUUCCUUUUGAAUCCUCUAGAAAGACUUCUUAUUGCAUAAGACUUCUUUCAAAUAACAUUUUUUAUACAGUACUUGCAUUGAAUUACUUGCCCUUGACAUCACUUGUAUAUUGAUUUAUACAUAGAGCAUUUAAAUUAUGAAUCCAUCUUAAAUCAUAUCAAGAUUGUCUUCAACCUUUUGUUUUUGUUUGGUUGUAAGUUCUCAGCAACACAACAUCUUCCAUUUUAGGAAAACCCUAUCACCAAAAGCCACAAAACGAUUAGAAGCUAACCUAUUUUAAAAGGCCCAAUGAUUUAAGAAACAUUAUUAAGAUGGCUUUCUCAUCCAUUACUACAAAAAUUCCCUCCAUUGUAGGCAACAACAAAAAUUCCUAGUACCUCUCAUCAUGCCAAACACAUUUCAAAUGGGCAAUACACAUGUUAAUCAAAGCCACCGUAAAUAAUAUUUUUUUUGCACAAGAGACUUGGUCAAGGAACCAUAGAAGCUUUAGUCUAAAAAUAUUAUCUCUAUUGGAGUAAAAAAUAAAUAAAUAAAUAAAUUUUAAAAAUAAGGUUGAAUAUAGUGAACUUCACAUGAAGUUAAAAUAGACAAUGAAAAAAAAAAGAAAAGAAAAAAGAACUCCACAAUUUGAUCAAGAUGCCAACAUGACUAAGCAACUCUUGCUUAUAUCUAUGUUAUUUUCAGGAAGAAGCAUAUAUGGCACCACCACCCUUUCAUCCUUAGUGAAGGGAGAGUUAUGCAUGGGGUAUGGACUAAAAGCAAUCCACCAAAGCACAAUUGGAGCACUUUGGUGUUGCAUUUUUGUACUUUCAGCAAUAGAGUUUCAGUUAGACAAUACAACAUAGGCCCAUAGUACCACUUCUUUUGUGACUAUCAUACUUGCUGACAACACAAAAUAAAAUUUUCAAGGUAAAAAAAACAUCUACUGGAUUUCUCAUAUAGAUCCAAUCAAUGUAUCUCCUUGGAAUCAGAUAGGUGAGAUCAAGACAUGGGGAAAAUUACUUCACAAUGAAGAUACUCCUUGAUCUUCUUACAUAUACCAGUAUGCUUCAAAAUGGAGAGAAACUUGUAGACAUCCUAGUGAUGGUUAACAUAAAAUCUAUCAGCAACUAAUAAGAUUAAUUUUCAGGGGAUAAACUUGUAGAUCAUCCAUAUGCAAGGAUACUGAUCAGAAGCACAGUUGUGGACCCGCAUUUUUCACGUGCGUCCCCACUCGAUCGGCUAGACUCGCUUUUUAUUUGUAAAAAAAUAAUUUUUGGAAAAGUCGGAGUCGCCACUUAUUUUAUUUUUAUUUUAAAGGGAAAAUAAAACAAGAAAUAAAACCCUAAAAAAAACGACUCCAUAAUUUUUGGAAAAACAUGUCUUUGAAAAACUUGAGUCUAAGUCCAGGGAUCAGGUUACUUAUUGGGAAGGUACCUCUGGGAGGUAGCACCCCUCUAAGCCCUAAAGAGGUCUCUACUGACUAAAUUGGGGGUAAUGUGGCAAUUAAUUGAUUAAUUGAGGAUACCUAGAUAGACUAAGUUGAUUUCAAAAAAUAACAUGCCAAAUAGGAUCAAAUUACCAUAAAGAAGAGUUAGGGUGCAUACCAGGACGACUUCUCAAGCGUUAUCAUAAAACAUUAAAGUUAGUAUUGAGAUACAUCACACAACAUGCAUUUUAUCAAAGAUAAUCAAACAAUCAUCAAAUGUAUAUCAAGGCAAUCAAACAAGAUAGCAAGCAUGGGCAUAGUACGCAACGACAAUCAUAUUCAUAGGGUUUAGAAAGUGGGUAUUAGGGAACGUACCUGAAUAGCAUAUAUAACUCCUAAUGCUCCUUAGGACAUGAGGGUUAGAUAAUAAAUAAUAAAUAAUAAAUCCUAGCAUGCCUAUCUAAUUAAUUAGCAAAAAUUAUUAGGAUACAGAAUAAUUAACCAUACAUAUCUUGUAUACAAUUCCUAAAAAGAAAAAUGUAAAUAUGAUUACAAUAAAUAGCAGGGUAGUAGCAAAAAUAAAUUUUGAAAAGAUUUUCUUAUGUAGGGGUUUCACCAAUUCCCCAAAUUAAUAUACACGAAUUUAGCCUAAAAUUAUCCCAUUUAUUAGGACCACAAGCUUUGAUUCGUGUUUUGUUCAAAACCAAAAUUUUUGUUGAAAAUUGAAAAGGAUGCAAACCGAUUAAGAUACGGUUGCAUAUUAUUUUUUUAAAAAAGAAAAGAGAUUUUGAUUCUAGAGGCUUUAAAUGAAUUUUUAAAAAAAAUCUUAAAAGGUUUUUUUUUAGAAAAAGAGUUUUGUUUUAAAAUAAAAGAAAUUAACUUUUAAAAUAGCAAAAAUUGAAAACAAAAUAUCAAUCAAAACAAAAGGAAACAAAGAUCACAAAAUAAAGAUUUUAGAAAAUCUUGUCAAUUAAAGUGGUGAGAGUAAAGGCCAACCUUUGUGGGUUUCCAGUGGCCCUAAAAAAAAAUUUGACCAACAAUCACUAAAGCAACAAAUUUAUGACUUCCUAAUCAAACAAACUAACAAAAUUAUCAUCCAAAAACUAACAUUUAGAUUUCAAGAAACACGUGAAUAACUAGAAUUAAACUAAUUGGAAUUAAAAAUGUAAACUUUACCUCACAAGAUCAAUUAAACUAAAGAAUUAAGAUCGAUAACUCGUUCAAAUUAAAAAUAAACUAGAAUUUAAACUAAUCGGAAUUAAAAAUAUAAACUUUACCUUACAAGACCAAUUAAACUAAUAGAUUUAAGAUCAAUAACUCAUUCAAAUUAAAAAUAAACUAGGAUUAAACUAAUUGGGAUUAAAAAUAUAAAUUUUACCUCACAAGACCAAUUAAACUAAAGAAUUAAGAUCAAUAACAUAUUCAAAUUAAAAAUAAACUAGAAUUAAACUAAUUGGAAUUAAAAAUAUAAGUUUUACCUCACAAGAGCAAUUAAACUAAAGAAUUAAGAUCAAUAACAUAUUCAAAUUAAAACUAAACUAGAUUUUAAACUAAUCGGAAUUAAAAAUAUAAACUUUACCUUACAAGACCAAUUAAACUAGUAGAUUUGAGAUCAAUAACUCAUUCAAAUUAAAAAUAAACUAAAAUUAAACUAAUUGGAAUUAAAAAUAUAAAUUUUAUCUCACAAGAUCAAUUAAACUAAAGAAUUAAGAUCAAUAACAUAUUCAAAUUAAAAAUAAACUAGAAUUAAACUAAAAGGAAUUAAAAUUAUAAUUUUUACCUCAUAAGAUCAAUUAAACUAAAGAAUUAAGAUCAAUAACAUAUUCAAAUUAAAAAUAAACUCGAAUUAAACUAAUUGGAAUUAAAAAUAUAAAUUUUACCUCACAAAAUCAAUUAAACUAAAGAAUUAAGAUCAAUAACAUAUUCAAAUUAAAAAUAAACUAGAAUUAAACUAAUUGGAAUUAAAAAUAUAAAUUUUACCUCACAAGAUCAAUUAAACUAAAGAAUUAAGAUCAAUAACAUAUUCAAAUUAAAAAUAAACUAAUUGGAAUUAAAAAUAUAAACUUUAUUUAAACUUUCAUGUAGAUUAAAAUAAACUAGCAUAGAACUAAUGAAUUGCAAUCAUAAAAGAGAGACAUUUAAUCUAAUAAAAAUAAAAGAUUGUUUGAAAUCGAGAUUUAAAGGAAUUUAUCACAAACAAUUAAUUAAACCAAUAAACUAAAACCCAAACUAAAAAAAAGAAAUACUAUAUCGAAAACCGAAAACUAACCUGUAUUGUAUCGGAAAAAUACUCUCUUGUGUUUCAAGUCCUCUACUGCUCCCCCCAAAAAAACUCUUGCGCGUGUCCUCUCUAAAAAAGAUUGCUCUUGUAUGUGGAUCUCUGCUCCAAAAGAAAAGUCCUCCUCGUGUGUUCUCUCUAUGACAUGUUUAUAUGGCAACACCUUCUCUCUAUUGAAUAUUCUAUUUCCUUUUUUAAUGCACAUGGAUAAGGAAAGUGCAUACAUGGUGGCUCAUUGGGAGAUUCCCUCAAGGAUGCAACCACAUCUCGUUUGGUAAGUGAUACAAGUUGACUUUUCUUUUCUAAAAAAAACAAAAAGAAUCCCCCUUACAACCCACUAUAUGCGUGUUGUGCACAAAGUGGCCACUUCCUUUCUAUUUUCAUGUUAUUUUCCUUUCUACUCAUCCAUCUGUACCACAACGUUGCAUUCUAAGGAUACUUUCAAUUUCAUCAGCUGUCAUAUACUUGGAUCUGAACUGUGGCCACCCAACAUCACUCUUCCGACUACUAGUAUCCAAGCCUUGUUGAGAAAACCGAUGAUUCGGUCUACCUUUUUGCAUUGACUUGGGUCUUUGAUUCCUCAGAUCACUUAUCCCAAGCAUUGCUUCAUAUUUGUUCAUGAUGGGUGGAGCUGGGGAAAGAUGGGGAUUUAAUAGUUGGGGCUGCAACUCUGAUAAAUGACCAAAUGAAGGUUGAACUGAAUGAUGCAGUCUAUGCUGCUGUUGCUGCAGCUGCUGUGGCUGCUACUGUUCAGGAUAUGACGAAGUUCUGUACAGAGGCUUCAAUUCUGAGAGAUGGGCAGAAGAAGCAUGGGGCUGUGAUGACCAUCUUUUUCCAUCCUGAAGGCUUUCAGUCUCAAACAUAUGUUGAUCAAACCAGUAAUGUAGAUCCUCUUGUACUCCCCAAGAUGGUGCUCCUCAUGCAAAACAAAAUAAGAUAAGAUUAAAAAAUCAAAGGAAAAGAGAAGCAACUAAUGAAAGUCAUGAAAUUGGUAAUAAAGUGAAAUACGAUUAAAAGAAAAUGAAAGAGAAAAUGAGAUAUCAGAUUGUACAAUUCCAUCAUUCAAUAAGGGGGUUGUAUGCAUAUUUAAUAUCUAAACAAUUCUAACAAUUCUCUAUUAAGUAGGUAAAUAAAUGAAAGAAGAAAAAUAAAAAAAAUAAAAACAAAACGUAAUAGAAAUUAAAAAAUGAAUAAAUAAAUGGAUGAAUAAAUAAACAAAUAAAUAAAUGAAUAAACAAAGAAAAUAUAAUCAUCAAAUGCAUGCAAUAAUGAUCAAGAGAUUAUAUAAAAAGGUUGAGCCCCAAUGAAGUGUUUAAGCGGGUCUAAGGUGAACCUAGGCGAGUUUAAGGUGUCUAAACGGGCCCAAAAUGUCUAAAUUAGCCAAGGGUGAUGCCUAAGUGGACCUAAGAGCUAUCCUAAGAAGGAAUGAAAAGCUUAAGUCUAAUCAAGACUGCUAAGGAUCAUAAUAAGGGGUUAGGCAAUCCCUCAACCAAAGUCUCCGAGGUGGCUCAGAAAAAAUAAGUUGUAUGAGUAGUUAUGGGCCACCAAGGAAGUACUAUGAAGCACUAGAAAUGAACUUAAAGACAUAUGCUAAAGAGACAAAAUUGAGGGUCUACAACAGUACAAGAGCUAAAAUAGCAUCAUAAGGGGAUGGUAAAUGUUAAAAACAUGAGUUCGGAAGGAGAAAAUAUGCUAACCAACCUUCGCACAUUGAUUGCGGGCUUGAUUCCAAUCUACUUCUUGAUAAGGGACUAUGUAUAGCUCCUUUCUCAAAGAAAUAAUUGUGGGUGUAAUUAGACCAACAAACCUCUUCCCAUAUAUGUAUGACAUGGGCAAAUAAACCAUUCGGCAAUGACACCACAUCCGUCCUAUAGAUAAAAAUUUGAAAGCUUACCACCAAUAAAUAAAAUCUUGCUUGUAGUGAGAUAAAAUAAACCUGAAAAGCUGCCUAAUUUAUUGGUAACUUGUUUGUCAAGGAGAAUAAAAUUAAAGUCUUUAAUAAAGUGGAAACAAAACCUAGUUCUGUUAACAGGGGAGAAAAAAACCCGAGCAAAGUAAUUGAAAAAUCAAUUAAAGCUUUGAUUGUAAUGAAUUAAGGAAUAAAGAGGACACUCUAGGGGAAAAUCCCCAAAAAUAUAAAUAAAAUUGGCAAGAACCCAAAUGCGAGGAAAAUAUUUUUAAAAAAAUAAUUAAACUAGCCUUUUCAAAGUCUAGGAUUCUAUUUAAAGAAACCUCAUUGCUCCAUAGUUUGCUUCUAUUCUCUAACAUGAGGAAUAAAAUUAGAUACUACAGCUUUCCUCUAAUGUAAGAUUCUUGUCCUAGUUGUCCAAAAGCAAUUUUAAUUCUCCAAUCCUUCAUUAUGCGUUACAAUCAUAUCCAUUUGUAUUUUCUAGCCAUUUGACUUUCCCCAUUAGUUAGGAUCUUUGUUAUGCAUCAAAUUGAGAUUAUUAAUAACUUCUUCUACAGCUAACCAUGAUCCUUUACACCUCAUUGCAGGAGACUUAUAUUCAUAUCCAUAUUUAUAUUUACAUUUAUAUUUACCCACACACACACACAGUGAGAGAGAGAGAGACCUGGAUUAACUGGAAGAAUGUAAGGACAUAGCCACACUUUUGGUAGGAGUGGAUUAUUCCUAGACCAUUCAUAUGCUCCAAGUACGUAUGGCUAGCAGAAGCAAAUCAAAUGUUAACUCAUAGUUGCAAAACAAUUAAUAUUUUAGCUCAAGCCAAAAUUUUUGAGUUCAUACAGAAAACCACAUUUCCCCCCAAGAAGUUAUUGCAGUUGCACCCCCAUGGUCCAAGAUCCAUUUUCGCCCAUUUUCCAUUGCUCUUUCUGCACCAAAAGCUCCUUCACCAAGUAAUUUUAGAGUAGCAUAGCUGAGCACAGUACCAAACAUGGUGCUCGGACCCUCAAUGUGUAGCCCCCUACCUCCAUCUUCGUUUUGCAACAAAAUGUGCUAUCCUUUUAAUUACUUUUGUUUCUUCACUAGCAAUGUCAAAGCUAGCCAAGUAAAUGGUAAAAGGCUUCAUUUGGUUGAAUUUUUUAGCUUCCCAUCAAAAUAAUAGCACUUUACAUGAGUAUGUAGAGAUGUAGCUAGUACAUACAUGCAUUUAAUGUUCCAUAACGAGUGCAUAGUUACAAGUCACUCAAGUUGGAUGGGAUAACACAACAUGAAUAGAGUUUUCUACCACCCUACCAUUUGGGACUAUUAUUAUGUGCAAUGAAUGUGAAGUUAUUAUGUGGUAGGUGCAUCAUAAAUAUUGGUAAUAGGUUACUUGUAGGUAUUAAUGGUCCACUGUGGUACAAUCAAAUCAAAUGCUACAAAAGUUUUCUAAUAUUUUUUCUCUUAAACAAAAAAUGGCCAAAUUCGGGAUGGGUUUUUGUACACAAGGUAUAAAAUAUUGGUAAAUACGAAUAUGUUAGUACUUGGAUUUUAUAGAUAUAUCGAAAAUACCGGUGGAUAAUUUGACAAAAAUAUUGAUGAGAAAAAAAGCUUGAAAAAACUCUAAAAACGAUAAAAUAAGUAAGAAUAUAUAUAUAUAGUAAAGUUAUUUUGUAAGUGUAAUUUAUAUAAGUAUAAUUAAAUAUAAUAUUUAUAAAAUUUUUAUAAAAAAAAUAGCAUAAAUUCAUUUAAUAUAUUUAAGAGAUUUAUUUUAAAAUUAUAAAAAUACUUUUAUUGAAACAAUUUUUAUUACAUUUUAAAUAAACAAUUAAAUUGAUUUAUAUAAAAUAUUUUAUUUGAGAUAUGAUUUCUAAAAAUUUAUUAUAAAUAUGUGGUCACAAUUUUUCUGUUAACAUUAAUUUAUUUAAAUAAUUAAAAUUAUUAAUAAUUUAUCUUGUCAAGUUAAUUUUAAGUUAUUAAAUAUUAGGACUUCAUUAAUUUAUUUUUUUAUAUUAUAGCAAUUUUUUAGUAAAACUAUAUUUUUAAUAUUUAAAAUACAAACAUUUAAAAUUAAAUAAAAGUAAAUGGAUAAAUAAAAGAAAUUAAUAAUGAAGUGAUAGUAAUUUUUUUAAAAUAGCAUUAAUGAGAUAAAUAUAAAAAGUAGUUAAACAUAAAAAGAUAAUAUAGAUUUAAAAUAAAAAAUAAAUUAAAAAUGAAUAAUGAAAAACUUUUAAAAAUGAUAAUUUUUUUUUAAAAAAAUAAAAAUUUCAAAUAAAUCUCUGAUUUUAAAUCAACAAGGAAUCAUUUCCAUCACUUAUUUCAUAUGAACGUCAAGGGCCAACCUUUCAAGCUAUUAGCAUGCCUCCAUUUGCCUUACUGCCCAACCCACACCUCAAAUCUAGUCAUCUUGAAGGCAUGCCUCUAACAGAGAGUCAUCUUUAUAUUUUCCUACUGCACAUAGCUUAACAAAAAUAAGUUUUUCACCCACAUUUAUGCGUCUUCCAUGAAGGUUGUGCUCUUAGGUUGACUAGUGCACAUAGGCUACCAAUAUAAUGGUUUCACCCAUAGGUAUGCCUCUAAAAUCAAGGGUGUGGCCCUAGUUUGCAUACUGCAUAUAGUAUACCAAAAUAAUGUUAUCAUACCAUGGUACAAAUUUUGCUAUUACAAUUACAUUAUCAUGUAACAUAUCCCAUAAUAUUGAAGAACAUACAAUCACAAUAUAUGUACACUAGAAAAUGACUGCAUUUACAAACCCAUUAAACACAAACCCAGAAAAUGACACCACCACAAACCAUCCAUGCCAGGAAUAAAUUCCAUUAUAUGCCCAAUCCUACUAAAAGGCCUCACAAUGUUGAAUUGUAGGCCAUGCUCUACCCCCUUGUCUGUAAAGAAUGAAACAAAAAUAUAGUUCAAGCCUAUAUGAUACACAUACAUGGUAAGAAACAUCCACAUUGAUGGAAAAGUUAAGUCACCAUAAAUCAACCUCUAAAUCAAUUGCUUCGCACAGGCAUAAGACCACUUUUUCUUCUUAAUUGGAAAAAAAAAUGCAGGAGGAGAAAUAUACAAAUUUAAUCCAUUUGAACAAUAACACAAGAAGAAACAAAUAACAAAUAGCAUAUGAUAGCUUCAAAAAAAAUUUUUAUUUCUCAUUCUGCAAAUAGAAAUGAUAAAGCAGUGGAAUGUCCACAAUGAUCAAGACCAAAGAAAAAACAUUUUGUAGUGGAGGUUAAAACUUGUACCAAUUACUCUAAAUCUAUUAACCAAAGAAGAAAAACAUUUAAAUGCAAGAUAAUCAAAAAGAAAAACACUUGAUGAAAAGUCUUCUAAUUUUCCAUACCUAAUUAUCAAAUGACAGUAACUAUCUUCACUAAGGUGAUUGUGAAAAUCCCGGAAGCACCUUUUGAUUGUAAUAGACCAUAGAUGUUUGAGUUUGAACCACUUGUUGAAGAGCCUUAAUCACAAUUGGACCCGCUAUAAAUGCUGCACCUAUUUACUAAUGAAGCUGAGACGACUAAGAUAAUUAUCUUGCAGGGUGCCUAUAUGUAUUAUCCAUUGGUCUACCAGUACAGAAGAUUGAGAGGGUUUUAAAUAUUGUCAAUUUGAUUUUCAUAUGAGUCUUGUGUGGAAGUUUCAAUUACAAAGAAUGAGUACAACACAACUAUACUCCUAAUAAACUAUAAUUUAUGGAAGCAUAAAGAAAUUGUCAAUAAUAUAACUUGAAAAAAAUAAAUAUGUCAUUUACUAUAGUUUUAUAUAUAUAGGGAGGUGAUAUCAACUAACCUGGUAGUAAAAUAAACCAUGCAUGCAUUGGAAGCAGAGGUAUUGAUAACUUAUCCCUUCAAUUGUACCAUAAAGAAGGCAUGACAUAGCCUCAAAUUCUAUUAUUCACUAUAGAUGGCCAAGUAAGAGUUUAAAUUAGAAUGUAUAGUUAAAUAAUUGAAUGAAAUAUAACAAAAUAAAUGAAUUGUAAAGGUUACCCAAUACUAUUAUGCAUCGUUGGUUGACCAAAUAUUAGCCGCAACCAUUUCACCAAAUUCAUUUUCACUAUCAAGAACCAUUUGAAUUGCUCUGCUUACUUAACAUGAAUUAGGAAUUAAUGUCUUUUAUUCCUUAUCCUCCUGGUAUAUAUAAUAUAGAUUAUGAUCGUGUAAAAGAACUUAAUAAUAGGUUGUAUUCUCAACGUAAAGAAUUUAGAGAAACUUGUGAUAAAUUACAUAAUUUAAGAACUACUGUAAAAGAUUUAACCACAGAUAUUAAAAAUUUAACUUCUCUUAAAUAUUUGAAUGAAUACGAAGUAGCUAUACAAGAAGCUUUUGAUGAACUUUUUGCUACAGAAACCAUAAUUAGAAGAGAAAUUAUAAAAUUUUAUAUUGAUAAUUUAUAUGCUAGCUCAUCUAAUUAAAACAUAUUAGAGAUAAUGAACCCUCAUCUACAAACCCAAGAGGUAAAACAGUUAAAAUUUUUAGUAGAGACACAAUUAAAAAUAACAAACGAAGUAUUACAAGAACAAAUUCAGAAAGAAAACCAAAACAAUAUAGAUAUUUUAAAAGAAAUCCAGAAAAGACAAAUAAAAUCUGUAGAAAAACUAAACACGGUCUUAGGAAUUAGAAAAGAAGCUGGAAGACUUUAAGAACCAUAAUUUGCUAAGAAAUAACCUAGAUUAUAUUAAAGAACAAUUAGCUAGAGAAGAAAAAUUUGUUAGAAAAGAAAUAGAACAAAUAAAAUUAGAACAACAAAAUUUAAAAGAAACUUUAGAAAAAAUUAACCAAAAAGUAGAUAAACUUUUAGAACAAAGAAAUAUAGUAAUAUCAGAGGAACAAAAAUUAAAUAACCUUUUAAAACAAUUUGAAAACUUUAAUUUAGGAGAAAAACCAAUAAUUAAAAUAGAAAGAAAAAUAAAUCCUUUUGAACCAAAAAAUCUAGCAAUAAAACCAUGGAAAUAGUAGAAGCAAUAAACCCUCGAGACAAUGUAAAAGAAUUUAUUGAAGAAAAAUUAAAAAAGGCAGUAAAGGAAGUAACACCUUACAAAAAACAAUUAGUUCAAAAUUAUAAAAUAACUAGAUUUUUAAAUCAACAUACUAUAAGUUCAAUAGGAAAUAUUGUAUAUUUAGAUUUAGUAUCUCCAGAAACAAAACAUAAAUUACUAAAAAAUAAAACCGAUAAAUAUAUGCACUUAGGAAUAAUUUUGAUAGGAAUAAUAGGACUUCAUCGUAAAGAAAUUGGAGCACUUAUAAAUAUUAACCUUUUAGAUACUAGAAACAACACAGUAGGACGAGCUCUUUUAGCUAGUGCAGAAGUUAAUAUGAACCAAAAUUACGCAGUUAUUGGUUGUAUACCUCAAUUUUGUAUAGAUCUUAAGGAAUUCACAGAAAAAAUAAAAAUAACUGUAAAUACUAAAGGUUAUGAUAUGGAAGUAGGAAGUAAAAACCUUAGCAUAGCUAUAGGAUUUAUAGGAAAAACUACUAAUGCUUUAAGUUUAAAAUGUAUGAUGGAAUUCGAUGAUAUAGUAAAAACCUUUGGAAGUAAGAUAGUAAAUAUGAUAGAAGCAAAACCUGUAAAUAUAGACUAUUUACUAGGACGAGAGUGGGAAUUACCUCAAAUAAAUAAACCAAUAAUAAGAUAUCCAACAUCCAGUAGCUUAUAUGAAAACCAAGAUGGAAGUGCAAGUAUAACCUUUGGAAAUUAUAAAACUGUAAAUGUAGAGGUAGAGUCAGAUAGUGAGAUAGAAAAUGUAAAUGUUAUACAAGAAGAUAUUUUACUAAACAUUGAGACAGUAGAAAACCUAUACAAAAACUCAGAGUUAGUAAAUAUAAUGUUAGAAGAAUUUAGUAAUCCAAUAUUACUAGACGAACAAAUGGAUCAAGAAAACUUUGCUAAUAUAAUGUGUAACAACUAUACAGAUGACCAAAUAAUAGAACAACUCUAUAAAACCAAUUUAAUCAAAAAACUUAUAGAUAUAGAAAUGAUAAAUCAAUUUACUAUUCAACCAAAAGUUAACGAAAACAUAGAAAUAAUCUCAAACGAAUCAAUAAAUACAAUAAAUGAAGAAAAAGAAACUGUAAAUGUAAAAAGUGAAAUAGUAAAAUAUAAUAAGCCGUAUAGCAAGCCAAAAGGACCUCAAUGGAAAACUAAAACAGAACCUUCUAGUUCUUUGCAACCAAUAUACGAAUAUGGAACAAUAUUAGAUAUAGAUAGUGCACAAGAUCUUAGAAAAACCAUAGAAAAUUGGGAGCAAUCUUUAAAUUCAGCAGGUGUGGUAGUAUCCUUUGAAAACCAACAAGAAAUUUAUGAAUUUUGGAAAAGCACCCUUAGAGGAACUGUACUACAAUUUUUUAGAAACAUGGAACAAGAAAACAGCAGUUAUUUUCAAGAAGUCAGAAAUAAUUUUAGCAUAUCUGUAUUUAUAAAUCUAAUAAAACUUUAUUUUUUAGGAACAACACAAGAAGAUGUAAAGGAACCUGCAAUAUACCUUCAUAAGUUAGAACAAUUGAAAUUAUGUAACCUUUCAUAUAUAAGAGAAUAUGAACAAAAAUUUAGGAAAUAUGCAAUCCUUGCUAGAGUAGACAGAACCCCUGAAUAUUUAAAUAAAUAUAUAUUAAAAAUACAAGGACCCGUAGGACUUAGAUUAUGGAAUGAAUUUACAACCUCCGAGUAUAAAAACUCUCCUUAUAUAGGUGCUAGAAUAGAAUUUGUAAAAAAUUGGUUAGAAAGAGAAUGUGUAAGUAUAGGAGAAAGAAGUCAGAUAAAGAAACAAGACAUAAAUCAACAACUUUGUAGAAAAUUACAUAUAGGAGAAAAUCUAGAUAUAGGAUGCAGAGAAUAUAAGUUUAGAAAACCUAAGAGAUAUAAUAAAUUUUUAAGAAGAAAGUCAAGAACCUUUUAUAAAAAACGACCAUAUCAUACAAGGUAUAAAAAACCUGGAAAGCUUUGGAUAAAAUGAAAAAGAACCUCAGAAAGAAAAAGACAGUGUAAAUGUUAUUUGUGUGGUCAGGAAGGCCAUAUAAGACCUGAAUGUCCUGAACUUAAAAAACCAUUAAAUGAACGAAAUAGAAAAACCCAAGUAAAAAUAAACCUAAUAAAUGAGUAUCAGCUAGAUAGUGAAGAAGAAGAACUUAUCAGUGAAUUAGACUUUGAAAGUGAAAAUUCAAGUGUAUAUAGUGUAGAAGAUAGUGAAAAUGAAAAAGAAGAAAUUUGUAUGAUUAUUGAAAAAGAGGAAAAUCAAGCUAAGAAAACCCCUUUAAAUUUAGAAAACCUUGUACAACCUUUAGAAAGUAAAAUAAAACCUUAUAAUAUAUGGAAAGAUUUACAAAUAAUAAUCAAAGGAAAAUUUUCAAAAGAAGAAGAAGAUAGUAGUUCAAAAACUAAGGACACAGAAGAACACACAGAAGAACCAAAAAGUCCUGUAAAAGAACCAAUGAAUCCUGAAAAAAUAACCAUACAAACAAUAGAACAAGUAAAUAUGGCAAAUAAAGUUAAAUCUAUUAUUUUUCCAACAACAAUUAAAUUAAAAACCAUAGAAUUAAAGGUAGACGCAAUGUUAGAUACUGGAGCCAGUAAAAACCUUUUAUUUGAAACCUUAGUACCUCAAGAAGAUCAGCAAACAUUAGUUCAACCAGUAGAAUUAAUCCAAUACAAUCAACAAAAACUAAUACUAACCAAGUAUAUUUCAAACGUACCAAUCAUAAUUAAUAACAUAACCUUAGUAUUACCCCAAACUUAUCUUGUACAUACUAUAAGUUUAUAUCCUUUUAUUUUAGGUUUAAAUUUUGUACAUUCUUUACAAGGAGGGAUAACAAUACAAAAUAACCAAGUUAGUUUUCAUCCUAAAACCACAACAAUUGUUUAUACAAACAUAGAAAAUGUAUUAAAUAAAAAUCAUAAUGUAACAUCUCAUCAAAUUAGCAAAGUGGAGGCACAAAAGGAUAGCAUAAUUAAUGACUACUCAGAACAAUUAAGAAAUGCAAAUAGAUUAAAAACCCUUAUAUUAGAAGCAGAAAAAAUAGGAAUUAUAGGAGAAGACCCACAAAAACAUUGGAAUAAAAAUAAGACAACAUGUAAAAUACCAAUUAAAAACCCAGAUUUAACAAUAAAAACUGCAGAUAUAGCAUGCAAUCUUAUAGAUACAAAGGAAUUCAAAAUUCAAAUAGAAGAACUGUUACAGAAUAACCUCAUAAAACCAAGUUUCAGUCCCCAUAGAUCCUCAGCCUUUUUAGUUAGGAAUCAUAAUGAAGAAAAACGAGGAAAAGCUAGGAUGGUUAUUAAUUAUAAAAGAUUAAAUGAUAAUACAUAUGAUGAUGCCUAUAAAAUUCCGAACAAAGAUUCUUUAAUUAAUUCUAUUCAAGGAUGUAAAUAUUUUUCUCAGUUAGACUGUAAAAGUGGAUUUUGGCAAAUCAGAUUAGAAGAGGAUAGUAAACCAUGGACAGCGUUUUCAUGUCCUUGUGGAUUAUAUGAAUGGAAUGUAAUGCCAUUUGGACUAAAAAAUGCUCCUCAGAUAUUCCAACGAAUGAUGGAUAAUAUUUUUGGAAAAUAUUCUUUUGUUCUUGUAUAUAUUGAUGAUAUUCUUGUCUUUUCAUAUACUCUUCAAGAACACAUAAAGCAUUUAGAAUUGAUUUUUGAAAAAUUAAUUAGUCAUGGAUUAAUAGUAAGUAAAAAGAAAUUGAAAUUAUUUAAGACUCAAAUAGAAUUUUUAGGAUUAGAACUAGAGGAUGGACAAAUAAAAUUACAAGAACAUAUAGUACAAAAAAUAAAUAAUUUUCCAGACAAACUCGAAGACUUAAAAACCCUUCAAAGUUUUUUAGGAUUAUUAAACUAUGCUAGGCCAUAUAUUAAAAACCUUAGUAGAUUAGCUGGACCCCUUUAUAGUAAAACAAAAAAUACAGGGCAGAGAUAUUUUAACCAAGAAGAUAUUAAACUUAUACAGAAAAUAAAAGAACUUGUGAAACAUCUCCCAACCUUACAUUUACCCUUAGAAAAUGAAUAUAAAAUAGUCCAAACUGAUGCUAGUCAAACAGGAUGGGGAGGUAUACUUUUAGUUGUAACUAAUAUAGGAGAAGAAAAACUUUGUAGAUAUUGUAGUGGAACUUUUAAUGAUUAUCAAAAGAACCUUAGCUCUACAGACUUAGAAAUUGAAGCAAUAAUAUUAUUCUUAGAAAAAUUUCAAUUAUUUUUGAACCAAGAACAAUUUACUUUAAGAACCGAUUGUGAGAAUAUUAAAAAAUUCUUUGAAAACAAAAAUUCUUCAAAACUGUCCACCAAAAGAUGGAUAAAGUUUCAAAACUCUUUAAUUGGUUUCAAACCUAAAUUUGAACAUAUUAAAGGAAAAGAUAAUAUAUUAGCAGACUGGUUAAGUAGACAAAUAAUUAAUAAUGUCGAUAAUACUAAUGAUUGAUUUCAUGAUUACAGGAACAUGGCUCAAAGAAAACCUACGAAAGCUAGAACUUUUCAAUAUGGAACCAUAUGUCUAAACGAAGUGUUGAAUCCAAACCUAAGGUUUAACUCUUUAUUUUCUCAAAACCUUUUUGAAGAACAUAAGGUUAUUGUAGAUAAUUUUUGGUCUUUAAAACCACAAAGUUUUCCGAACCAAAAUUUAGAAUACGCUUAUGGAAAAACAGUGUCAGCUUUAGCCCAACAUUUACAAAACCUUCAAAACCAACUGAUUGCUUUAGAAACCCAAAAAUUCCAAAACCUCAAAAUCCAAGAAAAUCAAGAAAAACUGAUAGAAGAUUUGAAAACCAGUACAGUGUCAACCAAUCAAACCAGCUGUUCAAACAGUCAACCUGAAGUAAUUAGUUUAAUUAAGAAAUCAGCUCUUCUGACUGAACAAUAUGAAAGGCUUGUUGUUAAAAAUAUAAUUGGAGUUGAUAACUACUCUUUCGUCAAAACCUUUUUUCUACAAAACCAAUAUAACAAAGUGUUUAAAAAUCAAGAACUUUUGUAUAAACAUUUUAGAACUAAAAAUGUCGGGAUAAAAACAGGGUAUAUGGCAUAUCACGACCCUGAAUUUUUCUUUGUUAUAUAUUUAGCUUAUGUAAAUAUGUCUGCUGUAAAUGAAGAAAAUUUUGAUUUAGUACCGCAAUUUAUGGAUCAGGGAAUUUUAAAAAAUGUUUUUUAUGAACCAUAUAUCUCAAAUCCCUGAAAAUUUCCCAGAAAAAUUGAAAGAUAUUUUAACUUAUCUUUUUAAAACCGAAAAAUAUAUAGAUAUUUCUUUUGAAACCAUUCCACCUUUCUUUCAACCCGAUGGAUCAGUAGUACCAGCCUAUCAUCAUGUAUACAUAAAACAUAAUAAAGAACCACUCAUCCCUCAACAAGAACCAGAAUGGGAAAUGACCCGUUCAGAUGAAUUUCCAGAAUUUUUUACUCGCUACAGAGCUUUUCAAAUCUAUGAUCUUAGACCAACCCGGAAUAAAUUAUUUCAUCUCAUUGGCGAAACAAAAACCAUGUCUAUAUAGAGAAUAAAACCUUUAGAACACAUUAUUGUUCCAAACCCUUUUAUUACUUCUGAAGAACAGGAUUUUAUAACCGAACUCAGUGUAGAUAUACCGGAACCAUCUUCCUACCUUAGCGAUGACGCAUUAUUUUGGGACAACCUGGACGAUGAAAGUUAUCAUAAUCUACAAAAUGCAAUGGAAGGAUGAUGUCAGCAAUGACGACAUUGAAGCAGUAAAUGCGUCUUCAACUACAAAAAUUAAACAUGGCAGUACAAGUUCAGAAGCAGUAAAGACAUCCACAAGCCACGUGUUAUGCAUGAAAUAAAAAGAGAAGAAAAGGACAAGAGAAAGAGACAAGAAGGAAGAGAAGAACGGAUGAAUAAACAAAAGUCACAAGUCUCAAAAGUAAAAGUCUCCAAAAGUCUUUGUAUUUAUUUUAUACCAAACCUCUGAACACCGUAAAUAUUUUUCCUACCAUCCAACCACUUGAAAUUAAUUCUCACCUGUAUUCUCACCUGUCAUUUGUAAAUGCUUUGCAUAUAUAUAUGUGGUAGUAAAAGAAAAGAGAGGUGUGCCCGAGAGAGUGUGUCAAAAGGUGUGUGCAAUAGUGUCUGUAAAAGGAAGCUCCAUUUUCAGCCUGGUACAUUCAUCAGCAAUCAAUAAGAAAGUAAGAAUUUUCUGUUAAAUUUUUGCCUUCAUUUAAAUUUAUUAUGUAUUUUUCUUACCCUUAGGGGGUAAAAAGGGGUAAAAAGGUAAAGUUCGGUACUCUGAAAAUCAAUUUGAAUCUACAGUCUCCUUUCCUAAUUAAUAUACUGCAAUACACAGAGAGAAGCUCUGAUACCAACUUUUCUCAUCACAUCACCAGUUUCAACAACAGUUUGUUUUCAACAACAGUUUGUUUGAAAUCUCCGUUAGCAAUGGAAGUUUAAUAGAAUUUAAAGUGAGAACAAAGUGUGAACACAUUUAUUGCUAGCAUUAAAAUAAUACAAACACUUCUCCCAUACUUAAUAUUUUAAUAUAAACUUUACAAAGACUUAUUAAAAUAGUAUAAAAAUUUCAAACACUUAAUAAAAUAAUACAAAAGGUUUCAGUCAUUUUGAAAAACUUAAUAUUUUAAUAUAAAAUUUUUUCAAACACUUAUUAAAAUAAUAUAAAAAGGGUUCUGUGCUUAUAGUUAAAGCUUUUUUAACAUAUAAAAUUAAGUUUUUGAAAUCUUGAACGUAUAAAAAUUAAGUUUUUGAAAUCGGAUAUCUCAAAAAUUCAGGUAGUAAAAUUCAAAAAUUUUAAAACAUCACUUCGUUUCAAGGUAAUACCCCCCUUCUGACCAGACAUAGUCUCCCUAAAACGCCAAUUUUCCGGCAAAAACGGGUUUGAGGUCAAGGGUUAAGACUAAAGACUCUAGUUUUAAAACAUGAUUUUACACCCAAAAUUUUCUAAAUAAACUGAUUUUUUAUUUUUUAUUUAUGUUGAUGAGAACAUUAUAUAAAAAGGAUCCAUGUAUAUUACAUAUAUUAACUAGUAAAGAAAACUUAAAAAUAAUUCAAAUAAUUUUCAUUUCCCUACUUUACCUUUUAUAUAUAUAUAGCACAUAUAUACGCCUUGAUCUGAUACACUGAAUUUAUUUAUAGAUUAAUGAGAGUUGACAUGUUAGAAGAUAAUGGCCUCUCUUUAUGAUGUGGUCAAAGUAUAUCUUGUGUUUUUAUGACACCUCAUUAAUGUUUCUUUUUUGUUAUGUUGCUACAUAAAAUCAGACCUCCAUCUAUCAUGUUCUAAUAUUAUACAAAAUCAUAAUUCUAUCCCAUAAUGCCAUUAAUAUUCUAGCCCAUGGCUGAGGUACCUUCCAUCUUGUUAGCAAUUUGAAUUUCCACGAGUUCUUAAAUAAAAUAAUUAUUUUAGAGUCUCUAAAAUAUAAGUCACAUCAUCAAAUAAGAGAUUAUAAAUUAUAUAUUUCAAAGUCAUAAAAUGAAUAAUUAGUUACUAAUUUAACAUAGCUACUUAUUCAUAAAAUUAAUUUUUGACUAUAAAAAAUAAUUUAGCAAUUAUAGAAAAACAAUAAACUUAAUACUUGAAUAUAAUUAAAAAACUAAAAAUGUUAAAAUUUGUCUUAUCAUUUUCACUUUUUCAUAAUUAAAAAUAAAUAAAUAAAUAAUAUAUCAAUUCAUAUUUUGAUAGGUUAACCAAAACUUUAGAAACACCUUAACCCUAAAAUUUUCAUUCAAACAUUGUUAAUGUCAAUUCAAACACCAAAUUAAGUACAACUUACAUGGGCUGGAACCAUCCAAAUUGCAACCCUAUUUUUCACUUGUUAUUUUCUAAACUACCAACAUUGUUGUAGACUUUACACCUCAAACCAAACAUAGCAUAAAGGAAACCCAAUGGAUAUAUCAAAUUGGUAAUAUCCUUUCCUUAUUAAUGAUUCGACUCAUGGUAGCUUAGCUUUAAAGGCGUAUCAACAAAAUUUAUACCUUAAAUACUAUUACUAAAGUAGCCAAGCUACUAUAGCAUAGUGGUUCUAGGAUCGUUCACUAGGAAGGGUUUUCGCAAACACAAGUGAUAUUCAAAUUAGGAAAAUAGGUGAUUUUCUUAUGGAUGUUAGCUUUAAAAGAAAAUGUAAAUGUUUUAGAAAGAUUUAAACUAAUUUAAGCUAACAUUAAAGACUAAAAUGAAAGGGUGUAAAAACAAGUUUCUCAAAGAUAGGAUAGCUAUGCUCUGGCUCUUAUGCAAAUUGGAAAUCUCAGGAUAGGCUCCUCGCGUUGGGGUUGCAACUAUGGUGAUGCUUGCUUCCCGAACUGGUAUGGAUUUAGCAAAUCAAGUUUUAAUCCUUUAAAAUGGCAAAAUAGAUGGUAGUGAAUUUCAUCAAUGGUUAUUCACCUUAGACUUCCUUUGAAUGGCUCGUAAGAGAUAACUAAUGGUCUAAAGCCAAAAGCUUACCAAAUAUUGGCAACUCAAAGUCAUUCCAGGUGAUAAACUCACCUUUCAAUGGCCAUUGAAAUUGGUUCUAACGGAUUAAUGCAAAACUUGGAAUUGAAAACCUCACCUUCCAAUAGCUCGUAGGAGAUAACUAAUGGAUAGAAAUCCAAAAGCUUAUCAAGUAUUGGCCAUUGGAAGUUGUCAAAAGGAAAUAAAAACCAAACUUUACAUUAAUGAACCAUUAAUGAAAAACGACUACCUUACCUUCCGGGUGCGAGAAAUUUCCAUGGGAUUGCAUCCAAACCAUCACAUAACAUCCAUACUUUGAGAAACUAAAAGUUUUAGCCAAUCAUCCUUUGAGGAAAAACCCUCAGAGGCUGUUUGGCUACUAAGAAAAUAGAAACGGGAGAGCUCUGUAGAUAUUCUAAGUGUCAAACGUAAUAUGUAUUCUAUAUCUAUAUAUUAAUAUAUGUUACAACGGAUGCAAGGGGAUAUAAAUAGAGAAGUUUUUCCAACCUUCCUAGCUAAGAAAUCUUAUGAUUCGUGGAUUACAAGGAGAAGAAUGGAAAUUUAUACAAAAAUAUCCAAAAUAAAAGAUCUCAUGUGGAGUCGGCAAAAACAGAGGAAAAUUCGCACCACGCAUGGGCUGUGCGAAUUUGGAAGGUGUUGUGCGAAAUUUUCGCACAAGCCUGGAGCAGUUGUCUUCCGAAGGCCAUAUCUUCCUCAUUUCAGCUCCAAAUCGUACACGGUUUGAAGCUUUGGAUUCUUGACUUCCUGAGCUUUGAAAUGGUAUAUAGCAUGUAGAAAAUGGACUUCGGGAAGUGCUCCAAAAGUGCCAAAGAAGACUGCACCUGCUGUCCUCUGUUUUCCUCUUUGCUUCUUUUUGCUUCUCUUUGCUUUUCUCCUUUUGUUGGCUUGAUUUGGUGUAGCUAAAAGCUUGCUUUAACUUGUACAAGUAGCUCCUCCAUCAUUUGGCAUGCUUGAAUUGAUUCAUAAGCUGAUAAAAACAUGUAAACUUGCCACAAAAUGGUUAAAACCAAUUACUAAGGACCUUAAUGAAUUAAUUGGGUUAAAUGAAUAUGAUUACUACUCAAAUGUGCUUAAAACCAUUAUAAUUAGGUCUACAAAAUAGCACUUUUUGGUAGUAAUCAAUUAAUGUUAACUCCAAAUCAGAAUUGUUUUAAUAAUUUCUUUUUGAUAUACACUAAGUAUUUAGUUUAAUAAAAUAAGGUGAAAAACAAUACAUAAAGAAGCACUUUUUUAAGCAUGACAAUUUUAAAGUUUUUUCCUAAUAGUCAUUAAGUAAUAGAAGGGUCCACACCCAUGAUGACUAAAUGCAUUCCAGCACCACACAUAAGAGAUAAAUAAAUAUUGCUUCAGAUGCUUAUGCAAUAAGAAAAUGAAAAUUACUUAUUUUUUGGGAAAAAAGGGUUCUCCCCUAUACCCCACGAUUUUAUUUAAUAGGGGGUUGUUUGGAUGAGUCAGGGAAAAUAAAUCACGUAUUUGUCUCUCAUUUUUCCGUCUAGUUUCCUUUACUUUCUGGAAUAAGAGUAAUGUGCCAAACAACAUAUGGUAACUAGGGCUGCAACCCAAAUGGGUUGGGUUGAAUUAGUGAUUCAUACAACUUAUAAAUUAACAUAUUUGAUACUGCAAAUAAUUUUUCAUGGUGGAGACUUCACUUGGCAAAUUGACAUUGUUGGGUUACCUCAAAUGGUUCUUAGGAAAGGACCGGAGAAAAAGUUCCGUAGUGGGCCAUGGAAUGGAUUAAGUUUUAAUGGUCUUCCAUUGAUUACGAAGACAUUUUUUAAAUCUUCUUUGGUGGACAAUGUAGAUGAGUUCUACUAUUCGUACGAGCUUGAUGACAAAUCGAUUAUAACAAGACUUACUCUGGAUGAACUGCGAAUCUACGUGCCUGCUGUUGAGCAAAACAACCAAGAAGUUGGAUAUUGUGUAUCCACUGCUGGAUGAUUUGUGUGAUGACUAUGGUUGUUAUGGUGCUAACAACUUUUGCAAAAUUAACGAUAGGUCUAUUUGUGAGUACUUGGAAGGGUUUGUUCCAAAAUCACAAGAGGAAGGAAAAUUUCAAAAUUGGACCAGUGGCUGCAUUAGGAGAACACAAUUGGACUGCCAAAAGGGAGAAAAAUUUAUGGAACUUGAAGGGGUCAAACUGCCUGACUUGUUGGAAUUCUAGGUCAGCAAUAACCCUUAAGAAAUGUGAGGAGGAGUGCUUGAGGAACUGUUCUUGUACAACUUACACUAAUUCAAAUAUUAGUGAGGGAAACAAUGGAUGCUUGAUCUGGUUUAGGGAUCCGAUCGAUAUUCGAGAGUUCCAUGAAGAUAAUAAGCAGAAUAUCUAUAUCGGAAUGCCAACUUCAGAACUAGGUAAUUGUAGUUUAUGCAUUAUCAUACCAUAUUUUUUUCUAGAUAAAGCAUAAAAAUUUUUUUUAACAUGUUUUACUUUCUUCAUUCUUCAUGUCAUAGAGUUAAUGAAUAUUCCAGUGAAAGUAAGAAACGCUUGGUAUUUGUGGUGGUCUCAUCUACUGCCUCUAGAGUUUUUAUCUAAGGUUGGUACUUUGGUUUAUAUUUUGGAAGAGAAAGAAAAGAAGUAAGCAAUCUUUUCCAGUCUUAUGUAUUUUGUGCUCAAAGUAAUUAUGCCCAUGUGAGUGGACCUUCUAGCUAAUCCUUCUAGCUCAAAGUGUAUGAUAUUUUUAGUUCAUUUUCCAUUGAAGGAAAUGCUCCAAAGGUUAAAACCAUCUAAUUAAAUGGAUGAUGUAUCUUGCACUCUUCCAAAUUACAAGUUCAGAAAUAGAAAAGCAAGACCUGGAGUAGUAGUUGUUUGAUCUGGCUACUAUUUCAAGUGUUACUAAUAACUUCUCUGAUUCAAAUUUGAUAGGGAAUAGUGGUUUUGGACCAGUUUGCAAGGUAAUAUAGUCUAUAUUAUGUGAUAAUUAAGCAAAAAUGAAUGUUGUUACGCAACAUUCCAUUUCAAAAUUGUAGCGUACCCUGGCGACAGGACAAGAAAUUGCAGUAAAAAGGCUUUCAAACAAUUCAGGACAAGGCUUUCAAGAGUUCAAGAAUGAAGUUAUUUUGAUUUCCAAACUUCAACAUCGCAAUCUUGUGAGGCUUUUGGGUUGUUUCGUUGAAGAAGAAAUAAUGCUCGUCUAUUAGUAUAUGCCCAACAAAGCUUGGACUGUUUUAUUUUUGGUUUGAAACUCUUAGUCCUUUGUCUAUUUUGGCUACUUUUCAUUAAGUGAAGUUGUCUCCACUUCUACUUAAUGGAAUUUUUGAAUCUGGAAUAGUAUUUAUAUGGAUGAAACUGUUCUGUAGAUCAGGAAAGAAGUAUGUUACUGAAUUGGCCAAAACAAUUUGACAUUGUCAUGGGGGUUGCUCAUGGACUCCUUUAUCUCCACCAAGACUGUAGAUUGAGAAUCAUCCAUAGAGAUCUCAAAACCGAUAAUAUAUUACUUGGCAUAGCAAGAGUUUUUUGAGGACAACAAAUUGAAGCAAAAACAAAGCUAGUAAUUGGAACAUAGUAAGUUCUAUAUGUAUUCAUAUGCUAGAACAUAUCUUUAUCAUUUCCAACUACUCAAAUUUGAUAUUUCUAUGUAGUGGUUAUAUGUCUCCAAAGUACGUAAUUGAUGGCAAAUUCUCAUUAAAAUCUGACGUCUUCAGUUUUGGUGUGCUUUUGUUGGAGAUAGUGAGUAGGAAAAAAACAGGGGGUUUUGUCAUCCAAAUCACCUCCACUGGGACAUGUAGGUGAAAAAUAGUGAAAUAUUGCUAUCCCUUUCUAUACCCUUUAACAAGAAUGAUUAACAAUAUUCAUUGCAGUUAUGUGCAGGCAUGGCUACUUUGGAAUGAAGGCAAGACCAUGGAACUGAUGGAUACAUGCCUGAAGGAUUCAUGCAUUGAGUCUCAAGUAUUAAGGUGCAUUCAAGUGGGCUUAUUAUGCGUUCAGAAACUCCCAGUACACGGGCCAACAAUGUCAUCUAUAAUUUUCAUGUUGGGUAAUAAGGAAACAACGUUUCCUCAACUUAAACAACCCGAUUUGUUCAUUGAAAGAAGCUUUGAAGGAGAUGACAAAGGAUGCUACAUAGAAUAUAAAGUUACUCUGACAAUUCUUGAAGCUAGAUAGACAAUUUGUGCAGCAAUUCAUGGUUGAAAUACAUACUAAAAACAUAGAUGUUAGAUGAAGAGGAGCUGACAGUUACAGAAAUGAGGGAGGCUAGAUUCGAUCUCAACAAGCAACGAUAAGAACCCAAAUGAACUCAUAAAUCGAUUACAUUCGUACCUGGGAAAGCUCCUCUCAACUCGGGCCACCUCUCUCUAUUUUCACUGCUAGUUCCCCUUGCGAAUUGUGGCUGUAAAAAAAUGUGAAAGAAUAUGGGUUUUUGGAGUUAGGGUUUGGUUCAAGAGAGAAUAAGGGAUUUGGGGGUAAAUCUCACUAUUCAUUUUGUUAUAUUUUAGCAAAUAUUUUUAAAAAAAUCAAUCCACGUGGAGUGUUUACUUGGACGGUGACAUGUAAAUGAGUCAUGUCAUUGGCUUAAGUGGACAACUGAUUUGGACCUUGUUUAUGUGGCUUUUCCAAGGAACUAAUCCAACUAAGAGAGCUGUCAAAGUGUAGGAGGGUAUUUUUGGAAGGGUCUCAACAUUACUAUUACAGUGUAUGAAAGGUCACUUAUUUUCCCCAAAAUCCACUGAAUUUGAAAAGUAAAAAACAAAGUUUCUGGAAGGCAAAAUUUUGCCCCUUGCUAUAUGAUUACAUAAAUUUCCCUAAUAAUAAUAUCAGUAAAAUAAUAAUAAUCUUAAUAAUAAUAAUGAUAAUAGAAACAAUGGUAACAAAAACAAUUCUAAUGAUGAUAAUUAAAAAUAAAUAAAAAUAAAAUAACAACAACAAUAAUAAAAAUAUACAAUGACUAUAUAUACAUAUAUAUAUAUAUAUAUAAGUAGAUAUGAAAAUGAGCAAAUAAAUAAAUAAAUAACAAGAUAUGAGUACACAACACGUAUUUAUAAAGAAAACAUGCAAGCUACGUAGGCUAUGUAGGCCAUGUAGGCCAUGCAAGCCACGUUAACCAUGCAAAUGACUUACGGGUGUUGGGAUAAGCCUAAGCGGGCUGGGUGCCUAAUGGGCCUAAAUAUAUCUCAGCAAGCUGUCGUAAAAGUGUACCUAAUAUCGAGAAUGACUCAAAUAAGUAAGUUAUAUGAGUAGUAAUGGGCCACCAAAAAACUAUUGUGGAGUAAUAAAAGGACACUUAAUCAGGGCAUGACAAGAGGACAAAAUGGAGGGUCUACACGCUCAAAAGACAAGAUAAAAAGUCACAUACAUUCAAUCAAUAAAAAAUUAAUCAUGUACUAAAAUAUUAAAAAUCAAUCAUGCAAUCACAAAUAAAAAAUAAAUUAUGAACUCAAAAUUAAAGUCACAUAUAAUCACAAUCAUAAACCCUAAACCCUAAACCUAAAAUAUCCCUAUAAAUAUUCUAGGUCAUGAGGGGAAAAAGUUAUGAGAUGGAGAUGGGCCUGUAAAGACUAUUCAAAGUGGAUAGAGAUGUGAGGAAGAAUAGGAGGUACCUAGUGGAGUGAGAAGGUUUGUGGUAAGGUAGGGAUACAAAGAGUGGGGAAACAUGGGAUGUUUUGGGAACCCAAUAAUUGUAUCUGGUUAGGUCCUCUAUAAUGUUUUGGUUAUGUCCUCUAUAAUAUUGCAGUUCUUUCCUCUGUAAUGUUUUCUAUUGUAUAGUGAAAUAAUUCUCUCUCAUCCGUGGACGUAAGCAUGGUUGGCCGAACCACGUUAAAACCUUGUGUACCAUUUGUAUUGAUUAUUUUAUCUUUGUGUUCUUGAUUAGCGAUGAUUGCAUCAAAGCUUCCAUUGUCACAACAAACUGGUAUCAGAGCUUUGAGUUGAAGAUUUCUAGAAGAUUAAAAGAUCAUAGAGCACACAAGAUGAAAACAAAAGGAAUUUUCAGUUAAAGGUGGAGUCCAUUGCUCUCUCAUGGUAAUAUGAUACAAAAGCUUGUGUCAUGGAGAGUUUGAAGAUUGACUUCAUGGAAUUUGAUCAAAGGUGGAAAUUAUUAGGAAGUGUCCCAAAUUCCUAAUUAGUAUAGAUUUUAUUUUAUUUUUGUAAAGAAUAUUAUAUAGAAUAUUUCUAGGUUGAUAUAUUAUUGUAAUAUUAGAAUUUCUUAUAGAAUAAGGAAGGUUGUUUGAAAUAUCUCUAUAAAUAUUCUAGGUCAUGAGGAGAAAAAGUUAUGAGAUGAAGAUGGGCUUGUAAAGACUAUACAAGGUGGACAAAGAUGUAAAGAAGAACGGAAGGUACCCGAUGGAGUUAAAAGGCUUAUGGUAGGGUAGGGAUAUGAAGAAUGGGGAAACAUGGGAUGUUUUGGGAACCCAAUAAUUGUAUUUGGUUAUGUCCUCUAUAAAGUUUUGGUUCUGUCCUCUAUAAUGUUCUCUAUUGUAGAGUGAAAUAAUUCUUUCUCAUCCGUGGACAUUGGCAUGGUUGGCCGAACCACAUUAAAAUCUCGUGUACCGUUUGUGUUGAUUAUUUUAUCUUUAUGUUCUUGAUUAAUGAUGGUUGUAUCAAAACUUCCACUGUCGCAACAUGAAGUGAACUAUACCAAAGAAUAAAAAAGAGCCUGAAAUUUUGUCCUGACACAUGACAUGAUAAACUCAAGGAUUGACCACACAAGGAGAAAAAGGUACUUUAGAUAAGGGAAAUAAAAGAAAGCUUAUGCGAUGAAAUGAUGGAAAUAAUGAAUAUGAUAAACUAAUGAGAACAAAGAGUGUAAAACUGCCAUCUUUGAACACUAAGAACCUACAACCUUGAUUGCCAAAGAGAGAAAAAAAAAGGCUUUAAAUGUCAAAUAAAAAAUAAUGGCUUUGAACACUAAAACUAAGAAGAAUGAAUCUAAAUGCCAACACUAGGAAAAUAAAUGGCUUUGAAUGCCAAUACUAAAAACAAUGGCUCUGAAUGCCAAACCGAAAAUACUAACUCUAAAUGCUAAAUCAAAAAAAUAAUAGCUCUAAAAGCUAAACCAAAGAAGUGGUUUGUACCUUUCCUAAGAAAAGUAUACUAGAGACCUUUUUUACAAAGCACAUAGGCUAGAUUGUUCUACCAUAGCCAUGCUUACAUCUAUUAAAGAUUCACUAAUUAUAGAUUAUUUACAACCUUUCAAUCUGAGUAUGACACCUUGAUUGGUACCCUCGAAACCAAAUAUCACUCACACAGUUAACAAAGUGUGCCAAGAUCUCCAACAACCAAGGCAAAUCUUAAGGAUGUGAAAUGAAUCCUAUGUUGUUUAAAAGGUACCCUAGAUUACAACAUUUGCUUAUUGGCUUAAAGCUCACUAUCAUUAUAUGUUUUUGUUGAUUCUAAUUGUGUAGGUUAUCCAAUAACAAUGAUUAGCACCAUUGAUUUUGUGUUUAUCUUGGCAGCAAUUGUAUUUCCUGGUCUUCUAAGAAAAAAAAGUCAAUAGCAUGCCCUACAAUAGGGGUAAAGCACCACUCCAGGAUUGCAACUAUUGCAAAAUUAACUUGGCUUAUAUUUCUCUUAUGUGACAUUAGCUUACCACUUCCCCAAUUUCCAUUUCUCUUUUAUGAUAACAUUAGUGCAUUACACAUGGCCAAAAAUCUGGUGUUUCAUGCACAAAAAAAGCACAUUGAAUUAGAUUACCAUUUUGUCUUUGAAAAGUUGUUAUGGGACACCUUUAUGCUAAAUAUGUUCAUAGUUAUCUUCAAAUAGCUAACAUUCUUGCCAAGACUCUAGCUAGAAAGGCUUUUAGUAUGUUUAGCUUCAAUUUAGGAGCUCAAUGCAUGACAGCACUAGUUUGAGGGGGUUAAACCUCCUCUACAUUUAUCUCCACAACAAAACAAAUCAACAUGUCACCUUUUGAGACAAAUAUGACAAUAUGCAAGUGUAGACCCUCCAUCUAGUCCUAGUAGCAUAUGUUAUUCAAUGUAUUUUCCUUCACUUCUCGUUGCCUUAUAGUCAUCCCAUGGUGGUUUAUUUUUCGCUCAUUUGGUACUAUUUUUGAAGCCACCUUCAAAGAUUCAUUGUCGAUGGAUUUUUUUUAUUUUUAUGGAUCCCAAUUGUGACCUUAGUUGCAUGCUUAGUCUAACUCACUUAGUUUACUUAGUUUCAUUUUAGGUUUAGUUCACUUAGUCGCAUGCUUAGUCUAGCUCACUUAGUUCACUUAGUUGCAUUUUAGGUUUAGUUCACUUAGUCGCUUGCUUAGUCUAGCUCAGUUAGUUCACUUAGUUGCAUUCUAGGUUUUGCUUAGAUGCAUUCUAGGUUUAGCUCACUUAGAUGCACUUUGGUUUAGUUCCCUUAGAUGCACUUUAGUCUAGCUCCCUUGGGUUCACGCAUGAUAGGAUUUUUAGGAAGGAAGAGAUUUUUUUUAGGAAGACACGAUUGCAUAUUGCAUGAGAAGAAGAGAUUCACGCGUAGGAAAACUUUUAUUUGGAAUAUAUGGGCUAUCAUUGAGAGGUACACUACUAUUAGAGACUAAUUUUGAAAAAAGGAGUUAGGGCUGACACUAAUUGAUCUUGAAGAAAAAAUGAAGCAUCUUGAGAAGAAAAGUUGAAGUUUUGAAGAUCAAGAAGGCAAGACUCAAUGUAGGAAAACAAGAAAGAAGUAAACUUGCAAUCUUUUGGAGGAAAGGUAUGGUUUUUUUUAAAAAAAAAAAAAAAAUUUCUUACAUAUCUCAAUUAUGAUUAUCUCUUUAUUUAUUUGUUCUUUUUCUUUUUUUUCCAUCAUUUUUAAGUAUAGGAAUUCUCUUUGUUUGGGGUAGAUAAUGAAGGCCACUUUGAUUGUUGUUAAUCAGAUUGUUGAUGACAUAUUAAUGAGAAGUUGAUGAAUGGUUAAUUGAUCUCAUGUUGAUUAAUGCCUAUUAGAAUUGAGAUUAGAGUUAUUUUCUUUGGAAUUAUUUUCACUUGAUUGAGGCCUUUUGAUAACAUAUGAUAGGUGGCUAAGAGAUCCUUUAUUUGAUUUUUUAUGCCUUUGGUUUUAUUUUUGGUUAUUCGUUUUUUAUUGUGAUGUUUGGAGUGUUCACCUUGCUGUUGUUUUGUUAGAAUUAUUGAACCUCUAUAAUUAAAAAAUUGAAUCAGGUUAUUUAACAUCUCUCUAAAAUUUUUCUUAUGAUUGCUUGAUGUUGUAGACUUCCCAAAUAUGUUGAUAAAUGUUUGUUUGAGUCUUAAAUCAUUUUCCAAUUAAGAGAUAUAAACCAUUUUUUCACUCUAUUUUGAACACCCAAUUUUUUUUUAAAUUAAAUUAUUUCUUGAUCUCUUUAAUUUGUUUUGAUAUUUUUCCAUUAAUAUAAAUUCUUAAGUUUAAUUUUAGGACCCUGAUUUGUUGAAAAUUGAUUCUCUAAGUAGAAUAAAAAACCUCUUUUGCCUACACCUGUUGCACUAACCCCUUUUUGUAGUCAAGGGAAGUUUGGCUUAAUUUAAAAAUUCACAUUCUAUGAUUAAGUCAUGUUGUUAUUUUUUCUGUAAGUUAGAUAUAUUGAAGGUAUUGUACAAGCUUUUUUCAUGCUUAAAAAUAGAUUAAUUAAAUUAGUAUUUUCAUGCUAUAGGAUUUUGCUCUAUUUCUAAUCAAUAUAUUUGUGAAUUAAAUCAAGUAUUAAACGAGAUAUGAUUUGAUGAUUUAGCCUUUUGGGUUGUAAUCUAGACAUAGGAGAUGUUGUCCAAGCAUUUUCAUGGUGAAAUUUCAUCUCUAGAUAUUUGUUUAGGAUAUAUGUUGCAAGUGUCUUUGUUUUAGAUGCAUGUUGAUUGUUUAGUAAAGUGUUCUUAAAGUGAAUUAAUUUGGUAUUGAUUGACAUGUAAUUAAAUAUUUUGGGAUUUUGCAUUGUAAUAUAGACACAUUGAAGAUGUUAUCAAUUUUUUUUUUCAAUAUGCAAUAACACCUCUAGGUAUUUAUUUAUGAUUUAUUUUAAGAACGUCUAUGUUAUGACCCAAUGCUGAGUAUUUUGGAUGAUUUGUUAUUUUCACCACUUUUUGCAUAUUUUUAAAUCUUUUAGACCAUUGUUAUAUAUUGUAGGCAUAUUGAAUAUGAUAAGUGAAUUUUGUUUUGCACCAUAAUCCCUUAUUGAAUAUUUUAAUUAAACUCAUUUUAAAAUUGUAUGCAUAUUAAAAGUGUAUUGAAUUUACAUGACAAUUGUUACUUGGUUUUUUUUUUUAUUCCUUUAUUGGAGUAGUGGAUGCAUUAUGUAUGAUGAUAGAUUUUUAUUAUGAUUUUUCAUGUCUAUUUUUUAUUGCUUGUGAACUAACCCUCAUUGAUUUUAUGAAAGCACUAUACAUGUUAUUAAGGUAUGUUCCUCUCCUUCCUUUGUUUGAUUUUUUAAUGCAUGGUUCAUUUGAGUGAUGCAAGUUAUGAUUUCACCGUUGUCUUGAUUGUGUAUUACUUAUUUCUUUGGUAUCCACUAAUUUACAAAUCAAUUAUCAUAGUUGUCUCAACCCAUUAGUCUUCAAAUUGAUGAAUGAGGUUUUUUUAUUUUUUCUCAUUCUUCCUUUUAUUAAUUCAUGUACAAAGUAUAUAUAGAGAGUAAUCACCAUUCUAAGAAUGGGAAAGAAUGAUACAAGGAAGGAAUGAUAUAAGGAUAUAAUGAUAUAAGGAAAACAUUCUUAAUAUCUCAACACUCCCCCUCAAGGAAAGAAUGAUACAAGGAAAGUAUUCCUAAUAUCUCAACACUCCCCCUCAAGUUGGUGCAUAGAUGUCACACAUGCCCAACUUGUCUAAAAAUUUUGAGAACACUUGUCUUGAGACAGCUUUGGUGAGGAUAUCAACCAAUUGAUCUUCUAAUCAAAUUUUAAGCAAUUCCACAAUCUUAUCAUCCAACUUCUCCUUAAUGAAGAAUCUGUCCACCUCGACAUGCUUUGUACGAUCAUGUUGUAUUGGAUUAUGUGUAAUGUCACAUGCGGCUUUAUUGUCACAAAACAAUUGGAUUGGUUGCCUAGAUAAGUAACUUAAAUCUUGUAAGAGGAGUCUUAGCCAUAAUGCCUCACAAAGUCCUAAAGCCAUACCCUUAAAUUCCUCUUCUGCACUUGAACAAGUGACGACAUUCUGCUUCUUACUUUUCCAUGUCACAAGAUUACCACCUACAAAGGUAAAGUAACCAGAUGUAGACCGCCUAUCAUCCACUGCACCAGCCUAAUCAGCAUCAGUAUAUACUUCUAUACUCUGAUGAUCAACAUUUUUAGCGAACAAAAUUCCCUUCCCAGGAGCAUUCUUCAAAUACCUCAAAAUACGCAUGACUGCAUUCAUAUGUUGUUCUCCAGGAUUAUGCAUGUAUUGACUCACUACACUUAGUGCAUAAGCAAGAUCUGGUCUUGUAUGAGCUAAGUACAUUAAUCUCCCUACAAGUCUUUGGUAUCUUCCUUUAUCGGUUGAUACUUGAUUAGGCAAAACACACAAUUUCAAACCUUCUUCUAUUGGUGUAUGAACAGGUUGACAUCCCAACAUUCCAGUAUCCUGUAAAAGAUCUAAGGCAUACUUUCUUUGAGACAGAAAAAUUCCUUCACUCGAUCGAGAAACUUCAAUCCCAAGAAAGUAUUUCAAAGGACCUAGAUCUUUCAUUUCGAAUUCUCUAGAUAGAUAAUUCUGUAGAGCUUUUCUUUCUUCAGGAUCAUUUCCUGUAACUAUCAUGUCAUCCACAUAUACGAUGAGUGUCGUAAUCUUACCAUGUUGCUUUUUCAGGAACAAAGUGUGAUCUGAAUUACUCUGACGAUAGCCAAAAGCUCUCAUUGACUUGUGAACCUUCCAAACCAUGCUCUUGGGGAUUGCUUCAACCCAUACAAUGACUUCUUCAAUUUCCAUACCUUCUGACAUUGCUUUUUUGACCCCAUGCAUCUUGGUGGAAGAUCCAUAUAUACUUCUUCAGAUAACUCACCAUGUAGAAAGGCAUUUUUUACAUCAAACUGUUGUAAUGGCCAAUCCAGGUUUGCAGCUAAAGACAGUAAUACUCGAACUGUGUUGAUCUUAGCUACAGGUGUAAAUGUCUUUGUGUAGUCAAUUCCAUAAGUUUAAGUGUACCCUUUUGCUACCAAUCUUGCUUUAAAACGUUCAAUACUACCAUCUGCCUUGUACUUCACAGUAUAGAUCCAACGACACCCAACUGGCUUCUUUCCUAGUGGACAAUCUAUGAGUUCCCAUGUUUCAUUCUUCUGUAAUGAUUUCAUCUCUUCAUUCAUGGCUGCUUUCCACCUUGGAUUAGCUAAGGCUUCCUGCACACUGUUAGGAAUAGCUACAGUAGAUAAUUGAUUUACAAAUGACUUAUUUGAUUCAGACAAACGAUGGUUAGACACAUAGUUGCUCAUGGGAUAUUUGACAUUAGUAGACAAUUCAGGUUCAUAUGUGGGUUUAGGAAUACCUCUAUUAUGACGGUGUGGAAACCGUUUCAUGAAUGGAUCAGGUUCCAAAUUAAGAACACCUUCAACAGACGACGAUUGGUUUGGUAUUUUAAUGAAGGCAUCUUCGGACCCAAAUUGUUCAGAUGGUUCAAUUGUACCGUCUCUCCUCUCUUUUAUCACUUCUUCAACUUCUGGGUGGUCAUUACUACUUGGUUCACNNNNNNNNNNNNNNNNNNNNNNNNNNNNNNNNNNNNNNNNNNNNNNNNNNNNNNNNNNNNNNNNNNNNNNNNNNNNNNNNNNNNNNNNNNNNNNNNNNNNAUGAAACACCACAUCCAUUGUAAUAAACAUUUGUCGAGUUGGAGGAUGGUAACAUCGAUAUCCUUUUUUGUGCAAUGCAUAUCCAACAAACACACAUUGCAAUGCACGAAAAGUUAACUUGGUGCAUUGGUGUUUGUGUAGAUGCACAAAUGCCAUGCAACAAAAAACACGAGGAGGUAGAUUUGGGACGGUUGGGGCAACUACAACAUUAGUAAGAGAUUGGAGAGGUGUUUGGAAGUCAAUUGAACUAGAAGGUACCCGAUUGAUCAAGUAUGCAGCAGAUGUGAUUGCUUCUCCCCAAUAAGAUAUCGGCAUUUUUGCUGCUAUCAAGGAAGCACGAACAACCUCUAACAAGUGCCGAUUUUUCCGUUCAGCAACUCCAUUUUGCUGGGGUGUAUUGGAACAAGUAGUUUGAUGAAUAAUGCCAUGUCCUUCCAAAUACUUUUGAAGAUCAGAAUUAUGAUAUUCUUCACCAUUAUCACUACACAGAACCCGAACCUUUGCAUUGUACUGAGUUUCAAUCAUUUUAUGAAAUUUUUGAAACAACAAGUUCACUUCAUCUUUGGUCUUCAUCAAGCAUAACCAGGUCAUUCUGGUACAAUCAUCAAUAAAAGUAACAAACCAACGCGAGCCACUCAAAGUUGGUACUUUGGAUGGGCCCCAAACAUCAGAAUGUAUAACCAUAAAAGGAAGCGGACUUUUAUUCAAAAUUAACGGAAACGAAGUACGAUGACUUUUAGCCAAUUCACAAAUAUCAUAACAGAAACCAGAAAUAUCACUCCUUACAAACAAACUAGGAAACAAUUUUUUUAAAUAACCAAAGGAAGCAUGUCCCAAACGUCGAUGCCACAACCAAAUUUUAGACUUUUUCUCCUCCCCCUCAGAUCCAUCUACCAUCAAGGCUUGUCGCAACUUAUUGGAAUCCUUUGACUGCAAGUCAAAGUAAUAGAGUUUUCCCCGCUUAAUACCACAACCAAUCGUCUGUCUUGUUUGGAUGUCCUUAAAAACACAAAAUUCAGGCCAAAAAAUGACAAUACAAAAUAAGGCUGCAGUCAUUUGAGAAACUGACAAAAGAUUGUAAUCUAAAGAUGGAACAACUAAAACAGAAUCCAAAUUCAAAGUAUCAGUAAGAGUUAAGGAUCCUUCCCCAAUGACUGGGGUUGUGUUACCAUUGGCUGUGGAAACAAUUUUUUGUGAGGAAGGUCUAAGGGGUGAGACUUGUCUAGAAUCAAAAGUCAUAUGAUCUGUAGCACCAGAAUCAAUUAUCCAUGCACUAUUAAUAACAGGUGUAGAAGUAUUCAAAAACUUACCAUCAUAAUUUGUAGUGGCUACCAAUGCAGAGGCAUUCUCAGUAACAUUAGCCUCUGUUUUUAUUUCGACAAUAGCUGCAGUCGAGGUUUUCUUGGAAUCCUUCUUCCGUUGAUCACGAUUAUGAUCAUUAAUAACAAAGUGGUGAUAACCUAAACAUGAUCUAAAGGUCCAUGGUUCAAACCCUCGAUUCCUCAUUGUUUUCCUGGUCAUACCAAGAGUCAUUGCUUUGAAAUUGUGGGAUAUCCAGAUUGGUGGGAUUAGUCUUAUUGCAGUGAGUGCAUUUGAAGGUUGACUUAUCAAUAUUAGGGCUUCUCUUAAGAUGGUUGAUUGCUGUCGAACUACCAUAGCGACAAAAUAUCCAGGAUUUCAAUUCCAUGGCUCUGAUACCAUCUUCAAAUUGAUGAAUGAGGUUUUUUUUUUAUUUUUUUCUCAUUCUUCCUUUUAUUCAUUCAUGUACAAAGUACAUAUAGAGGGUAAUCACCAUUCUAAGAAUGGGAAAGAAUGAUACAUGGAAUGAAUGAUAUAAGGAAAUAAUGAUACAAGGAAAACAUUCCUAAUAUCUUAACAAUUAGUAGAGACCUUUAUUUAGGCCUUAGAGGGGUGCUAUCUUAUGAUACAUUCCCAAUAGGUAACCUGACUCUUGGACUUAAACUGGGGUUUUCAAAUGCACGAUUUUUCAAAUUAAGAGUCACUCUUAAGGUUUCAUUUCUUAUUUUGUUUUCCAUUUUUUUAAAAAUAAAAUAAAUGGCGACUCCAACUUUUUAAAAAAUUAGUUAAUUUUCACUAAAAAACAAAUCAUCAUCAAGUAAGGACGCAUGUGAAAAAAAUAGGUCCACAACAAGGCUAUUCCAAUGGGUUUUCCCUCUACCAGAAUAUUCAUUCAAGGAUCCAAUCACUAGAUUAUUUUCGCAUAAUCAUUUAGCUGUUGUUUAACUUAUAAAAUAGGAGAAGAUUUAUUCUUUCCAUUUGUAUCAGCACGACUCAAUUGAUUAGCUAAACUUAAGCAGAAGUAGUUGACUUGUCUUUCAUUUUCUACCCAUUUUUGUAUAUAUAUUCUGCAUAACGAUGUUAAUUUAAUAAGGGUCUGCUAUUGUUUUAUUCUCUUGCACAAACUAUUCUUCAAAGUACUCAACUGUGGCAUAGAUAAACCUUUCAUCUACUUGACAUUACUCAAAAGGCCUCGACGGUACUCAACAUUAUCUGAGGUUUUCUCCUACAGAUGCUUUGACAGCAUGGCAAUGCAACAGGCCUUAAGGCAAUGGCACCCACUUACAUACUGUGCAAGGGCCCACAAUGGAAAAGUAUUCCUAUAAGUUGCAUAGUGUAACAUGCAGUUCUUCAUGAAGGCUCCAGUGAUUUCCUGCCAUAGAUAAUUGUUGAUUAAAUGGUUAGACUACCACCCAGUAUACAUAGUUAGCUACAAAAGAACAUCAUUUUCCAUUUCCGAAAACCAUGUUAAAAUAUUGCUCCUUUCAUUUUUUAUUCAUGUUCAAGUGAGAUACCUGUUGGGGAAAAUCACCAUAUUCCAUUUAGGAAUUAAUCAACAGCUUUGCAGCCCUGUGAAGAGGUGUUGGGUCUCUCUCCACUUGUUAGAAAGGAAAGGUUAGACUCAGAUGUUUGGGGAGAAGCCAGAUUGUAAAAGUAAUGUAGAAGACCAAGGUAAGCUUAUUGAUGAUGGAACUAUAAAAACUAACCUGCCCAGAAGAAAGCAGCCCCAUCAGAGCCCACCCGGUUUGUACCAAAUUUGAAUUAUUUCCUUCAAGAGGUGUGUAUUUCUAUAUCACCAAGCACAAGGAUUACUUUUUUUUGUCCAUGUUUCUACCAGAAAACAGAGCAGUGGGAGGCAUGUAAAAAUUAGCUUGUCCGGGCAAGAAGUACAGUUCUCUCCCCAAGCACCAUCAUCUCUUUGUGAUUUGAGUAGAAACUUAACAGCUUUACGAAUAACAAGACAGUUGUGGUAAGUCUUGCCAGCAGCUGCUAGGCCCCCAAGUGCAAACCAUGAGCCAUAGGUGAAACAUACUCCCCAAUUGCCAUACAUGGUGAAAUGUUUCUUUGUUUAAAUGGAUCUGCACUGCAUAUAUAAAAAAAGAUUUCCCUAGUGAAAUAAUAAUAGUGGAGUUGAGAAACAUGCCAUCAGCCAUUAGGCAUUUGCAUGUCUUCAAUGUACUCAGCCGCAUUUGUGAUGAAAUUGUCUAUCUCCUUCUUCUUGUGUCCCAGGUAUAACUUCUUAAACAAAACUAGAGCCUGAAUUGCUGAUGCAGUGCACUCAACAUACCUGCAUCAUUGUUUUGUUAGUCUCCAAGGAUGUUAAAGCUAGCAAAGUUAGAAAAGAAAGUUGGUUUAUUAUCAAGAAUCUUACUCAUGCUCGAUAACAAUGUCUGUAAAAAAUUCAGUGGGGUUAAGUAGCUGAAAAGAGAAGAGAUUGGCAUUGAUUUAGAUUCAAAGAAUACAAAGAGUUAGAAAGAGAGUGAGAUAAUGCAGAAAUAUUGAAGUUACUUAAACAUGUUGAAGUAAUUUACCUCCAACCAUUCUGAAGCUCCUACAGGCUCCCAGGCAGCUAAACCACCAUUUUUACUCUAUAGUGGUUUCAAAAAUGGGGAUUAUUGCUCAUAAGAAGUUAUGACCUAUUUUACAAUGGGGACACAACCAUGGAAAUGGCGUAAGGAAGAUGAUUCUCACCUGUAGGGAAAGCAGGAUGUUGACAACAUCAAAUAGUCGUUCAGGUUCCAUCUUCAUACCAACAAUUUUUGGUGCCAUCCUUGAAAAUAGGAGACAACACUGUGACAGAGAGGGGACUUUAGUAAGAAACCAAGUAACGUUAGUUAAUCUGCAAGCCUUGACUCAAUUGAAGUGUUUGAGCAAAAAGAGUUACCUUCAAACCUUCUGUAGUGCAAUCAGAAACUUGGCAACCAUGAUCCUGAUCUGAGAAUGUCCACGAUCCCUUGGAAAUGUGGCGGUACAUGCUUUUAAAGUCACCAGAAGGAUUGUUCUUGACCUUCAAGAUUUCAAGCAGUAUGAAGUAAAUAGACCAUGAGAAACCCAAGUAGAUUCUGGUUGAAGUAAAGAAAUAAAAGAUGGAAUUCAAGAUCAAACCUGAGAUUCCUUUAUGAAUUCAUGUCCUUUCUAGAGUGUAGGUCCAAGUUCAUCAGUCAUAUUGCAAGCUAGAAGUGCUUGAAGGGCAAAACCAGUGUCCCACUCUUGACUACCAAAGCUCUGCAAUAAUCGACAAUUUCAAAACCAAUUAGGCAGGAAAGGGAUAAAAGCAACUUCAAACCAGUUGCAUACUUGAAAAAUUUUAAGAAAAAGAUUAACAGAUAUUGUCUAAUUUUCCUAAAAUUAUUUGGGAGAUUAGUGAUUGAACUUGUCUUCUGACCUGCAUCUUUAUUCCAUCUUCUGUAACCCAUAUAUAAUAUGGGAUCCUAGCAAGAUGCUUCUUGAAAUAAUCCCCAUUUGGAUCUUUAACCCAACAUGCAAGCAUACACAAUACCUGUUCAAUUUAAGCGAUCUCAGUACCCCACAGAAGUGACAUAUUGUCUGAAUAGUCAUUAUCCAUUACUGAAAAUUUACCUUCUUCAUAUAUCCAAUGGUAAUGUAUCGACUGUUUUCAUCUUCAUAAUGGAUGUGUUUCAUUGUUACUUCAAGAGCCUUCUUUCUCAACUUGUUGAAGGGCCAACGAGUAAGAAAAGGCUCGGUACAUAUGUUCAAACUAUCCCACAUUAGAUCUUGUAUUAGGGGAUGGGGGUAGUAGAGAUCCUCCUGAAAUAAACAAUUUUGAAUGUGUUUCAUGCACGCGUAGCAUAUUCAUACGAAAAAGAAAUUGUUUCCAUAAAAAAUCAAAACUUACCUUGGCACAAAGAUGUCGUACUUUCUUCCAGUUGAUUUCAUUAUAAGUGAUUACUACUCAAAAAGUGCUAUUUGAUAGCCUAUAAUAAAUCCUUUUAAACACUUUUGAGUAGUAGUUUAGGCCUUUUAACUCAAUUGGCAUGUUAAGGACCCUUGAAAGGGAUUUUAAUCACUUUAUGCAAGUUUUGGUGUUUUUGUUAGUAAUUUGAUCACCAAAGCAAGUCAAGACUGAGGAGAGUUUUGAGGAAUCUUGGGCAAAGCUUAGAAGUCAUUUGCCAAGAGUAAAUCCGGAUUGCAAGGAGAAAAAGUAAAGAGAAUCUGCCAUGAAGCAUAUUCUUGAUGACAGUCGUAGCAGCCCCUUUUGGAGGAUAUUAUGAAGUCCAAAUUAUGCAUUCUAUAUACCAUUUCAAAUCUCAGGAAGUCAACAAUCCAAUGCUUCAAACGGUGUGCAAUUCGGAGUUGAAACGAAGAAGUUGCAGCCAUUACAACCCAAUCACUCCGAGUUGAAGGAAGCAUUUUGCAAAGUGCUGCGAAAUCACCCUUUUGUUGCGAAGUGAUUCCGCAGCCUUUUUGUACAGUGUGAUGUAUCUCCUUCUGAAGUUGCCCAACAUAUACCACGAGAAGGAAGCUUGGAACCUCAAGGUGGAAGCCAACUUUGCAGCCCUCUUGAGUGUCUGCGAAAUCUCGCAGACACCAUUUUUCUCAUGCGAAAUGGUUCCUGAAGCCUCCCGAUAUUUGCUACUGACAUUGGGAGAUAUUUUACAUCAGAUUUUUGUUGUCUAAAUCCCAAAAUACUCCUUGUAAGCCACCAAUUACAUGAUUCCUUAGUUUUUAAGUUAGUAAAAAGAGUAAAUAUCUAUGUAAUAAUUAGUUUUAAAUUAUGUUAAUAUAUAUACCUCUCGGGAGCCUGUUCUCAGAGAGGAGUUCCUUCUGUAAAAGUUUGGGUAAGCAAGUAAAGUUCAGUUCUUUCUACUGCCUUACCUUCUCGCUUUGUAUUUUUAUUUUAUUUCUAAGUUAUGAAUUCUCUGAGGAGUUUUCCCCAGAGAAUGAGUAACUAAACCUCUAAUUCCUUGGAGCUAAGGUUGCCGGGGAAGGUUCCAAGUGCAAGAAUGCAAAGCUUUGUGGUUUUAGCUAUUAAUGAAGAGGAAGUGAAAUCCUUUAGUGAUUUCUAUGUUUUUAGUUAACUUAAAACACCUUAGAGUCACCUGGGCCAACACUUGGUAAGGCAAGUGAUUUCCAACCAUGGAAAUGCACUAGUUUACCCCUUGCGAGCCUUUGGGAGGUGACUUCAAGGUAGGAUUUUCUAGAAUAGCCAACACUUGGUAAGCUUUUGGACUCCAAGGAGACAUCCAUUAGUUAUCUCUUGCGAGCUUUUGACGGGUAAUCCAAGGUUAAAGAUCACCUUGAAUGGUUAAGGCUUAGUGAGAGGCUUAAACCAUUGCAAGUUGCAUCAGUGAGAGAAUUAAAGUGAAAUCUAAUUGAAGGAGUCUCUGUAUAACACCGGUUAGAGAAUUGAUAUGUUGAAUCUCUAACGCUAGGAAAUGAACCAUCUGACCAGAGCCGUGUCUUUUGCAUGAGGAACCACCCCAGUGAACCUAACUCUCCAGGGAAUGCUUUUCUUCCUAAAUUAUUCCAAACUUCUGUUGUGUUAGUUAGUUUAAGUCUAAACCUUUACCAAUCAAAGUUUGUGUUUUACUUCUUAAGCUAACCAUGAAAUGAAACAAAACCAAUUCACUUGGAAUUGGUAUCAUUGAGAGCUUGUUAAUCUUUCCCAGUGGACGAUCCUAGAGCCACUAUACUAUAGUAGCUUUUUCUUUGCUACCCUAGUAUAUUGUGUUAUAGGUUAUAAAUUUUGUUGAUUACUCCCUCAAUCAAGGAGCACCAGCUGGACACAAAUCAGCUGAGACACCAAUUGGGCACGAAUCAAUAAGGUUGAAGGAAGAGCUCUUUUCUGAGUUCUAGAACAAGAGGUGUGAUUGGGCCAAUGAAUUGUUUACCAUAUAAGUAUGACUUGGGCAUGUAAACCAUCCGACCGUAGCAAAACAUUCUUGUUGCAUUUAAGGACUCAAAUGAAAAGAAGGUAGACCAAGACAAAGCAAUACCAAAGAGAGAAAAAUAAAAUUUUUUUAGUAUAAGAUGUUUUAGUAGACAUCCCAAUGGAAACCCUUAAGACCAACAAACCAGUCCUAGGUUGGAUUUGUACGUAUUCAAAUGCCAUCUUAUCACUGUAUAAAGCUCAAGUUGCUCAGCUUUUCCCUUAUCAUUUUUAUCCCAACUCUGUUUUGAGUCAAUGUGACAAAUUCCAAAUUCCAUGCAAGAAGAUCUUAAUAUGUAAAAUACAUUAAGUGUAAAGUAGAUGUUAAAUUCAAGAACUUAACCUGGAUGCAUAGGAAGAAAAGAAGGGAAGAGCCAAAACUCUGGGGGCAUUGGGUUGCUUCCUGACUAGUCAAAUAAGCCAAAUAGCUGCAUGGAAGAAGCAAUUUCAUAUAAGAUUCAGUCCAACACACAAGAAUAAAUUGCAUAGGAUGAAUAUGAACUUGUGUUUAAAAUGUCCAUACUGAAAGCCAAGUCUUUCCCCAAGAGGGAAUGAAUGUCACUCCACCUCAGUCAUGGAUCCAUUUUCGCCCUCUUGCAUAAGCAUUGUCUCUUCCACCAUCUCGCCCUUCUCCAAGGAUGCACAUACAAAUGUAGUUGAGGGUUGUACAAAACAUGGUGCUGUGUCCCUCAAUAUGAAAUCCCCACCCACCAUCUUCAUUCUGCAAUGUACAUAAGCCAUUUUCAUACUUUAAAGCUCCAAGCCCAUUUAUGAGGUUAGGAUGAUGACUAGGUUCAAAAUAUAUGUACCUGAUGGCAGUAUUGGUAGCGAAGAAUUUCUUUAAGAAAUUCCUCGGGGAAUACAAUGUCAAGAUGCCCUGUAAUGUAUAGACGCAUGUCCUGCAUUUUCCAUAAAAUUAUGCCAUUGAGAAUGGUUGUUAAAAUGGUCUAUAUUCAUGAUUUUUAAGGAGGGUGAGAAAAUGUUGAGUAGACUCACCAGGGGAGGAAAGAAAUACAAUGGGCCAGAAUUUUCUACAGGCCAAUAGCUAUCACUAACCUGUAAGGCUGAAAAGAAAUGUGCACCUCUUCUCAGUGCUAUUGUGGUUGUCUCAUAUGUAAUUGCUUCACCAUCCCUAACUUUCAUUUGUGGUAUUGUUUGUUUGAAAUUCUUCUCUCUAAAAAAUUGUAGGUUUUUUUUUUUUUUUUUUUGGCCAAAUGAAAUGGGAGUUAGUGAAGAACAAAUUUAAAAGAAAAGAAAAGGUAAAUUAACCUCAAUAGUAAACAUCUAUUCAUACAAUUGUUCCAAGCUAAGUGGGACUAUUAGAGUCAAGAUAGGUGUAACAAUUGUUAAAGUGCAUAAUAUCUAUUAUGAGUCCAAAUCCUAUAAACUUAAUUUUUUAGGAAAUUGGUCCUUCAACAUGAUAUCAAAACUUAAUUUACCUAGGGCAAGGCCCAAAAUCACCUACUUGUAGUCAUGGUUUGAAAUGUUGCGAGCUUAUGGGAAUUGAACCCAAGCCGAAAUGUUUGGAUUGAAACUUGGCUACCAUUGGGCCAAGCUCACUUUUGUCAAUAUAUAUUCAAUUUAAAUAUGUUAAAUUUUAUUAUUAAAAAAAAUCUAAUUAUUUUAUUUUAAAUUUUAUUUAAUUGAUUAUAAAAGUAUAAAAACCAACAUUAUAAUUUUCUUAACAAGACUUUUUAUAUCAUUUAUAUGAUAAUUAAAUAUAUAAAAAAAUCAUAUAUGUGUCAUCAUUUAUUUUACAUUAUUAAAUGCAUUUGAAUUAAAUAAAUUAUAAUUUUAAUAUUAAAUGUAUUAUCAUUUAUAUCAUUAGUCCUAUUUUAAAAAAUUACUAUCACUUCACUUUUAAAUUUUUUAUAUUUAUCCUUUUAAUUUUGAAUCUUUUUAUUUUAAAAUAUUAAAGAUAUAAAUUUAUUAAAAAAAUACUAAAAUAUAAAAAAAUUGAUGAAGUCCUAAUAUUUUAUAAAUUAAAAUUAAUUUGAUAAGAUAAAUAAUAAAUUAUAUAUUAAGACUCGUAUAUCGUUGUUUACCAAUCUUUUUCUUCUUAACCAUACCUAUAUCAAUUACACUUACAUAAUAACUUUAACAUGUAUAUUUUUAGUUAUUUUAUCAUUGUUUGGAAUUUUUCCAAAUAUUUUCAUGAAUUUUGAAUAAUUUUCAUCUCAUCGAUAUUUUUGUCAAACUAUCCACCACUAUUUCUCCUAUAUUUCUGAUAUAUCCAUAAAAUUCAAGUACUGAUAUAUUCGUAUUUACCAAUAUUUUAAAUCAUGCUUAUAGUAUCCCUAAUAUAUGCUAGGUGGUGAACCUCAUAUGGUCUUCUUGUGUGGUCACCUCAUUUGAUGGGAGGCCAAGUGUUCACCAACAUGUUCUUUUCCCGAUUUAUUAAAAAGUCUACGUGUAAGCCAAAAAUAGGAGGCUACACAUGCAUGAGGAGCAGUAGAGCUAGGAAAUGAAGUGAAUGGGGCAUAUAUAUAUAUAUAUUAGGGAGCAAAAAUGAAUAAAGUUAACAUAUAGCAAAGUGGUAGAGUCUUCUAUUUUUCCCCUUAGAGUCAUUUUUUUUGGCUUUGCCCCUAUGCAUGAGGGUGUUAGAAAGCAUGAGAGAAAGUGCUACAUAUAUAUGAGCUCGCAUAUAUUGUGACUCCAAAUCCUAUAAAUUUAAACUUUUAGGAAAAUUCAUUGUGCAAGAACAAUGACCAAUUGAUUUGUUUGGAGGUGAAAACAAGAUUAUAAAGAGGAACCCAUAUCUUGCUCUUUCUUGGGUUCAUUUUUUCAUGCAAAUCAUCACCUAUAAUCAAACAAAAAGAAACAAAAUAUGAAAAGCUAUGUAGCUAGACUACAUAAAACAAGAAGUAUGUAUGCAUGGAAGACAUGUAUAUUCAGUGAAAAACUGCAAUCUAGGACGCAGAUGACAGAUCAAUAUCUGUUGUGAUAUUAGGACUUGAGAUAGAUGGGAUCAAAUCACCUGCAUCCGCCAAAGGAGGUUGCUGCUGGGCUUAACUUGAUAUCGGUUUUUCCAGAAGUUCUCACGAGCUGCUUCGACCUCAUCUCGCUCUUCUAAGGUUCCAUAAUUAGGAUCAAACUCCCAUAUCUAUCUUCCCACGAAGUUGUUGGUGUUGUAGAUGUAAGGAUCAUUGCCCCCAUCUGCAACCUUGAGCCUCCACAUUUUCUAACUCACCAAACUGAAGAGAUAUAUCUCUAUAUAUAUCUAAGUUAACAAAUAUGUGUGUCUUGCUUUCGAAAACACCUGCUGAUCAUCCAAUCACCAUAAAGGUAAGACAAGCUUUUCUUUGCAAUAAAAUUAAGUUAAAAUGAUACAGACCAAGAACAGAGAGAUAGGUGUCGGGUGGGCAGAGAAGAGAGAAACUUAAAAAACUUGGAAGGGAAAGUUAGGUUUUGGGCUAUUGAUUUGGAAAAUAUAUGGUUUUAAAAAUCCAAAUACAUAAAAUAUGACAUCUAACUAUUAAUAAGUAAAAUAAUAUCCAAAACAUGCACUAUGUCCUGUUUACUUUUCCUCUUCCCAGAUUGCCCCUAAAUUUCUCCAUGUCAUCAACAAAUCCUCCCCAUGUCAGCAGAAAAUUUGAAACUUGGAACUCUUUCUCAAAGCUGAAACAUAAAGAAACUCGACCCGAGAACCAAAAGUAAGAAAUCUCUCUCUCACUUCUAGUCAUUUUGACCUAAACCCAUCUCAUGAAAUUCCCUUUUUUAAUAUGGGGAUUGAUACAACAACUGCCUACAAUGGCAACGAUGUGUCUAAGUUGCCAUCAAGUGACUUAUUUGCGUGGGCCGGAAAUGGGAUAUGGGACAAUGGGGCAGCGUGUGGGAGGCAGUACUUUGUCAGGUGUUUGAGCGCACAAACUCCAGGGACGUGCAAAACUAGUCAGAUCAUUAAAGUGAAGAUAGUUGCUAGAGCCUCUAAGAAUGGAGCGAUCCUUGUUCUUUCUAAUAUUGCAUUUGGGGUUAUUGCUAAUCCUUCUGCCGCUUUGGUUAACAUAGAGUUUGCCGGGUAAGUGUCAUCCCUUUUAAUAUUAAUUACAUUGAAUUAUCUUUCAGGUAAUUAAUUUUUUAAAAAAUUAUUUCUGCUGGAAUUUUUAAUGUUCUUUUAUGGUGCUUGAUGUGUGCGCAGGGCUUGAGGGUAUCAAUGCAAAUAUAUGUCUGAGGGAGCUGCCUUUUUGCUAAUGAGGUUUCCAUUUGUCCAUUGUUUGAGCAUUUAUUAUUAUUAUUAUUAUUAUUAUCAUCUAUUUUUGCGAUUUUUAAUGAAAUUCAAUUUCGAUUUUUGUGAUUACAUGGCUGUGUUUUUUGUAAAUCAAUGUAUUUGACACGAUUACAAGUCACUAUUUUUCUACAUAAACAAAGGAAUUGUUUAUUCCUUAGUUCCUAAAAAGUGUAUUCAAUCUAGAAAAUGUUUUUUGGUACUUAGUUGUUUCAUCUCUUUGAAAGAGAACUUCUGAAUUUUAGGAGUUCAUUUAUUUCAAUGAUGAUUGAUAUGCAAUGAUGUAAGUAGUUCCCAUGACAGAAACUGGUCCAAGAAGCUAGCAAAUAUGUUAAUAAGAUUGAUUCCACUGGGGGAAAAAAUAUUUUUCUUGCCUGAUUCGUGCCCAAUUGGUGUCUCAACUGAUUUGUGUUCAGCUGGUGCUCCUUAAUUGAGGAAGUGAUCAACAAAAUUUAUACCUAUAACACCAUACACUAGGGUAGCAAAUAAAAAGCUACUAUAGUAUAGUGGCUCUAGGAUCGUUCACUGGGAAUGAUUAACAAGCAAUCAAGGAUACUAAUUCCAAGUGAAUUGGUCUUGAUUCAUUUCACGGUUAGCUUAAGAAAUAAAACACAAACUUUGAUUGGUAAAGGUUGAGACUUAAACUAACUAACUUAACAGAAGUUUGGAAUAAUUUAGGAAGAAAAACAUUCCUUGGAGAUUUAGGUUCACUGGGGUGGUUCCUCAUGCAAAAGACACAGCUCUGGUCAGUUGGUUCAUUUCCUCGCAUUAGAGAUUCAACUUAUAGUCAAUUCUCUAACCGGUGAUGUACAGAGACUCCUUCAAUUAGAUUUCACUUUAAUUCUCUCACUGAUGCAACUUGCAAUGGUUCAUGCCUCUCACAAGCACUUACCAUUCAAGGUGAUCUUUAACCUUGGACUUCCCUUCACAAACUCGCAAGAGAUAACUAAUGGAUGUCUCCUAGGAGUCCAAAAGCUUACCAAGUGUUGGUAAUUCCAGAAAAUCCUACCUUGAAGUCACCUCCCAGAGGCUCGCAAGAGGUAAACUAGUGCAUUUCCAUGGUUGGAAAUCACUUGCCUUACCAAGUGUUGGCCCAGGUAACUCCAAAGUGUUUUAAGUUAACUAAAAACAUAGAAAUCACUAAAGGAUUUCACUUCCUCUUCAUUACUAGCUAAAACCACAGAGCUUUGCAUUCUUGCAUUUGGAACCUUCCCCGGCAACCUUAGCUCCAAGGAAUUGGAGGUUUAGUUACUCAUUCUCUGGGGAAAACUCCUCAGAGAAUUCAUAACUUAGAAAUAAAAUGAAAAUACAAAGUGAGAAGGUAAGGCAGUAGAAAGGAAAUAGACUUUACUUGCUUACCAAACUUUUACAGAAAAGAACUCCUCUCUGAGAACAGGCUCCCGAGAGGUAUAUAUAUCAAACCAAUAUAAAACUAAUUGUUACCAAGAUAUUUAGUCUUUUUACUAACUUAAAAACUAAGGAAUCAUGUAAUUGGUGGCUUACAAGGAGUAUUUUGGGAUUUAGACAACAAAAAUCUAAUGGAAAAUAUCUCCCAAUGUCGGUAGCAAACUUCGGGAGGCUUCAGGAAUCAUUUUGCAGGAGAAAAAUGGUGUCUGCGAGAUUUCGCAGACACCCAAGAGGGCUGCGAAAUAUUUUCGCAACACCAAGCUAUCUUCACCAGGCUGCAAAGUUGGCUUCCAUCUUGAGGUUCCUAGCUUCCCUCUCGCGGCAUAAAUCAGGCAUCGUCAGAAGGAGAAACACUCUACUGUACAAAAAUGCUGCGAAAUCACUUCGCAACAAAAGGGUGAUUUCGCAACACUUUGCAAAAUGCUUCCUUCAGCUCGGAGCGAUUGGCUUGUAAUGGCUGCAACUUCUUCGUUUCAACUCUGAAUUGCACACUGUUUGAAGCAUUGGAUUGUUGACUUCCUGAGCUUUGAAAUGGUAUAUAGAAUGCAUCAUUUGAACUUCAGAAAGUGCCCCAAAAGUGGCUGCUACGACUGUCAUCAAGAAUAUGCUCCAUGACUGAUCCUCUUUGCUUUUUCUCCUUGCAAUCCGGAUUCACUCUUGGCAAAUGACUUCUAAGCUUUGCCCAAGAUUCCUCAUAGCUGUCCUCAGAUUUGACUUGCUUUGGUGAUCAAAAUACUAACAAAAACACCAAAACUUGCACAAAGUGAUUAAAAUUGCUUUAAAGGAUCCUUAACAUGCCAAUUGGGUUAAAAGGCCUAAACUACUACUCAAAAGUGUUUAAAAGGAUUAAUUAUAGGCUAUCAAAUAGCACUUUUUGAGUAGUAAUCAUUGCCUACGUGUAGAAUGUAGUAUUAAAACAUUGGUGUUGGACCUGUUAAUAGUGUUGGAAUGAUAUACGGUGCUGGUACUUACAAGAUGUUGUUGUAAAAAAUGGUUUCUAGAUUUAUGGACCAGUGGUAAAGUAAAAUAUUAUAAGUUGUGAUUGAUUCAUCCUCAUUGCAGUCAUGCCAUUUGAUUCUGGCCCAGAUAGGUGUUAUCAACAAAAUUUAUAAAACCUAAAUCACCUUAAACCAGGGUAGCAUAGCUAACAUAGUAUAGUGGUUCUAGGAUUGUCCACAGGGAUGGGUUUUUAUCAUACAAUUGACUUUAGUGAAGGAAAUAAAAUGGUGUUUUUCCUUAUGGAAAUUAGCUUUUAAAGAAAAUGAAAUUGUGGUUGCAAAGAUUGAUUUUAAGUUAAGCAAAAAUAAUAAGUGAAGUUAACUACAAAGAAAAGGUCUCUUGGAGCUUUAGGUCACUAGGAUCAGGUUCCUUAGGCAAAGAAGGAGAUUCUAGAUCUUUUCCUCGCGUUGGGGACAAUAACAUAAAUGAUGGUUAUCUCCCGAACCGGUUUUGUAUUUAGCAAUUAAGAUUUGAUCCAAUGGGUUCAUGAAAAAUGGUAGUUGCUUCCCAUUAAUGACUUCAAACACUAAAGACCCUCACCUUGAACCACCUUCCAAUGGCUCAUACUUGAUAACUAAUGAACAUCCAUGGAUCUAGCAAUAAACAUCCAUAUAAUCUGGAAAGCUUAUCAAGUAUUGGUCAUUCAAGGUGAUUCUCACCUUGAACCACCUUCAAUGGCUCGUACUUGAUAACUAAUGGAUAUUCAUGGAUCUAGCAAUAAGCAUCCAUAGAAUCCGGAAAGCUUACCAAGUAUUGGCCAUUGAAGGUGAUUCUAAGGGAUUUAAAGCUAAAUUUUGAAAUAAAAACCAUUAAUGGUUAACAACUACCUUCAUUUAAAGCAAGGAAAACUCCCACCUUUGCAUUCGGGUCUUCACCUAGUUUCCAUCACUCUAAGAAACGUAAAACUUAGCCACUCAUCCCCUGAGAAAUCAUUCUCAGAGGUUGUUUGGCUAGAAAGAAAAGUGAAAACAAAAUGAGAAGGAAAGAUAGAGCAAAAGCUCUGUAUAUUUCUUACUAUGGAUCUCCCAAGCCUCGGGCCUUCCUCUGUAACCCUUAGACCAUGCCAUUAUGUGGUUCUCUUGAGUGUUUAAGUGGUCCACCAAAGGUUUUUUGGGACUGUACCUUAGGUACUACCUUAAUGGCCUUUAGGUACUACCUUAAGGGACCCUAGGUACUACCUUAGCUAAAUAUGAACUCUAUCUUUCCCUAGCCUCAGGAUUUCCUUUGUGACCCUUAGACCAUGCCAUUAUGUGGUUCUCUUAUGUGCUCAACUCCAAGAUUCAGCGCAAAGGUUUGUAACAAAACAUACAAAAUGGAACCAUUUGGAAGUUUUCUAUGUCUAAUUGGUAAUACUGCAUUAAAUGUCUGGAGAACUUGAGACAACUACACUACCUAUUUGUGUUGAUUCCACCUAUGCCCUUAACCAUUAACUUUUUACUCAUAUGUGGAUUGAUGAGUCCACCACCAAAAUUUUGCUCACAUAUUAUCUGUAAUAUUUUCUUCAUUUUCUAAUUUAAGUUUUAUUGUCCACAAUUGUCCUUCUUUAGCAUGUUUCUUGAUUAAUCAGGUAUUGAAUCAAGAUUCAAUAUCUCUUAAUACUUAAAAGUUCCUAGAUUCAACUGUUUUUUUAUUUACAUUUUCUACCACUUGGCACUUUGGUAGAGUUCCACAUGGAAGAAACUGGAUAUGUGAUGCGGACAAAAUUCCAGCAUGCCCCCAUUGAUUAUAUUAUGUUCUUUUAUUCCAUUUUUUUAACUCUUCUGUCACUAAUGGUAGGCUUAAAGAGAAGCUUUCUAAUUUAGAAUCAGAUAAUCAAGUACUUUGUCAACAGGCACUGACCAUAUCAGCAACUGCUAAAGCUUUAUAUGCACGACCAAAAACACCAAUUCUUCAGGUAUCAACAACAUGCAAUUUAUCUGUUGUUGCACCUCAAAUGUCCUCAUGGAAAUAAAUGUUGAGCUUUUUUUUUUUAUUUUUUAUUGUAUUGCAGAGAACUCCUGAGAAUGGAAAUGUUCUAAAUGGAGAAGCAAAGAAACAAUUGGUAAGAAAUCUCGAGUAAUUUUAUCACUUAUGUUACACCCAACACUCCUGAUUGAGAGAUGAAAAAUAAACCAUGUAUUUUGUGUCCCACCAUCUUUAAAAUGUCUUAUGAUUCAAGUCUUGCCCUUUCUUCUCCACGGGAACCUGAAUCUAAGGAAAAGCCCUAGAAAUCUCUCAAUGAAAAGCACCAGGUGGAUAUCCUCUUUCGGUCUUUCAUUUUUUGUUUUUCUUCCUUUUCCAAGGCAGUAGUUUGGUGGUCAUUUAAAAAUUAUGAAUUUUUACCUGAGGCAUGCUCCACAUGUACUCAAUAUUCAUAUUACUGCUUGUACUCCCCGGAUAUUUUCUUCAUGGUAAUAAUUUUUUCUGGUGCAGGAAAACCAAGACCUGCUAAUCAAGUGUAUUUCACAAGAUUUAAGAUUCUGUGGGGGCAGGUCUAUUGCUGCUUGCCUGAUUUACAAAUCCCUUUUCCAAUGGAGGUCGUUUGAGGUUGAACGAACUAGUGUAUUUGAUCGUAUCAUUCAGACAAUAGGUGCAGCAAUAGAGGUAUAAUCGACCUCUAUUUUACUUGGUUUCUAUAUCCUGAUGUUUGAAAAUAGUAACUACUGUCAAUCCCCUUGUUGGACCUAGUAAACUGAAUUCAUUUUGCUUAAUGGCACCAAGACAUUUCACUGGAAGAAUGAGUGAAAAUUAACUGGAGAUCAAUUCAUGCUUGAAUUCUGAUGUUAUAAGCUAGAUGAUAACAUUUUGUAAAAUUCAGUAUCUGAAGGUCCAGGAUAACAAUGAUGUCUUGUCCUUUUGGUUAUGUAAUUCGUCUACACUGUUGUUGCUUCUUCAAUGCACACUUAAAGCAAGUGGAACAGCUAGCUUAACUCCACAAAGGCGGAGAUCAACAUCAACUUCUUUCUUUGGGAGGAUGUCUCAAGUAGGAAAUGGGAUUUGUUUUAUCUUUGCAACCAACCAGGACAUUUGAUAUAGCUUCAUUUUUUGUUUAUGUUUCUAUUUUCUUAAUUGAUGCCUUACAUUUUUAGGUGCUUCGUGCAUCUCCACAAAGUAUUGGGUUCACAUUUCUUAAUGGUCAGGUUCUUGGUGGAUUGGAUGACUUGAGACAAGUUGAAGCCAAAUAUCUAGCUUUGGUUUUUAAACAACAACUCACAGCCUUCCUUGAGAAGAUAUAUGGAAUGAUAAGAGACAAUUUAAAGAAAGAUUUCCCCAUUGCUUGGAUUGUGUAUUCAGGUAAUUCUUCUUAGCAAUUGUUAAUUCGAAACAAAAUAUGAAUGGUAUGAAUAGUUCCAUUUAAUAUCAAAAGCAACUCAUUUUUUGAAGAACCCUUUUUUAUGUAAGUCCUUCCUUAACUACCCAACACAUCAGUAUUCAAUCUAUUGAUAUUCUUAUGAGUCAGCCUACAAUUCACUUAUUAAGGUCAAGAAAUGAAAAACUUUUAUUUGUAAUUAUUUAAAACCAAACACUCAAUUUGUUGCUUUACUUUCAUGAAAGAUUAAAGAGCAUGUUUGUUUAUUUUGUUUGGUUGCAAUUCAAUUCUUUUAAAUACAAACAAAUCCAUUGACUAUCUUUUCACAAUGGGUUUAUAAGACUUUUUUUUUGUACUUUUUAUUCAACAAUAUGGUCUGAUUUUUUACUUAUAAGGGGAGAAAAGGGAAAUGUAUAACAGAUUAUGUCAAGGCAUAUAGAUGGUAAGUAAAUAUUUCCUAUAUUUUUUACAUCGUGCUGUUGCCUAUAGCUUAACCUAUUAAUUCACAUUUUCUAUUGUUCACCCAAAACCUAGUAUGCCUCCCCUUGAAUUUAUUUAUUUAUUUACAUGUAAAUAAACUUCCUUGAAUAAGUACCUAUUGUUAGAAUUUGGGGAUCAAUCAAUUCCUUUGCACCUAAAGAGAUUGUUUCUAUUGGGAAAAUUGACCAAUUGGCACACACCAUCUCAGUAACUCAUUUACUACUUCUAUCUAAAGUGGCUCAUUCUCUUUUUCAAUGUAACUUUUAAGUUGGCCAAUAUAUUCUUGAUCUUCAUUCAAGUAUCUUUUCAUUAUACAGGCACCUAGAACAUCUCGUGCAAGUUUAGUGAAGGGGCGUUCUCAAGCUAAUGCUAUUGCACAACAAGCGUUGAUUGCUCAUUGGCAAAGCAUUGUGAAAAGCCUGAAUUAUUACUUGAAGAUAAUGAAAGCAAACCAUGUAAGUGUCACAGUCUGAAAUAUAAUGUCAAAAACUUAUUGUUUUUCUUCUUACAGCAGUACCUCAUUCUGUUGGUUAUUGUGACUGUACAGGUUUCGCCAUUCCUACUCCGCAAGGUCUUAACUCAGAUUCAUUCAUCAAUGUUCAGUUAUUCAAUAGGAAAGUGCACUCAAACAUGGCUUUUUUCUUAUGAUCCCAGUUGCUUUGAUUAUGUAAUGUGAGUAAGUGGCAUUUUUAAAUUCAUUUUUGUAGUCUCCUUUUGAGGCGUAAAUGUUGCUCAUUCAGCAAUGAGGAGUUUGUUAAGACAGGAUUAGCUGAGUUAGAAAACUGGUGCCAUGAAGCAACCGAAGAGGUGACAUUAAUUACUCCUCUGUAACCUUUACACGUUGAUGUCUUUAGCAUGUGGCCUAAUAUCUGCUUCAUAUUCAGUAUGCUGGCUCAACUUGGGAUGAACUAAGGCAUAUCAGAUGAGUAGUUCGAUUCCUGUUUUUAUAUAGGACUCAAACAGGAUUCAACAAGUUAGAGAAAAGAACUGAAAGAACUUCUCUCAAUGGUUCAAAAUCAUCAUCAUGAAUGAAGACAACUAGCACCUCUGAUUUAUUGCUAAAACAAUUGCAAAGAAUAGGAAAGGAUUGAACUUGAUUAUGAAUCUCUCAAGAUGGUUCCACAAGGGUUGAAUCCAAUGCAACAUUUUUUUCCAUAUAUCUAUAAAAGAUCUUUGCCUUUGUCACAUUUAUAUGGCUCUUCAAGCUCUUUCAUAUGGGAUAGUACCAACAAUGCCUUUCUUGAAUACACAUUUUUUAGACAUAUAGGGGUGCCUCUGAGUAUCAAACAAUUAUAAUUUAUCUGUUCUAUAAUUAUAAAAAAUUCUUCAAGCUAUAUGCUAUGAUCAUCUCUCAUCAUAAGCAUCUGGAAUCAGUACUUUUAGGUCCAUUGUUUUCAUAGGAUACUUGAAUGCUCAUUCUGAUGUUUGACAUAUUAAAUAUCAUUUCUCAAUGGAAAGAGGGUCUUAGGUCUUGAAAAUCAGUGUAUAAAACAUAAAUUAAUACAAUGCCAUAAACUGAUACAUGCUGAGCUUUACAUGAAUGUCCAUGUCUUUCCUUAAUCAUCCAUGAGAAACUAGAAGUACACUGUUACCAAUAUCUCCAUCCAAGCUCAUUUGUUGGACUUCUUCAGGAUAAAGGAUCUUGAUGUAGCUUACCCAGUUCACAAACUCCCUGAAAUACCCCAAACGAGACAGCAUAAUGUCACAAACUUAGUCUUUUCCUAAGCUCGUGCGGCACUUAGAUGAGUCAAGACACUUGAUCUUGCUAAGUCAGCCUUACUUCCAAUGCUUAGCUUGUUCUGCUAAGACGCUCGUGACUUGGGAGGUUUAGAAGGCGUAGUAGGUGACUCUUAAAGAAUGGAAGCUUUAUUGCUUUCAAAGGAAGCUAUACAAUGCUUGGAAGCUAUACAAUGCUUGGAAGCUCACUUGCUUGGUUAGGAAGUGAUUUGGGUGGUGCCUUGGCCAAAUGAGGCUCUCACCUAUUUAUAGGUACCAAUGGAACUCUUUGGAACCUUGGAGGGUUCCUUACAAAUCAAGAAGAUUUUAGAAUACUCUACACAAUUCUAUGUACAACCCUAUGUACAAAAGAUCUCUAGAAUUCUUUAGAAAGCCUUGGACUCCUCUCAUGCCUUCCACCAUAGUGUAGAGAUGUGUGGACAUCUCUAGGCAUCUCUAAAACCUUCCACACUCUUCCCUCCAAUGGCUUAGUGUAGAUGGCUCCAGGAGUCUCUAGAAGCUUCUCGGGCUCUAUAUAAACCCAUGAGGAGGCUCAUUUGAAGCAUCCUAUGACACUCUCCCCCACCUAUGUCGUCGACGUCCUCGUCGUUGCCUCUUUCUGAAACCUCUCGAUGUGUUUCCAGAACCUUCUCAAGGCAUCCGCAUGUUCCCAGCUUACCUAGCUCCUUGGUAGUCCUUUUCAUCAGACUAGAUACUCCAUCACAGGAGGGACCCCUUGUCUCUUGGUGACCCGUUCAACUAGGAUAUUUUUCACCUCCUUUUCUCGUGAGGCCUCGGAUGGAUGCAAAUCCCUACACUUUCGAUGCUUGGAGUGUUGCUUCCUCUUACCCAUCAAGUUCACCUUUCCCUUGGUGACGUUGUCGAUGUAUGUGCGGGCUACCUCAGCUCGCUCCCCUUUUGCCUCAUUUACUUGCACCCCUGAUAGUAAGGAGGUCUUAGGCGUACUAGGCUUUAGGUUGAAUUGGAGGGCACCUAGUAGCUACAUUGAGUCCAUAUGUGCUCCGUCCUCCUAUUCCCUCUCCUCGAUCAUGGCACUGAGUGCCUUUCUCUUUGGACAAUCCCAUGCCCAAUGUGGACCAUCACAUAAGAAGCAUUUGAUUUUAGACGUAAACUCCUUCCUUUCCGCCUCACCUCUUCCUUCUCAGACGUUAGGCGUCUUGCCUGAUCCCAUUCUAGGAGUAUUGUGGUCCCUUGAAACCUCGUCUCCCCCACCCAUGGCGUGGCUAUCCUCUAAAGACUCAACCUUGGAGGAGUCUCCCCUCUUGUAAUCUGUUAAAGACUCUGCUAGUGCCAUAGCAGUGGCUAAGUCUUAAACACCUCGGCGUCUUAAUUCCUACUCAACCCACCCUUGCAGAUUAUCCAUGAAGUUGGAUAGCAACUCCUCCUCAGUCAUGUUAGGAAUCUCAAGCAUGAGCGAAGAGAAUUCCUUGACAUAGUCGCGUAUUGAGCCUAUAUGCUUGAGAUGCCUCAUGUUUUUCCUAGUCAGGUAAGCCACGUCCUCGUGGUAGAAUUGCCUCUUGAUUUCCCUCUUGAAGUCUUCCCACGUCUCUAUGGUGCAAAUGCCUUUCUCCAUAUCGGCAAACCUCCGACGCCACCAUAGAGUAGCUGUGUCAAUAAGGUAGAGGGUUGCAGUCCUUACCUUAGCCACCUCAUCAAUUAGUGCGAUAGCCUCGAAGUAUCGCUCCAUAUGCCAUAAGAAGUUGUGCAACUCCUUGGCAUUCCCCUUCCCACUAAACCCUUGUGGCUUUGGCACCUCCACCCUAGAUGCCUCUUGGGUGGCCAUGACCCGUGCCGACACAGUAGCCUUUAGAUGGCCAGCUCCUGCCUAACCUCAUGGUCUCGGGACUCUAUUCGAGUGGCUAAGGCCUCUAUCCUUGACUCCAUGCUAGCAAGCAUGCUCAUUGCCUUGUCUUGGAAGGACAUGAACUCCUCGUGUGACACCGGCUAAACUUGUGAGCCUAGCACUCUCUCACGAAGGUCUUGGAUCUGCUCCCUUAGAUCCUCUAAGCCCUUCUCCAUGCCUUGCUAGAUCAAGUCCACCCCUUCGCGGGUGUCCACCAUGGCUAGCUCCACUUUAGCUAACCUUGCCUCCAUGUUGGCAACGACAUCACGAGACUUAUCCUUCCUGCCCCUGCCCCGCAUAGUAGGCUCAAUCUCUCUUCCACGGGUUUGCUCACUAGUCUCCUCCACAUUAGAGCCCGACAUGCUUCCUUUACCAUGCCCGCUUCAUAGCCGCGCUCUGAUACCACUUGUCACGAACUUAGUCUUUUCCUAAGCUCGUACGACACUUAGACGAGUCAAAACACUUGAUCUUGCUAAGUCAGCCUUACUUCCAAUGCUUAGCUUGUUCUGCUAAGACGCUCAUGACUUGGGAGUUUUAGAAGGCGUAGUAGGCAACUCUUAAAGAAUGGAAGUUUUAUUGCUUUCAAAGGAAGCUAUACAAUGCUUGGAAGCUCACUUGCUUGGUUAGGAAGUGAUUUGGGUGGUGCCUUGGCCAAAUGAGGCCCUCACCUAUUUAUAGGCACCAAUGGAACUCUUUGGAACCUUGGAGGGUUCCUUACAAAUCAAGAAGAUUCUAGAAUACCCUACACAAUUCUAUGUACAAGAGAUCUCUAGAAUUCUCUAGAAAACCUUGGACUCCUCUAAUGCCUUCCACCAUAGUGUAGAGAUGUGUGGACAUCUCUAGGGAUCUCUAAAACCUUCCACACUCUUCUCUCCAAUAGCUUAGUGUAGAUGGCUCUAGGAGUCUUCAGAAGCUUCUCGGGCUCUAUAUAAACCCAUGAGACAAGGGUAAUAUAUAUAUAUAUAUAUAUAUAUAUAUAUAUAUAUAUAUAUAUAUAUCAAAGUUUUACACCACAAUGUACAAUAUCACCCAACCUUAAAAAGAUGGAAAACUUUUCGUGCCAAGCUGGUUGAUUUGUCAACAUUUUGGGCAGUACCAGCCUGUCCCUCGCUCCAACAUUUCAAACCAUAUUGUAUUGCCCGUGUUGCAUUAGGUUUAGGUUUUUUGAAAUACAAAAUUACAAGAGCAAGUUCUGCCCGUGUUGCAUCCAGAGUACUCAUCUUUUAACCAAAAUUCACCUGCUAAGUCAAAACAUCAACGUUCAUUUCACGAGAAAAAAAAAAAAAAACAUAAUAUACAUGUAGAGAAAAUUACAUUGACCAAAGCAACAACAGUAAAAAAAUUGAAUAAAAACCACAUGAAAAAUCAUGCUUUCACGCCAAUAAAUAAAAUGAUAUUUAUUGUCCAAAUCAAAUGAAGCUAGCACGAAGUCAACUUGUUGCCAGAAUCAGAUAUACAAUCAAAGCUAUUCUUAAUAAGAGUAAGCAAUAGUUCCAUGCUAUUAAAACUGCAGCAUUAGACAAAGCAGGGUACAGAAAAAAUGCUAAUAGCCUAGUUAUUUAUGGUCCAAAUAACAUAUUCCAAAUCAUGGUUUACUCUCAUACCCACAACAUAACUAACGCUCAAAAGAAUCACUCUCCUUCAGAAUCAUUUUCAGGAGGAAAAUAUAUUAAAAGUAACAUAUCGAAAUAUAAUAGAACAUAUAGUUGCAUUUUAAAUAAAAUGUUUUAUUAAUCCACUUUUUACUAAUGGAAAAAGCAAAAUGAUAUUUUAAUUGAGAUUGUUUAUUCCAUUCUAAAUAAAUACUCUAAAUGAACCCACACCAUCAUGCCACAAUUCAAUGUACUGGUGCAACACACACCACAUUGAUCCAUUUUCUAGAUCAAACUCGGCUAGUUAGGAAAACUUGAAGUAAAUAGAAGUUUGCCAAAGUACAAAUAUACCAUCAUACAUGAUCACAAUGUUAAAGCUAUAUCCAAUUUUACUCUCUCCAACAGUGCCCCCAAAGAUUGACAACAGAUCAACAAAAUCAACUGAAAUCAUGUGUUUUCUCCCCAUGUUAACCUAUGUUGUUAUUGGGUUUCCUCUACUCUCAUCCCUCCUUCAGUCUAAAAGCACCUAACAUAAGCGGGGGCAGAACCCAAAUAUAUAGGAAGUAUGGCAUGGGUGCCCAAAUUCAAAAUGGAAAAUAAAAAACUAGCACCCUCCCAUUAAUAAGAAGCCAACCAAUCAAUGCAAGCUAACAUAGACACAGAUCAAGCAUCAAGGCACUCUCCAUGACUUCCUGGAGGAGAUUUGGAACAGAGCUGAGGAUCCUGUGAGGACCUUGGUCCACGGAAUUCUACAGUGUGCUGUGAGACACCAAGAAGGGUAAAACUUCCAAUCCUUAAUGCAACUGCAGAAUAUCUCAUGGCCUUUGGUUAUAACUGACUGUCUAAAGCAACCAUUUUGUAUUUUUUUUUGGGGUGGGGUUUCGUUUUACUCCACAUACUUCUGUCUUAUACCAUUCUCUACUUGGGUUUUUAAGUUUUCAUGUGUAGACACAAGUACAACAAAAAUUAUGGCUAUCAAGUAGAUAUAGCCCUUUAACCAAAAUAAUGAGAAAAUCUUACAAGAAACAUAGACCAUUGUAGAUACAAAUAAGAAUACACUCCUGGCCAUUACAACAUAUGAACCUAAAUAGAAAGAAGACUGAUCUGAUCCCUAGAUUUGACAAAUAGUCAUGACAUUUGUUAGAUCAUCCUUGAUCCCAGAUAUGAUCUUGAGCAUUCAUCCAGAGUCGCUCACAUAAAUGAUUUCUCGCACUAAAAUAUUCCAUAUCUCAACAUAGUAUAUUCAUUUAUCCAUUCACAGUUUUCAUGGUUUCCUCCAUAAAUAUGCAUAUAUGUUCAUUUUUCAUUGUACCAGCACAUGUAUACAUAAUCUUAGCUUAUAUUACACACCUUGAAUAGUAAUAUGCAAUUUUUAUAAAAUUUUCCAGAACAAAUAAAAAUUAGUAUAGUAAUAUACAAUUGGUCAGGACAUUUACAGAACAAAGAGAAAUAAGUAUCAUGUCUGUGGAGAACUCAUUUGGGGAAUGAGACUCUUUUAACCCUCAUCCAAGAGGGUUUGAAAAGACAGUCACAAAUGAGGAUGAAUGGUUGAUUCUUCUCACUCCUUAACUAGACGACGCAAGACACUGCUACUCAAUGGCGAGAGGUUUCAGUUAUCCUAGAGAAAUGAAACCACCCAAUGCUGAAAAAUCAAACAUAAUAAGUUCAAAUAUUGAAAAAAUUACACAAGUAUGGAUACAAAAGCAUCAAGAAGCACACAUCCUCCUGCAUCCACCAACCACAAUAGAUUUGGUUUUGAUUUUAGACCAAUCCAAGCUGCUCACCAGUAUGCUACAAAAGGAUCAACAUUUAAUUUGUCCAUGAGACCAAAUAUCCUAUAACAUCACACUGAAGCAACCCAAAUUACUAAAUGGAACUAAAAUUUCUUCUUAAGAUACUUGGCUUGGGAAAUUGGUUAAGUAUGCUUCUUUAGAGAAACAAAAUGAAACUGACACAUCAUCAUAACACAAUUUUAUAGAGUACCAACUAAAUUACAAUUGAGUUAGGAAGAAUAAAUGUAAUGAUAGGUCAUUUUCCUUCCAACAUAUGUAGCAUUUACAGUUAAAGCAAAUAGGAACAUUAAUGGAUUAAGCCCCUAUAUGUCAAGACCGAAAAUGUUAGAAUGUGCUAAGUCCUCUCUUUUCUUGAUGAUACUAUAGCGCCUAAAAUGGAUGCAUCAACUUCAAUAACAAGUUAUGAGAACCAUUAGAUGUUUUAAAUCAUAAUUAGUAUCAAAAUAAUGAGAUUUUGCCUAGUGAUUCACUAACCAGGACCCAGACUAUGAUACUUAAAUCAAUGAGGGAAAUCAAUUACAUGUAGUAUAAUUCUCUUGAAUGAGAGAUCUUUCUAGGACUGGCUCGAAGAUUUCCGAGGAUUGGUGAACUCAGAGGAACUUCUCCAAAAACAUUAGACUAAUUUUUUUGUCCAUCAGAAAGUUGUCUCCCACCAGCACUGUUAUUGUCCUCUCUUUUCUUAUUGAUUGUCCCGGUCUGGUUAGACUUGAUCUCCUGCAUUGCAAACAAAAGAAUAAUGGCGUAUUAUGGAUAUGUGGUAAAAAAGCAAGAAUCAAACUCCAUAUCAUUGAUUGUAAUAUCAGCAGGGAUUGAACCCAAGCCAUGAUUUUGAUUUAAUAAAAAUUAAGAUGGAUAAUUAAUAAUUAAUAAUUAUUUAUAUGGGGCAAAUUGUUUUCAUGAUUUGUUUCCUUUUUUUUUUUAUCAUACUAAAUCUAAAACUCAAAAGGGUCACCCACUUCUCUCACUUGCUCAGGCAUCAAGAAGCCUUUUUUCUGAAGUUGCUCUCCAGACGAGAGAAUCCCUAAAAAGGCCCUAUUUUCCUCUGCCAGGUACUAAUCUAAUCAUGUUUUUUUUUUUGAAACCCCCGUUUGAUUCCCAAGAAAAUCCAUCCCCCAUUUGAUUUUUGCGAAAAUUCAUCCUCAUUUGAUUUCCGACAAAAUCCAUGCAAAACCCCCAAGGAAAACAAAAACAUUUGUUUUUUUUUCCUCCCUAUGUUCUCAGGAUCUGUUCUAGGGGUCUCUUUGCUUUUGUGCCAUUGGAUUUCAAUUUCACAAACCCUAAAUCCACGAUUUUUGAGCCAGGCUGAAAAAUACAACCUUUGCCAGCAAAUCGUGAUCAGAUUACCAAAUAGCAUCUUAGGUUUUUUUUUAAAAAAAAUAAAAGUUUGGACAGAUUUUGCAUCCUGCGUGGGCUGGGCUGGUCGGAAAUAUCGGGAAAAUUUCUCGAAAAUACGGUAAAAAUUACCGAUAAAUACCGAAAUAUUUCUCCAUAUUUCAAACACUGGUGAUUCUCAAAUUUUUUUCCUCAACGAUUCCCCACAAACAGCCGUCUUGUGAACAUAAAAAUUUAAGAUAUAACAAAAAAAAUUCCCCAAAUAUUCUAAAUCACAGGGUUGUGAACAAUGUAAAAAAACUUUCGGCCCAAAUAUUUUCUCAACAGCCAAACAAAUCCUUAAAUGGAAAACUCACCUGCAAUUAAUCCAAAAGGAAGAGGAAGCUCCACUUAAGUUUCUAGAAACCUUCAAAAUAUUCCACCUUUGAUGAAGAAAUAUGAAGAUAUGGCUCAACUUUGGCUUCAUUGAAGGUUUUCGGAAGAUGGCUAUCGGGUUUGGGUGGUCAGCUCGUGAAAAGAGACACUAGGGUUAGGCCAAAAUGAGACGAAAUGAGAGGAAAUAACAGAGUUAUGAAAAUGCAGAGCAAACGAGCCAUGAAAAUGUAGAUCGGGUUAGGGCAAAAUGAGAGGAAGUGACAGAGAGUUUCCCCAAAUUUCAAAGUUCAUCGGGUCGGGUGUUCUAUGGGUUUUGCAAAUUUGAUAACUUUUAAGUUUUAGAUUUUGCGUUUAUUAAAAGCGCAACUUCCGAUGACAUGGAGGUGAUGGUUGCUAACAAGAUGCAUGGAUGGGUAAUUUCAAAAAUGCAAUUAUAAACAGUAUAUAGUGCAUGAAAAGGAAAAAAUUUCUUCAAAUAGUGGAGCUAUCUUGGGUUAUGCAAACUUGGGUUUUGAAAACAAUUGAGAAAAAUGGGUUCCCGAAACACAACUUUCCCAACUUGGAAUGGCGAAUUCCAGGUGGGAAUCACUCAUUCAUAUAGAAGCACAACACCAAGUCACUAACCCCCAUCACUUCUAUCAAUUCAUUUUUCACCAACCCCCAUCAAGUUUGUGGAAUUUUUGGACUCUCAAGUAUUUUUUAUUGAUAUAUUUUAUUUCAAAGAAAAGCUUGUCUCACCUUUAUGGUGCCUCUGAUAUAAGGAUGGUGAUUGCAUGACCAGCAGGUGUCUUUGCAAUAAAAUUUUAUGGAAUUGAUAUAUUUUUUAAUUAAAGAAUCCCAUGCAUUAAUUUUAUUUAAAUAAAGUUUAUUUAUUUAAUAAAAAUAUAUAAUUAUGCGCAGAGGAGAACCCACGAAUAGUCAUUUUAGGUCGCUUUCGGUCUGUGAAAUUUUAGGAUUACUUAAUUUGAUUUUUUAGCUCUAAAACUCGUUAAUAAACCUAACAUAUGAAAUUGUAUUGAAUUUGAAGUCAUUUUACACACGAAGAAAACCCAAUAAAGUCAAUAAACUUGGUGAGGGAGGAUUUGGUUUAUGAAUAAAAAUAUUAAUUUUUAAUUUAUUCUUAUCUAUAUAUAUAUAUAUAUAUAUAUAUAUAUAUAUAUAUAUAUAUAUAUAUUUUUUUUUCCAUCGAUUGAUCAUCCCUUUAUCAAUUUUCUUGCAUAUCCGAUAAUGAAGGCCAAUUUGAUUGUUGUUAAUCGGAUUGUUGAUGACAUAUUAAUGAGAAGUUGAUGAAUGCUUAAUUGAUCUCAUGUUAAUCGAUGCCUAUUAGAAUUGAAAUUAGAGUUAUUUUCUUUGAAAUUAUUUUUACUUGAUUGAGGCCUUUGAUAACAUACAAUAGUGGCUAAGAGAUCCUUUAUUUGAUUUUUUUUGCCUUUGGUUUUAUUUUUCAUUUUUUUUUUAUUGUGAUGUUUGGAUUGUUCACUUUGCUGUUGUUUUGUUAAAAUUAUUGAACCUCUAUAAUUUAAAAAUUGAAUUAGGCUAUUUCAUGUCUCUCUAAAAUUUUUCUUAUGAUUGCAUGAUGUUGUAGACUUCCCAAAUAUAUUGAUAGAAUUUUGUUUGAGUCUAAAAUCAUUUUUCAAUUAAGAGAUAUAAACCAAUAUUUCAAUAGGUCCACUUUUUUCACUCUAUUUUGGACACCAAUUUUAUUAUUAUUAUUUUUUUUGUAAAAUUAAAUUAUCUCAUGAUCUCUUUAAUUUGUUUUGAUAUUUUUCCAUUAAUAUCAAUUCUUAAAUUUAAUUUUAGGCCCUGAAUUUUUGAAAAUUAAUUCUCCAAGUAUAACAAAAAAAAAAAUUUUCCUACACCUAUUGCACUAACCCUUUUUAUAGUCAAGGAAAGUUGGCUUAAUUUAAAAUUUCACAUUGUAUAAGUCAAGUUGUUAUUUUUUACGUAAGUUAGAUAUAUUGAAGGUAUUGUACAAUUUUUUUUUCAUGAUUUUAUUAUGCAUAUAGAUAGGUUAAUUAAAUAAGUCUUUUCAUGCUAUAGAAUUUUGCUCUAUUUUUUAUCAAUAUAAUUGUGAUUAAAUCAAGUAUUAAAUGAGAUACGAUUGAAUGAUUUAGCCUUUGGGUUGCAAUCUAGACACAUAAGAGAUAUUGUCCAAGUUUUUUUAUGGUGAAAUUCCAUAUCUAGAUAUUUUUUUAGGAUAUAUUUUGAAGGUGUCUUUAAUCUAGAUGCAUGUCGAUUAUUCUAUAGAGUGUCCUUGAUGUGAAUUAAUCUAGUAUUGAUUGACACGUAAUUAAAUGUUUUGGGAUUUUGUAUUGUAAUCUAGACACAUUGAAGAUGUUAUCCAAUUUUUUUUUCAUUAUGCAAUAACACCUCUAGGUAUUUAUUUAUGAUUUAUUUUAAAAACGUUAAUGUUCUAACCCAAUGCUGAGUAUUUUGGAUGAUUUGUUAUUUUCACCACUUUUUGCACAUUUUUAAAUCUUUUGGACCAUUGUUAUAUAUUGUAGACCUAUUGUAUAUGAUAAGUGAAUUUUUUUUUGCACCAUAAACCCUUAUUGAAUAUUUUAAUUGAACUCAUUUUAAAAUGGUAUGCAUACUAAAAGUGUAUUGAACUUACAUGACCAUUGUUACUUGUUUUUUUUUUAUUCUUUUAUUGGAGUAGUGGAUGCAUUAUGUAUGAUGAUAGAUUUUUAUUAAGAUUUUUCAUGUCUAUUUUUUAUUGUUUGUGAACUAACCCUCGUUGAUUUUAUGAAAACCCUAUACAUGUUAUUAAGGUGUAUUGCUCUCCUUCCUUUCAUUUUUUUAAUGCAUGGUUCAUUUGAGUGAUGCAAAUUAUGAUUUCACCAUUGUCUUGAUUGUGUAUUACUUAUUUUUUUGGUAUCCACUAAUUUAAAAAUCAAUUGUUAUAGUUGUCUCAACUCAUUAGUAGAGACCUUUAUUUAGGCCUUGGAGGGGUGCUAUCGUAUGAUACAUCCCCAAUAGGUAACCUAACUCUUGGAUUUAGACUCGUGUUUUCAAAGACACGUUUUUUCAAAUUAAGAGUCACUCUUAGGGUUUUAUUUCUUAUUUUGUUUUCUAUUUUUUUUAAAAUAAAAUAAGUGGCAAUUCCGCCUUUUAAAAAAAUAUUUUUUUCAUAAAAAAUGAGUUAUCAUCAAGUAAGGAUGCACAUGAAAAAUGUAAGUCCACUAUAAGGCUAUAUCAAUUGGUCUUCCCUCUACAGAAUAUUCAUUCAAGGAGCUAAUGGCUAGAUUAUUUUCCAAUAAUCAUUCAGUUGUUGUUUCGCUCAUAAAAUAGGAGAAGAUUUAUUCUUUCCAUUUGUAUCAGCAUAACUUAGCUAAACUUAAGCAGAAGUAGUUGACUUGUCUUUCAUUUUCUACCCAUUUUUGUAUAUAUAUUAUGCUCAACAAUGGUAAUUUAAUAAGGGUUUGCUAUUGUUUUAUUCUCUUGCACAAACUAUUCUUCAAAGUACUCAACUAUGGCAUAGAUAAACCUUUCAUCUACUUGACAUUACUCAAAAGGCCUCGACGUUACUCAACAUUAUCUGAGCUUUUCUCCUACAGAUGCUUUGACGGCAUGGCAAUGCAACCAACCUCAAGGCAACGACACCCACUUACAUACUGUGUGAUAAAGGAGAAUCAUUUGAUUCUCCAUAAGAUUUGCUAUAUCCUAAUUUGGUUCCAUAAAAUCUGAAUGUAUAACUAUAAAUAUAUGUAGAUAUGUUUUCAAUAUUUGUAUUUCAAACCUUUCCUGUUUUAUAGGAUCACAUUGUUGUUAUUUAUUAUAUAUAUAUUUGAUGUUAUCUUCUGCACACGGCAAUGAGGAUUUCAAUCAUUAUACAUUGUUUAUUAAACAUCUUUUUGGUAUCAGAGCAAGGUUUUUUUCUUUGAUUCUAACCAUGGUUGAUUCGGCUUCUUCAUUUCCUUCUCUUCCGCUUAACAUAAUGGUGCAUAUGCUGAUUCAUGCCCGAUUGGUGUUCCAAUUGAUUCAACUCAAUUGAUGUGCUUUGAUCUCAAUCCUCAUACGGGAGUAAUCAACAAAAUUUAUAAACCUAUUUCACCAUAUACCGGGGUAGCAUUUAGCUAGCAUAGUAUAGUGGCUCUAGGAUCGUCCACAGAGAUGGGUUUUCACUUUGCAAUUGAUAUUAGUUCAAAAACUAAAUUGGUGCUUUUUCUUUUCUUUUUUAGCUUUAAAAGAAGACAUAAGUUUGAAUGAAAACGGAUGGUAUUAAGCUAACCUAACAUAAAGUAACUAAAAUUAACUAAAAAGAAAUUAGAAAGAAAGGUGUUUCUUGGGAUUUCAGGUUACUAGGAUCAGGUGCCAAUUGCAAAGUGGAAAAUUCCAGAUUUUUCUCCUCGCAUUGAGUAUUUAACCUACAGUUAUUUCCCGAACCGAUAUAGGUUUAACAAUGAAGAUUUAAUCCAUAAAAAGUCAAUAGAGAUGGUAGUCAAGUUCCGUUAAUGGCUUUAGACACUAUGGGUCUUCACCUUAAGCCACUUUCCAAUGGCUCGUACAUGAUAACUAAUGGACUGAUGUGGAUCUAGCAAUAAGCAUCCACAGAGACCUGAAGCUUGCCAUGUAUUGGCCAUUCAAAGUGAUUCUAAGGGAUUUAAAGCAAAACUUUAGAUUUAAAAGCCAUUUAUGAACUCCAACUACCUGUAUUUAACGCACGAGAGUUUUCCACUUUUUCAUCUAGACUUUUCACCUAGCUUCCUUCACUCCAAGAAACCAAAGGUUUAGCCUUUCAUCCACUGGGAAAACAUCCUCAGAGGUUGUUUGACUUCCAAGAAAAAGAAAAAUAAAAGAGAAGGAAAAACAGAGCAAGGCUCUGUAUAUUCUAUAUAUUGAUCUAUUUUACAUACUUCUAUAUCUAUAUGUUUUACAAUGGAUGCAAGGGAAUAUAUAUAGAGAAGUUUUUCCAACCUUCCUAGCUAAGAAAUCUUAUUGUUGGUGGAUUACAAGGAGAAGAAUGGAAAUUUAUACAAAAAUAUCUAAAAGAAAAUAUCUCGUGUGGAAUCGGCAAAACAGAGGAGAUUUCGCACCACGCAUGGGCUGCUGUGCGAAAUUCAAGGUGUUGUGCGAAUUUCAAGGUGUUGUGCGAAUUUCGCAUAAGCCUGGAGCAGUUGUCUUCCGAAGGCCAUAUCUUACUCAUUUCAGAUCUAAAUAGUACACGGUUUAAAACAUUGGAUUCUUGACUUCCUGAGCUUUGAAAUGGUAUAUAGCAUGUAAAAAAUAGACUUCAGAAAGUACUCCAAAAGUGCGAAGGAAGACUGCAGCUGCUGUCUCUGUUUUCUUCAUUCUGUUUGUUUUUCCUCUUUGCUUCUCUCCUUUACUUGGCUUGUCUUAAUGAUCCAAAAAGCUGUCAAAACACUCAAACUAGCCACAAAUAUGAUUAGAAGUCAUUGCUAGGUCCUUAACAUGCCAAUUGGAAUAAGAAUGGAGAACUACUACACAAAAGUGCUUAAAACAUAAUGAAUUAAAGGCACAAAAUAGCACUUUUUGGGUAGUUACCAUUAAACCGAUUUCCUCAAAUUACUUAUUGUGGAAAAAUCAGUUUGCUCCACUGUUAGCCAGUCAAGAUUUGUUUGGAUUUACUCUACUCUUCUCUUACCGAGGAGUCUAUGAGUGAAGUAUUGGGUUUACGUCAUUCUCAUGAGGCUUGGCGCGCUCUUGAAGUCUCAUUCUCGCACCGGUCGAAGACUUGUGAACUGCAACUCAAUGAUGAACUCCAAUUGAUGCAACGCGGCUCUCAUCCCAUUGCUGAGUUUUCCUGUACCUUCAAAGGUCUUUGCGAUCAAUUGGCUGCGAUCGAUCGUCCCAUUGACGACACAGAUAAAGUUCACUGGUAUUUACGAGCAUUGGGGCCCAACUACAAGAUCUUCUCCACCACCAUGAUGUCACAGCUUCCGCUACCCUCCUUUGUCGAGAUUGUUCCGAAAGCUUUGAGUCAUGAGAUUUUUGAAAGGUCAAUUUCGCACUUGUCUUCUAACUCUGCUUAUUAUGUGCAGCAUACUUCUAAAUCUGUAGGGGUUAAGAAAUGGAAGAAUUGGCCUCCCACUUCGUCUAGCUCUUCUACAAAUUCAAAGUCCUCAUCCACUGUUCACUGCCAAUUGUGAGACAAGAAUGGACACCUAGCCAAACAUUGCUGGAGCUUCUUGAAACUCAAGAAGAAGCAGUCGGGUAAUAUUGUUGAAGCUUUUUCAGCCUACUCAAUUCAAGACCCGAAUGACACUGAAUGGUUUCCUGAUUCUGGUGCAACGUCCCAUAUGACAAGUGACACCGAGGUUGUGGAUCAACCAACUCUUUACUUUGGUAAUGAACGUGUCAUGGUUGGAAAUGGUCAGCCUUUAGCAAUUUCUCAUACUGGUUCCAUUUCAUCUCUUAUGCCGUCUAGUUCUCUUCUUUUAUCAAAUGUCUUAGUUGUUCCUGGCAUUAAGAAAAAUCUUAUUUCGAGUAGUCAACUUACAACAGACAAUAAUUGUCUUGUUACCUUCUUUUCCUCUGGUUUUACCAUACAAGAUCAGGUCACAAGAACCAUACUGGGAGUCGGAAAAUGUGAAAAUGGUCUCUAUGUGUUAGAUCGUUGUCAUCAUGCCCUUAUGUCCACCACUUCUCCUUCACUGCGAGCCUCUGUUUGUUUAUGGCAUGCUCACCUUGGUCAUCGCAAUUAUCAUACUGUUGCUUCUCUUUCUAGAUUAGGAUAUAUUUCUUGUAGUAAUAAAUUGGUGAACAUUGAUUUUGAAAUUUGUGUUGGUUGUAGACUUGGCAAAAGCCAUCGUUUACCUUUUUCUCUGAAUGAUGAACAUUGUGCCAUGCCUUUUGAUUGCUUACACUGUGAUUUAUAGGGUCCGUCACUAGUUCUCUCUUUUACUGGAUAUAGAUACUAUGAGGUAUUCAUUGAUGAUUGUACCAGAUUUAGUUGGAUAUUCUUUUUAAAACAAAAAUUUGAUUUUUUUUUAUACUUCAUCCAUUUACAACAUUAUAUUGAGACUCAAUUUUCAUCUAAAAUAAAAUCCUUUCAAUGUGAUGGUGGAAUCGAAUUUACAAAUAAUAAAUUUUGAUCUCACUUCCAAUCUUGUGGCAUUGUUCUCCAUUUGGCAUGCCCCUACACUCCUAGUCAAAACAGCAUUGCCGAACGCAAGCAUCGCCAUGUCAUAGAAACGGGUUUUACCCUUAUGUUCCAUGCACGUGUGCCGCUUUCUUUGUGGGUUAAGGCCUUCUCAACUACUGUCUUUCUCAUUAACCGACUCCCGUCACCGUUACUUGAUGGCAAAACUCCUUAUGAGCUCUUGUUUGGUAAGCAACCAGGUUACUCUAUGCUUCGCACUUUUGGGUGUCUUUGCUUCCCUCAUUUGAAAGAUUACUCACCAAAUAAAUUGUCUCCAAAAUAUGCUUCUUAUAUCUUUUUAGGUUACAGUACACUUCAUAAAGGAUUUCAAUGCCUCGACCGAACGACACAUCGUGUCUAUGUUUCUUGACAUGUGCAAUUUUAUGAAAAUAUUUUUCCUUAUCAUGGUGAUUUUGUACAAAAUUUACAAACCAACAUUAACUAUACCCCUUUUUUCUGAAUGUCAGGACUAUGUGUCUAGUUCUUCUAAUAUUGGUUCUUCUCAUUCAUUUUCGAGUUCACCAUGUUUGUCUUGCAGUGAUUCUCCACACCUGUCCUCAGAUCCUCCCCCUGAUCUACAAGGUCCUAUUUCUAUGGAACCCCUCUCUGAUUCUACAACUUCAGACUCAACUUUUCCACCGUCGGUGUCUUCCGUUCCUCGUGUGACCAUUUCCAGCCACCCAAUGAUUAGCAAAGGAAAAACUGGUAUAUUCAAACCACGAUUAUAUCAUGCUAUGAAUGUUUUAUCUUCUUCUCAAACUUUCCAGGCACUUCUUGCUCUCAAAGAACCUCGGGGUUUUAAGUUUGCUACAAAACACCCUGAAUGGCUCUCGACUACGGAUUAUGAGAUUUAAGCUUUGAAGACAAAUGAUAUGUGGGUUCUUGUACCUCAUCCUAACAAUCACAAUGUAGUGGGUUGUCGCUAGAUUUUCAAAACCAAACUUCGAUCGGAUGGGUCCAUUGAGCGUCACAAGGCACGUCUCGUGGCUCAAGGAUUUUCUUAGAUUCAUGGUCUUGACUUUGGUGACACAUUUAGUCCUGUAGUGCGCCCUGCUACAAUCAGAAUUAUUUUUUCAUUGGUUGUUACUUCUAGAUAUUGUUUACAUCAACUAGAUGUUAAAAACGCCUUUCUACAUGGUUUUCUCAAUGAAGAGGUGUAUAUGGAACAACCACCUGGUUACACAAAUCCACAUGCUCCCACUGAGGACCACUUUCGUGCUCUCAAGCGCAUUUUGCGCUAUGUCAAAGGCACUCCUCAUCAUGGACUUCAACUCUAUCAACAAUCCACUCAUGAUAUUCUUGCUUACUCUAAUGCAGACUGGGCAGGUUGUCCUGAUACACAUCGUUCCACUACUGGCUACGCUAUUUUUUUUUGUACCAAUUUGGUUUCUUGCUCCUUUAAGAAACAAAGCAUUGUCUCUCAAUCAAGUGCCGAAGCAGAAUAUCGCUCUUUAGCUAUUGCCACUGCUGAUAUUGCCUGGAUUGUUCAACUACUUCGGGACCUCCAUGUUACACUCUCAACAACACCUAAAAUUCUUUGUGACAAUCAAAGUGCAAUUUUUAUGGCAAUCAAUCCGGUUACUCGCCCUCACUCAAAACAUAUUGCGAUCGACUACCACUUUGUUCAUGAACUUGUUGCUAAUGGCACUUCGAAAGUUGAUUUUAUCCCUUCACAUCUACAGCUUGCUGAUUCAUUGACCAAAGGUGUCACCAAGCCUCAGUUCUUUCUCUUCCGAUGCAAGCUCAGCGUUAUCCCUUCUCCCAUGCUCACCUUGCAGGGGGAUGAUAAGGGAGAAUCAUUUGAUUCUCCAUAAGAUUUGCUAUAUCCCAAUUCGGUUCCAUAAAAUCCGAAUGUAUAGCUGUAAAUAUAUGUAGAUAUGUUUUCAAUAUUUGUAUUUCAAACCUUUCCUAUUUUAUAGGAUCACAUUGUUGUUAUUUAUUCUAUACAUAUUUGAUGUUAUCUCCUACACACGGCAUAGAGGAUUUCAAUCAUUAUACAUUGUUUCUUAAACAUCUUUACUGUGCAAGAGGCCACAAUGGAAAAGUAUUCCUAUAAGUGGCAUAGUGUAACACACAAUUCUUCAUGAAGGCUCCAGUGAUUUCCUGCCAUAGAUAAUUUGAUGAUUAAAUGGUUAGACUACCACCUAGUAUAUAUAGUUAGGUACAAAAGAACAUCAUUUCCAUUUGCCAAAACCAUGUUAAAAUGUUGCUCCUUUUGUUUUUUAUUCAUGUUCAAGUGAGCUACCUGUUGGGGAAAAUCACCAUCUUCCAUUUGGGAAUUAAUCAACAGCUUUGCAGCCCUAUGAAGAGGUGUUGGGUCUCUCUCAGCCUGUUAAAAAGGAAAGGUUAGACUCAGAUGUUUGGGGAGAAGCCAUGUUGUGAAAGUAAUGUAGAAGACCAAGGUUAGCUUAUGGAUGGGGGAACUGUAAAAAUCUCUACCAGUAAUGUAGAAGACUAAGAUGUUUGUUCCACAUGCAACUUCAAUGAUGAGGGCCUUAAUCAAGCCACGAACAAUUUCUAUGUUUAUCAAAGGUUGGAGACAAGGGACUUCUUAUUUCAUCAGCAAAGUGUUUCAAUGAGCCUUGUGAUUUCUCUACCAGUCUUUGACGUCCACUCCUAUGAGCUAACAGCAAACCCAAGGUAUUGUCAUCAUGCUCAGCUUUGGGGGCCGCCACCUGAGAGCCCAAGUUUUGAACAAUUUUGCAAGAAUGGUUGCGAACCAAGACACUAAGAAAGUAACCUUCUGUAACUACCCAUUUGUCUUCAAAAUCGAAUCACAACUUCCUCUUUUAUUAAUUUCGGUGUCAAUCCAGUCUACCCUUUAUCUGCCCUCGAUUUUGAUCUCGGUGUCAAAUCACUCGGAUACACAGCCUGUACAGAAAAUGUGGCACACUGAAAGGUGGCCAUGCAGUUUUCAGAAACCAGUAACACAAGAAAAAGUGAGAUGACCAUGCAUGCAGAAAUUGAGCUUCAGCGUUUUGAGAGUGUUAUUCACCGACCCUUCGAUACAAUUCGACCCAUAACUUUCAUGAUCACCACAGCAAAGGAGUCCAUCUUCUUUCACAGUUUUGGACUGUCCAAUUGAUUCCGCAUUAAGAUCUUCAGUUCUUGGGCUUAUUGAACGAGGUUGUCACAUUACCUCCAAUUGCCUCCACUUCUAUCGAUCUCUUCCUCCUCCUUUCAGUUGCUCAAACCUUACCACCCAAAUGAACUUCACUGCCUUCCACGAGCACAAAAACCACAAACUCCUAUAAAGCAAAACAGAGCAGUUUGAAGAAUGCACGGUAAAUGAGAAAUGAACCGAGAUGAGAUUUAAGAUACCCGAUGCGGAGAAGUGAAAUGUGCCAAAAAACAAAGUAUGAUCCAAAAGAACAAACAAAAGACCCAUUAAAUAGAAACCCAUUUCAGGUUGAAAUCAAUGGGCUCAGGUCAGUGGCAAAACUGAAACUAUAUCCAAACCUUUCCUCAGAUGAAAAUCAAAAGAAAACGUGAGAAAAGCAGAGUAAUAACACAAGUUCACAACCAAACAAACCAACAGUGUUCAGGAACCUCAUGAGAGGAUGAGAAACAAAGCAAUAAACGUAAACAAGCAAGGAAAUCACAACAAGCGUACCUAAAAAUCCUCCUCUCAAGCAAGAAUACGCUUGGCUUCCUGCUUUUCUUCCUCUCCAGAAACCUGUAAUCCAGCUAGCUCCAACCUCUGCUUCUUCUCCUUACUCUCUUCCAGCUCUUUCUCUGCUCUUACUUCAUUCUUCCUUCCACAGUCUCCCUUCUCUGUUUCACAGCUUUUUCUCAGCUCUCUCUGUCUAAGCUCAGCUCACCAUGGUUUCUUCUCCAGAAUCCCUACCCAGUUCACUCUCUCUCGGUGCCUUCUUUUCUUUUUCAACUCAUCCUCUUUCCUGUCCAAGACAUCUCUCUUCUCUCUCAGAACCCACUCACAGCCUACUCAGCUCAUCCAUGGUUCUUGCCCCACCCGAGAAUCCUUUCUCUCUCAAACCAAACAUCACCCCCUGAAAAUCCACAUCCUCCCUGUUGAAUCCCUCCGUUCUCUCUAGUUCACCCUCUCAAAUGGUUUUCUAAAAACAGGUACCUCACUCUCUCUUUCCCAAUCUCUCUGUUUUUCUCCUCUUCUCAGUUUUUCCUUUCUUCCUCCCAAGCGUAUCUCACUCAGCUCACCACCCUGUGCAACUCCCUACUCUUCUUCUGCUCUUCCUCUGUCUUGGGUCUAGCUCCCUUUGUUUUCUCCCUCUCUCAGAGCUCUCUCUCUGGUUCCUCUCUCAAAAAUGGCUCUCUCACAGGCUCACUUUUUCUCCUCUCAGCGCCGGCCACCCGAAUAUCCUCUGCACUCCCUCCUUCGGUAGAGAUUCCCCCCCCACAAAAUUUUAAAAAAAUCAAUCCUCCAAUAAUUGUGCUGGGACCUAAAAUAAUCUUCUAAUGGUUUUCAAAAUGUAGCUCAAAAAUCAAUAAUGAGCUAAGUAGGCACAAACUACUAAGGGACACGAUGAAAAAUUGACUAAAAAUGGAUCCUAAGCAUGUGCUAAAAAUCAAUAAUGAGCUAAGUAGACACAAACUACUAAGGGACACGAUGAAAAAUUGACUAAAAAUGGAUCCUAAACAUGUGCUAAAAAGGAGUAGAAUAAGAGCAAAAACUAAUAAUAAAAAUGUGUGUGCUAAGGACAAAAUAAAGGAUUUACAUAUAGCCACACCUACAUCUAUUAAAGAUUCAUUAACUAAAGAUGAUUUACAACCUUUCAAUAUGAGCAGCACACCUUGGUUGGUACUCUCCAAUAUUUCACAUUCACUAGACCAGAUAUCACUCAUGCAAUUAACGAAGUGUGCCAAGGUCUCCAACAACCAAACCAAAUUUCAAGGUCGUGAAAUGAAUUCUACGUUGUUGAUCAAUUGUUAGCUAAGAAAUGAAUAAUAGUUUUUAGGAGAGAGACUUUUAGAAAAAAAAAAAAACAGAAUCAAUGUCAAACUUAUUUGGGUUUAAAGAGAAUUUGGUUGAUAAUAAUUCAUGUGUAACUGCACUUCCUUUGUCACUAUCACCAUGUGACUCCAUAUAGUGUUUGGGAGAGUUAGAUCUUGGAACUGGGCGUUUGCAAAAAUAGCAAUUCCCGAAUUUAAUAAAAUGUAGAAGUGUAGAAAAAAGGAAAACGGAACUAUGGACUCAUGCUUCUACAUGAACUAAGCUUAGAUAUAUUGACUAAUCAAACUCUAGUAUUGAUUUUGCAUGAGAGGCGCAUAUUUAUAGACUCUAAAAAACUUUCUAGAUUUGAAAAUCUUAUAACAAGACUCACAAAUAUUGGACUCAAGUAAGUUUGUAGAAAAUUUCUGAACAUGUCCAAUUUAACAACCUUGCUUGAGAUUCCUAAUAACUCAAACUAGAAAUAAAAUAGGAAUUUUUAACAAAAUUAGGAAAUUCCGACUAAACCCAAAUAAGAAAAAACAUGAGCUACUUUUGACUACCAAACUAAACUAUCUUGACAUUUAAUGUCACAAAAUCACUUUUGGUAGACUAAAACUUGAAAGAAUGUAAUAAAUUGAGACACUAAUGACUCACAUCUACCAUAGACACCUCUUGUUGAACUGAAAAUGUAGGUCUUUUUUCUUUUUCUUUUUUAAAUAUCAGUAAACUGUUGAAAAUGUAGGUUAGUUUCUGUUGCUCUUGCUGAUCUGUUGAAUUGAUUGAAUAUCUUCAAUUAUUUUUGUGUUUUAAACCAGCUGAAAAUAGAGAAAGAAGCUCACAGAGUGAUGCAACAGUCAGUAGUAAUCAACCAAGCCUUCCUAAACUCAUACACUACAAGUGGUUGCUUCGAGCGGCUAUCUACAUCCUCUUUUUUCCUGCUGGCCAAUCCAUAGCCACUCUCUUGGGAAGAUUGUACGAUGACAAAGGUGGAAAUAGCAAAGGGAUGGCCAUAUUUGUUCAAUCAGCAGGGGAACUUCCCAAUUCUCCUUUCCCUCUUCUUUUUCUUCUCACCAUCCACCAAAUCCAUGCUUUGUUAGCCUCUCAAAGGCCCUUUUUCAUAUAUAGUUUCAACAAGGUACUUUUCGAAGAUGCAUUAAACCGUUCCUUUAUCUAAGUAGUGAUUUUGGCACUGCAGGGCUCUUCAAUUUCUUUCUUAAUUUUUCAAUUUGCACGAAUGUGGAAACUUUUAAACAUCAAUCAUUUGCUACAAUAAUAAUCAUGUAAAUUUGGUCCACUUUUCCCAUUCUCUAUAAUUGAUUAGCUUAGGAGCUGUAUGGAGAGGAAAAUGACAUGGGUCGGUGUUUGACAAUAAUAUAUAGGAAACCUCUGAUGCAGGCUCUUGGCAUUAAAAUGAGCUAAAGAUGGGUUUGGAAACCACUUUCAAAUGAAAAUUGACAUGCAUAAUUUUUGGUGUAUUUGACAAUAAUAUGAAACCUCUGAUGCAGGCUCUUGGCAUUAAAAUGAGCUAAAGAUGGGUUUGGAAACCACUUUCAAAUGAAAACUGACAUGCAUAAUUUUUGGUGUGUUUGACACAUGCAAUAAAAAUUACUUAAAUAGGAGUGACUUUGUCACAUGGCUUCAGAUGGAAUUACAGCACAGUAUUGGAAUUAGUAUUCAAAUGGCUGCCCACGUGGAGAGUUUUUUAGGCCUCAAUCUUAACAGCAUAGGUUGACCACUCGGAAAUUGGGACCACAACCUAGCCUAGGCUUGAUCUAGGCACUGCUUAGAGACACAUUUCACUUAACUUCUUCGAUCUGUUACUUGUAUUUAUUGUGACACUUAGUUGCUUCUUGUUUAUCAAACAAGCAAGACCUUUCGAUGUUUAUGGAUGAAUUCCUCUUGUCAGCAUUGGUUCUUUAAUAUUCACCAAAAAGUGAACAAGCUUGGAGCCAUAGGUAGAUAUUUUACAAAGCCUUCUAUACUGUUAUCUUAUGCUAAGUACUGAAUAUAAAUGUUGUUGAGGGUACCAACAGUGACAUGUAGUUGCAAUGUUGAUUAUGAGAACGCCAACGGCAUAGUGCAUCAACGGAUAUUUGAGUUUGCUGAGAAGGAGGCCUUUAUAUCAUCGACCAGAUCAGGAUUAUUUGAAUUUAGUAAGGUCCUGCUAUUGUUUUAUUCUCUUGCACAAACUAUUCUUCAAAAUAUGUUACCAUGACAUAGAUAAACUUUUCAUUUGCUUAACAUUGUUCAAAGGGCUUGACAUUGCUCAACAUUAUCUGAGCUUUUCUCCUACAGAUGCUUCUUUGGCAUGGCAAUGCAACCAGACUUAAGGCGAUGGCACUCACUUACAUACUCUGCAAGAGCCCACAAUGGAAAAAUAUUCCUGUGAUCUGCAUAGUGUAACAUGCAGUUUUUCAUGAAGGCUCCAGUGAUUUCCUGCCAUAGAUAAUUGAUGAUCAAAUGGUUAGACUACCACCCAGUAUAUAUAGUCAGCUACAAAAGAACAUCAUUUUCCAUUUCCCAAAUCCAUGUUAAAAUGUUACUUCUUUCGUUUUUUAUUCAUGUUCAAGUGAGCUACCUGUUGGGGAAAAUCACCAUCUUCCAUUUGGGAAUUAAUUAACAGCUUUGCAGCCCUGUAAAGAGGUGUUGGGUCUCUCUCCGCCUGUUAGAAAGGAAAGGUUAGACUCAGAUGUUUGGGGAUAAGCCAUAUUGUGAAAAUAACGUAGAAGACCAAGUUAAGCUUGUUGAUGGUGGAACUGUACAAACUGACCUGACCAGAAGAAAGCAGCCCCAUCAGAGCCCACCCGGUUUGUACCAGAUUUGACUUGUUUCCUUCAAGAGGUGUAUGUUUCUGUAUCACCAAGCACAAGGAUUACUUGUUUUUGUGCAUGUUUCUACCAGAAAACAGAGCAGUGGGUGGCAUGUAAGAAUUACCUUGUCCUGGCAAGAAAUAUAGCUCUCUCCCCAACCACCAUCAUCUCUUUGUGAUUUGAGUAGAAACUCAACAGCUCUACCAAUAGCAAGACAGUUGUGGUAAGUCCUGCCAGCAGCUGUUAGGCCCCCAAGUGCAAACCAUGAGCCAUAGGUGAAACAUACUCCCCAAAUGCCUCUUUGUUUAAAUGGAUUUGCACUGCAUAUAUAAAAAAAGAUUUCCCCAGUGAAAUAGUAAUAGUGGAGUUGAGAAACAUACCAUGAGCCAUCAGGCAUUUGUUGGUCUUCAAUGUACUUGGUAGCAUUUGUGAUGAAAUUGUCUAUCUCCUUCGUCCUGUGUCGGGGGUAUAACUUCUUAAACAAAACCAGAGCCUGAAUUGCUGAUGCAGUGCACUCAACAUACC